RNAcentral lists this long non-coding RNA (115154 nucleotides) under Sorghum bicolor (sorghum). Its description in RNAcentral is "long non-coding RNA (SBIC_LNC011133)". Lineage: Eukaryota; Viridiplantae; Streptophyta; Magnoliopsida; Poales; Poaceae. The record is from RNAcentral.
GCCAGCUCCACCUCCAAAACCAUUGUUGGGGAAUAAUGGGUUGCGGAGAAUGGGGCCUGGAAGUUCAAACAGUGUGCGGAUUGGAUCUUCAAGAAGGCCAGUAGCUUGGCCACCAGUGGUAGCCCGGACAUCUGCUUCAGGUUCUCGGCCUUCUUCGCCUAGGUCACUCGUUGAUGGUGAAGGUUACAAUAGUGCUGAUGAACAGGGCCCCUGUUACCCCUCGAGUUAUGAUGAUUCGGUAUGAUUUUCAUUUCUUGUUUUGCUUUUUAUAUGAGCUUUAAUCCCUCCUAUGACAUUUACAGCAGUACUAUAUUCAUCACCAUUUAUUAUAUAUAAUUCUAGAUGUUUAGCAUCUUUGUAGUUGUAGUUAGAAAAUAUGCUCCUAGGUAGCUUGGCUGUGUUUUCUAUGUGUAUGAUGAUAAUUUGAAUAUGAAUUUUAUAGUUCCUCCUGAUGACAGAUAACAGAAGCAUUAUUCUUACUUUAGCUACUUUUUUUUUGUGAACAUAGGAAGGCACAGCUCUUGGUCAAGAAAGCUCGUUUUUUUCUUGCCUAUAUAGUAACGGUUUAUGUCGUGUACGCGAGUCAAUUUAAUAUUAUACGAUCAUAUUUUUCGCAACUUCUCAUUUAAUUUAUUUUGUGCCUCAGGAAAGGGAGCGUAUGUUUGAGCAUGACCUAAGGCGAGUGAAAGGGUUGGAAAUCAGAAAGAUGGCCGAAGACGGGAACUGUCUAUUCAGAGCUGUUGCUGAUCAAGUAUAUGGAGACGCAGAAGCUUAUGACAUGGCUAGGCAGAUGUGUGUUGAUUAUAUGGUAGGUUUCAUCUAUGCAUCCAGCAGUAAUCUUCUAGUUUAUAUCCUGUUAUUAGGAUAGACUUUUGCUUACCCAGUUCUUUUAAUUAAUAAAUUAAUUAUCAAAGUUCUGACAUGUCUUGCCAUUUUUGCAAACCGUCUUAAUAUAUUGCACUUAUUUAUGAACAUUAAAUCCUUAACUUCAUUAGUUUUUACGCCGUCGUGACUCGCAAGUUUCUUAAGGUGUCGUCUAGUUGUUGCCUAGGCGUCUGGGUGAUUUUCCAAGUGUGCUGUCGGGCUUGCCGUUGCUUCCGUGCUUAUGGUGUCGCCUCACCCGCCAAAGCGUCGGACGGAUGCUGCACGCGCGGGAGGAAAAGGUGCCACGCGGGGAGGAAAAGGCGUCACAUGCGGAAGAACGGGUGCAUGGGAGGAAAAGGCAUCGCAUGCGGGUGGAAAAGGAAGGGCACGUGGGGGGAAAUGAGGGGAUCACGUGCCUACUCCUUUACCAGGAGGUGCCUAAUCUGGAAUCUGCGCCAUUUGAGACUGGGAGGGAAAGAGAGGAGAGAGGGAAAGAGAAGAAGAAGGCGGAGCACCCGGAACCCGGCAGCAGAGCAUUUCGAACCUGGCGGAGGCACCUGUGCACCUCCAUCCAUGACCCUGGCUCCUUCUCCUUGAUUCACAACGCCUCCACCGCCUUAUGCUCAUUUUCCUUCUUUUUUCUCCCCUGUUUGAUCUUCCUUCCCGAUCCUUCCUCUGCUCUGUUCUGCUCUGCUCAUUCCUUUGCUCUGCUCUGCUUUGCUCAUCCCUUUGCUCUGCUCUGCAUUGCUCAUUGCUCUGCUCUGCUCCUUCCUCUGUUCUCUGCCCCCUCCUUCCUCUACACUACUGGGCUGCUCUGUUCUGCAGUUCUGCUUAUGCUGUGUGAGUGCAUGUCUGGUGCUCUGUUGAGAGAUGAGAGACUAAUUUAUUACUUUUGAGAGUUGAGGGAUUUUAGAUUUGUUAUUUUGCUACUUUAUGUUGUGCACUAGUACUUAAUAGCACUAUUUAAUAUGGUAUAUUGGUAUUACAUGCUAGGAAGUGACAAGAUUAAGGUAUUAUAUAUUAAGAUGUUUGUAUGGAGUUGCCUCGCCGCGUGCUUAAAUGCCUAGGUGUUUGGAAGGGGGUGGCUUGCCGCGCUUUGCUGUACUGCCUUAAUAACCUUGGUGACUCGUGAGACAAUUGAUGUGAGGUAAACAGUGCGCUGAGAAGUUGGGACGACCAAGUUUGCGAUCAGACUGAUAUGAAAAUGGUUGCCACCUGGUUCCAUGCUUCCAACUGAUAGCAAGUGAUUUCUGCCUGGCUGGUUAACCGGCUCCAGCUCUAAUCUCUAGGUAGGGCAUGGAUGUUUGCAGAGGUGGUUUCCCGCAACUUGACCCAAAACUAGGUAGGGCAUGGAUGAGCCAUUACAAAAUUGAGGUUAUGCCCGUUCCCAGAAAAAAGUUUCUGCUAUUUUCGUUACAUUUUGGCAUAUUAAGAAUAUUGUAUAUUACUAUACUUUUGUGUAAAAACGAUGCAAAACCUUGCUAAAUCCUAUGAAUCUUCUGUCUUGAGUUAACAAAGAAAGUUCCAACUCAAGCCUCAACGUAUGGGUGUGUAUGGCAUAUCCAUCUUUUCCUGUCUUGAUUCGUCUCCACUUCAGUUUUUUGUGCUAUUUGCCCACUUGUCUCCUUUGAUAGUCAGCCAUUUGGUAUGUGAUGGAAUCAUUAAGCAGUAAGGAUUCUUAUGUCUUUCUAUGUGACCAAACAUUAUUGUCAAUGUGGGUCUGCGUGUGUAUUAUUUGUGGUAGGAGAUGAAAAUGGUGCGGAUAAUCUUAUUUGUUUCCAAAUCAUUUUUCAAAUUUAUGACAUCAAUCAUUUCCGAUUGUUUCGUAUUUGUAGUAUCAUUUCUGAUCAUUUCAUCCUUAAUGUAACCAGAUAUCUCUCUCCAUGCAUUACCAUGAAUUCUCAUUAUCUGUUACUCUGUUAUCCAUGCAGUCGAAACACUCAUUGCUGUUUUCUAUUCCAUUUUCAGGAAAGGGAACGGGAUCAUUUCUCUCAGUUCAUAACUGAAAGUUUUACAUUAUACUGUAAGAGGAAAAGGAGAGAUAAGGUUAGUUACUAAAUAUAUGCUAUGUAAAUUAUUUGCUUCCCACCUCUUUAUUAGUUCAUUUCUUUCCACAACCAUCUAAUUCAGUGCGGGUAACCUUAUAUGGUGGUAUUAUGAUGUGAUUGUGUGCAGUACUUUUAUAUAACCUUGUGAGUUGUAAAACCUAUAGAUUUUUGGUCAAACAACUGUUGUACAUAAUUUUUUUCUUCUCCUGGCGCUUUCUUGUCCCCUGUGAAGCAUCGUGGACCUAUUUGGAUCUGCAUUAAUAUUUACUAAUACAUGCCUACAUGCAGCAGAGCAUUGAUUUAUUCCUAACUUUGGAAACCUUUCAGCGAUAUUAAAUAAGUGCUUAAUUGGAUACAGUGAGCAGCUGCCUUUACAAUAUGACCUAACAGAAUAGGAAAUUCUAAAAGGAGAAAUUUAGCAUUGUUGCCCAUUUCAUUUCAAAGCUCUUAUCUUAAUUGGUUGUUCGUUUCUUUAAGGUUUAUGGCAACAAUGUUGAGAUCCAGGCAUUUGCAGAGAUGUACAAUCGUCCCAUUCACAUAUAUUCCUACGGUGCAGGUAAGCUUUGCUCAAUCAUUUGAAGAUUUUUUAUCCUUGUUGCUCAUUGUUUAAUGGUAGCCAGUAUCAGCUCUUUAACAUGUUUGCUGUUAUCGCAGAGCCCAUUAAUAUUUUUCAAGGAAGCUAUAACACAGACGUUCCUCCAAUUAGGUUAAGUUACCAUCAUGGUAAUCAUUACAAUUCAGUGGUUGAUCCCCGCCGACAGACAGUUGGGGCAGGCCUUGGAUUUAGCUCCCUUAGAGGGGUAAUUCUUUACUCCACUGAACUUUUUUUUGUCUGCAUGUAGUAGUCAGUAAACAUUUAGUCAUUUUCUGGAUAUAAAUGGUUAUGUUGUCAAUCAUAACAGUUUACUGUGUCAGGUUGGUGGCCUUGUUAAAUAAUCUUUUCAUUUCCCUUUUUUGUAGACCAAUAAUGUUGACAGGGACCAGGUGAAGGCUGCAAUAAAAGCUCAGCAAGACCAGCAAAUUGAGAAUGUAAGUACUGCGAGUUAUUUCCAUGUGUUCUUGCCAUCCUGAUAUUCUCACAAGUCAAACAAUCCUAUCAUCUAAAAAUGUCAUGAUAUAUACUUAAUUCUUGUUUUGGCAUUGUCAGGCACUUUUGGCUGAAGGGCGAUUCUACUCCGAUCUGGAGUUAACAGAGAGGGAAAUAGAACGGAUGGUGAUGGAGGCCUCGCGUUCAGAAUAUCUGGCCAAGGAGAAAAAGCUUAACAUUAGGGAGUCAUCGACAUCAGGGGCAGAGCCAUCGUCAUCUGCCGCAAGUAAGGCCACCUUUUUAUUUUUUGGAAUUUUGAGAACUCUUCAGUGUACUGCCAAUCAGUUUGCUUGAAACUGGCAUGUUUUGCUGUUCUGCAGUUAGUGGUUCCUCCCGUUCAGUUGCUGGAGCAGAUAGAGGCAGCGAGGACUACUUUGUGCUCCCAGACACUGUACUAACUCGCAGCAUGCAGUUGCUCCUGGCAAUGGGCUUCAGCUACAUCCAGGUCAUGGAGGCCUACAGCAUAUUCGGCGAGGACGUGGACUCCAUGGUCUGCUACCUGGUGGAGACCGGAGGCACCGGAGCCUCAGCAGGUGGUAGCAAUCGCCGGAAAGGAAAGGCUGCUGAGUGAUGUGCGCACCUUCAUUGCUGUGAAUGUAAUUGUUGUUGAUCGAAAUCGUUGGGCAUAAGUCAUACUGACAGUCUUGUGAGUUGAGAUGUCGAUAUACCUGCUACCUUAUGGGUGAUGAAUAAAUGGAACUCAUGACUUGAGACUUUUCGAUGCCGUCUAGUGCUUAUUGAUGGCAGUUGUGGCUGGGAUUCUGUGAAAACUGUUGGGUCACGCUGGUGCAUUGUGUGAUCCUUGCGAGUUGUCGUGGAUGGGCGACCUGCGAGAAAUUGUCUUUAUGGGAUGCCAACAUAAAAUUUUUCCACAUAACAGCUAGUGCGCGACGGAGAAAGAAUUACAUACACUGUCUACAUACGGAUGACGGGAUAGUGUUUGCUCAUGAAGAAAAAGAAAAGGUGAUAGGGGACUACUUUAAAAAUCACAUCUCCUCUGCAGUUCCGAGAGCCACAGCCAUCAACUGGCAAUCUAUCGGUUACACUCAGCAUGAUCUAUCGGACAUGGAAGCUCCUUUUUCCCAAGAAGAGGUUAAGAAUGCUAUAAAUUCCAUGCCUUCCGACAAAGCGCCAGGCCCAGACGGCUUCACUGGUGCCUUCUUCAAAGCAUGCUGGGAAAUCAUCAAAGAUGAUAUUAUGGCUGCCAUAAACAGCCUAUUCACAAUGAACGCCCAGGGUUUUGAAUGGCUAAACUCGGCAUGCAUCGUCCUUCUGCCCAAAAAGGAGGGUGCAACAAGGGUCACCGAUUUUAGGCCCAUCAGCCUCAUCCAUAGCAUUGCAAAGAUCUUCUCCAAAUUGCUCGCCAACAGACUCGCCCCUCGUUUGAACUCCCUCGUCUCCAAUUGCCAGAGCGCGUUCAUAAAAAAGAGAAGCAUCCAUGACAAUUUUCUUUAUGUCCAGGGCGCAGUGCGAAAGCUACAUAGACAGAAGAUACCGUCCUUGUUCAUGAAAUUGGACAUCCACAAAGCUUUCGAUACGGUAAAUUGGGGGUACCUGCUUGAAAUUCUACAAGCUCUGGGCUUUGGACCACGCUGGCGUGAAUGGGUCUCUAUUCUUUUCCGUACCUCCACCUCAACAAUCUUGCUCAAUGGUCAGCAAGGACCCACUUUCAGCCAUGCCAGAGGCGUCCGACAGGGUGAUCCGCUGUCACCCAUGCUCUUCAUCUUGGCUAUGGAUCCUCUCCAACGCCUGCUCGAUCAAGCAACCCAGCAUGGGAUACUGACCCCCCUACCCCUCAUGGUGGCAAAAUGGAGAACCUCUAUGUAUGCAGAUGAUGCGGCUAUUUUCAUCAACCCAAUAAAAGAGGAUGUGCAAGCUAUCAAAAUUAUCCUACAAGCCUUCGGCACCUUCUCAGGACUCCACAUUAAUCUACAAAAAAGCUCUGUGCACCCAAUCAGAUGUGACAAUAUCAACCUUGACCAAGUCCUAUCACCCUUCACCGGUAACAAAGGUACCUUCCCAUGCAAAUAUUUGGGGCUGCAACUCCACACCAGAUCGCUCCGAAAGGUUCAUGUACAGCCUCUCAUCGAGCGUAUUGGACAAAGGCUACCCAAAUGGAAAGGAAGAUGGUUGAACAAAGCGGGGCGGCUCACUCUAGUAACUUCGGUCCUAUCCUCCAUGCCAACCUACCACCUUACAGUGUUCCCAUUGGCGGCAUGGGCCCGAAGGAAGAUUGACAAAAUCAGGAGAUCCUUCUUGUGGAAGGGGGAGGAGAAUACCAAUGGUGGACACUGCCUGGUUAACUGGCCAACAGUUACAAGACCUAAAGACCUUGGUGGCUUAGGUGUGCCUGACCUUGAAAGGUUUGGAAGAGCCCUCCGGUUGCGCUGGCUAUGGCAAGAAUGGGUGGACGACUCCAAACCGUGGAUCGGCUCGGAGCUCCCAUGUAGUGAUGUUGACCGCCUACUCUUCAACUCCUCAACCAAAAUAACCUUGGGUGAUGGCGCAAAGACCCGUUUCUGGCACCAUAACUGGCUAGAAGGAGAAUCUCCAAGGAACCUAGCCCCGAAUUUGUUUCGGCUUGCUUCGAGGAAAAAUCGAACGGUGCAGCAAGAACUCCAGAACAACAACUGGAUGCGCUCGUUACGGAGGAAAAUCUCCUCAGCUGUCCACAUAGAGGAAUUUGUGUCUCUCUGGAUUCGAAUCCAGGAUAUACACCUACAGCAGGGCGUCCAGGACUCCAUCUCCUGGCGCUGGACCCUGGAUGGGACUUACUCCGCCCGUUCCGCCUACAGGAUACAAUUCAAAGGCUCCCUCGCCUUGUUCCAAUCAGAACUCAUUUGGAAAGCUCAAGCGGAGGGCAAAUGUAAGCUCUUCGCCUGGAUUCUGGUGCAAGAUAAAAUUCUUACGGCACGCAACCUACAAAAGAGAGGGUGGCCACACCAAGACCACUGCGCGAUGUGCAACGGUCCCUUGGAAACUGGCCUUCACCUUUGUUUACUGUGCCCUUUUGCUAAAGCAGUUUGGGAUCAGAUCCUCUAUUGGGAAAACUUCACCCAACUACAACAACAGCUCCCGGCCGACCCCGCACAUAUCAGAGCAUGGUGGGAAGAGGCGGCAAGGAAAGUGCCCAAAUCAGAGCUUAGACGGCUGAACGGGGUAGUAAUCUAUACCUUUUGGAAUAUUUGGAAGGAGAGAAACAGGAGGAUUUUCAACAACACGGUACAAACGGCGUCACAAGUGGCGGAUAGAAUUAAGCAAGACAUAGAGCAAAGGAAGAGGGCUUUUGCUUUUUCUUAGGGGAGGGUCUUUGUAGGGUCUUUGUAGGACCCCGGGAUCCAUUCAAACCUCCUUUCGAGUGUCUCUGCUUGUAUAUAACUCUCUUUUCCUAUCUUAAUUGAAAGGCAGAGCUCCUGCCAUUGUUUUCAAAAAAAAUGCUUUGUGUGCAAAACCUAUAUGAUGGAUCUGCUGGGCCUAUAAAAAGAUAGGAAGUUUAAGACAUCUCUUGUGUAGCUACUACUAAAUCAUCUUCUGAUGCCAGAGUCGGGUCAAAUUCAGGUCGCAUAAAAUUCAGGGUCAUCUUCUGAUGCCAGAUUUUUUUUUACAAGUAAUAAAUACAUUAAACCAUCAACAGCAAAUAACUGCUAGUAAGAUUACAUGAUGCAAGUCUACAGAUUGUAGAGCUUGUAGAAUAAAGCAAUGUCCAGAGGCAUGCUGGUUAGAGCAGCUAGAAAGAAGCUAGAAAGAAGCUCUAAGAGCAACUCCAACAGAUAUGUUAUCCAUGUUAUCUAUGCUAUUUUUAUAUUUUUAAAGCAAAAUUUAAAGUCUAACAGGUGUGCUAUCUGGUUUGCUAAAAUAGCAAGUUUGCUAUUCCUAAAUUUUUGCUUGUCAUAUAUAGCAUGUCGUCCUCACUAGCUAUCAUAUACAAAGACUAUUGUGAAACUCUAUGCUUUGAGUGAGUUUUUUAUUUUACACAAUGGUUAAAUCUUGUAGUUUAGAAUAUAAUUUGUCUAGUCUCUUGGAGAUGCUCUUGGUGAGCUAAUCCAUCAGCCAAGAGAUUCAAAUUUCUACUAAUUUUACACAAUCUAGCAGAGCUCAGCUGACCCUGGACAAAUUUGUAAAAUUUUGCUAAGAGUUGAUGCCAGACAUGCGAAACCCUCGGCUGGUUUUAAUAUAAAGAUAUACGUUUUGCAUAUGUAUUUUUGACGAUUGCGUAUGCCUUUUUCACCUACAUAUUAUUUUGGUGCGCCCAUAGGCGAAUACUUAUUGCGCUUUAUCCAAACUCUGACGGGAAAUCGAAUGCAUUUGCACAAAGAAAGUCUAUUUUAGACCGGUCUAAGUCAAAAUUUUAUUAGUGUUUCAUUUGCAUUUAGUAAGCUGUCACAUAAGAGUUUUUGACGAUGUGGCGACGUUUUUAAGAAGAGAGAGAAAAGGUGAGUUAUGAAGAUGAAAUCCUUUUGACACGACUAGAUUUAUGAAAUUAAAUAUGUAUGAAACUAUAAAAUGAGCUUUUUAUUGAGAUUGGGUGUUUUAUUUUAUUUUAUUUUAUUUUAUUUUACAUGGUAAUCUUGAAAAAAGCAUCAUGAACUCCUCUUAAGACUGCCUUGCCUCACUGAAUUAUUGUUGAUAGUCUAAUUUUUCUUUCCAAACUUCAAAACUAGGUAUCUUACCUAUAAACUCUCAAAAUUAUUCAAAUUACCUCACUGCCCUAGUUUGAGAUGGUUUUGACCCUAGCUUGUCUUCUUUAGUUAAAAAUCUGUUUAACACUUGAUAAAAGUCUUUAAACUACAAAAAAUGUCUCUAAGCAUCUAAAAUUUUUGAAAAAGUAAUAAGAUAGAUUGGCAUACCAAUAAUCCAAAUAUAGUAUUUAUAACUCAUGAAAAUAUGUCUAUAAUAUCCAAAAAUCUAAAAAAAAUCCUAGAACAUAUAUUCGAUGUUUCAACAUGUUUUAAAAAACUUCACGUAGCAAAAAUAUGAACACCCAACAUGAAUGCAACAUGCAUUAAUGCUGUACAUUUGUAUGACUGUGUCUUAUGUUUUUAUUGUGCAAAGUUUUCAUAACAUUUUUAUAGGUCAAAUAGAAUGUUUUGGGAAACUUUCUAGAUAUUUCUCUCAUUUUUCUAGAGUUAAAUCUAAAUCUUAGAAACUUGUAGAGAUAUUUUCGCUAGUUAUAAAUAUUUUCUUUGAUUAUUUAUAUCCCAAUCUAUCUUUAUGAUUUGUUGGAAAGUCAUAGAAGUUUGGAGAUAUUUAUGUGGUUUAAUAAUCUUAUCAAGUAUUUACUAUUUUUAAAGUAAAUAAAAAAAUAAAUCACAUUUUAAACCACUCUAAAACAAGACACAGAGAUAAUUUGAAUGUAUUUUAAGAGUUCAUACGUCUGGAGUGUUCAUAUUUUGAGAGCCCAAGCCGUGCUUUGCCUGUGCGCCGUCUCGUCUCGUGCCCUACUACGCCUCGCCUCGCCUGGCCUCCGUGCUUCCGUCUCACACGCGGCUCCAGACUUCCGAAUAAAAGGGGCAGCCAUGGCCAUGGCGGCGCUGCGGGAGGCCUCCCGCUGCCUGGCGUCCAGGGGGAGCCCUGCGGCCGCGCGAUCCAUGCUCCUCGCGCAGUCGCGCGGCAUCACUUACAAGCUCUUCGUCGGAGGUUGGUUUUUGGCCUUAAUUGCCCAUUUCCUCCCCCCAGUUCUCAGUCCUUACGCGCGCGUCCCUCCUACUUCAUGACCAGUCGAGUGCUCUGCUCCCUCUCUUGCAUUUCGCUGUCGGAGGGAAACACAUCUGUUGAGUGCCUGAUUCGUCGCCAGGGCAUGCGUGCCGAGUGUUCGACGAAAUGCCCUGCCAGUACAGGCCGGGCGGCUUGGUGCCCCAUUGAUACCAUUUUUAGUUACACUGUUUUUUAGUUUUUAACUGAACGCAGUCUGCAAAAAACUAAUUUAGUCGCAACACCAAAAUCAAAAUCAUAGGAAAGUAGCGCCACAUUGUGAAAUUUACUCCUACAAUUUCGUACCACAAAAUACGCAAAAUCAGAAACAUGCAGUUUGAAUCUUGAAAUGCGUUGCAGCACAUUGAUUGGGUCUCUGCUGCUUGUGAGAGAUUAGUGUAUCUCAAAGUCUCUGCCUUCUAAGAGCAUGGCUAAUAAUUGAACUCAUUGUUGGCUACAUGUACAUUUUCGACUCAUCUAUGAAAUUUUCAUCGUAUAAUAGUGUGCCAACUAAGCAAAAUAGUGAUGUGACAUUGAAUUUAAGAAAGAGAGAGGUAGAAAUGGUUAUAGUACGAAAUUAUGUCCGCAUGAGAACCAAUGAGAUGUGAUAGGUAGAUGAUAGGAGAGAGAAGACAUGAUUUGACAAAAAUCUAUCUUGAGAAAACCAUCCAUUAUGAAUAUGAUUUUUUUUUGUGUAGUGCCAACAUGACUCAAUAUGGAAACUGUCCAAUAGUUUCUAGGUUGGGUCUCACAUAAAGUUUCUUAGAGAUUGUGCAUCAGCUCUGCAUUCUACUUCUCUACUUUCUCCUCUCUCCCUUCCACCUAGCAUAAAUCCCACUUAUAGCAAGUAUAAUAAUGGUCUUGUAGCCAAUUUAAUGCUGAUAUAGAGGAGAAGAGAGGAGAAUUUGGCUCUCAUGCAAGAAACCAGCAAGACACGAUGUCUAGGCAAUAGCAGCCAAGUAGCAAGUAUAUGUGAGGAGAAAUAGGAAGGAAUAUGAGACAUGGUACCACAUAGUAAUAGUAAUAAAAAAAUGUAGAUAAAUAGGAGAUACUGAGACAGCUAUUGUAUAAGUUGACUUAUGAAAAAUAUAUUCUACUAUUAAUUACACAUUGUAAUUUGUAAGUAUUGUAAUUCUUUUUGUGUAUAUUUAGUUAGACUUAAACUGCUAACAUCUUUGAUCAGAAUGAUCUUUUGUGUAACAACAUAGGUUUUGGUGUGGGUUUGUGUGUCUAAGGGAUUUUCCCCUGUUUUUGUUCUCUUUUUAAUAAUAAUGAUACACAGCUCUCCUGCGUGUUUGAGGAAAAAGAAAGUAUAUACUCCAAAUGUGGGCACCCUUCUAGAAGGUCCGCCUGUUAUCUAGGACUGGGACAGUUAAUUUUAGUGGUUUAUAUGCCUUUAUGCCUUAUAGAAAUAAAUAAAUUACAAAGAGCACAGUUUAAAGUUGUCAAUGUAAAAGGAGUAUAUUACUGAGCAUCGGAACUCUAGUAGAUCCCAACUAACUGUUUAGGUUUAUAUUGCUUCUUCUUUUUAUUAAGAAAAUAAAACUGCCAUCCUUAGAUAUUCCAGCAAGGGUUCGUAUAUUGUUAAUCUAUGCUGCCUUACUCUUAGCUAUGCCAAAUUACUAAGUUCACAUAGCACACUGAUACCAGUUGCUAGUAAUGUUCUUGCAAGUACACAUUGUUAAUGUUAUUCAAAAUAUGAUACUGAUAUUGCAUGAGCUCUACCUGAGCUAAGUGGGAGCUAAAGCACUAACACCGUACAGAACUGAGAAUCACGGGGACCAUUGGGCAACUAUCCACAGCUAUUUAUAACCUCAUCCGAGUCCUCUGCCCUUUUGCAGGUUUAUCACAAUUUGCAACGGAGGAAAGCCUAGCAGAAGCAUUCUCACGUUACGGACAAGUAAUAGAAGGUCUAUCCUCGUCACUUGCCAUUUGCCACUUUGCCAGAGCGCAUUUCUGUUGGUACCUAUAGUUAUUCUGCCUGCUGUUGUUAUGUGUCACCAAAGCUGGGCUUCUUCUUGCUUGAGUGCAGCUACCGUCGUCAGGGAUAAGGUGACCGACAUACCAAAAGGAUUCGGCUUCGUGAAAUUUGCCUCCCCGGAAGAAGCCAAUAACGCGAGGGAAGAGAUGAACGGCAAGGCAAAGAUUUACUCCUUAAAUACAUAUUACUGUUUGUUGCCUUUUUUUUCCCCUUCUUUGUGCCAUCUGGAAAUUUAAAGAGCUGAGCAAUGUGAGCUCCUGACAGGCAUUGAACGGCCGGGUCAUAUACGUGGACAUCGCAAAGGCCAAACCGGACCGUGCUACAGAUGCUCUCCCAAUAGCGAGAGGUCCUCCUAAGCCAAUUAGCAACGGCUGAUAAAGGAAGGCCCUGGUUUGUAGUUUACAUACUUCCUCAGAUAUGGAUACUCUUAGAUGAAACGUGAAGUGCAAUAUUCUGCAGAAUUUCGAGGUUUUGCUUGAACAUAAAUAAAGUUCAUUUACACAUCCUGGGUACUCGUAACAUGCUUGUCCGGAUGAGAUGCUGUGUGUUUCUUGUCAUGACAGGUGCUGCUUUAAAUCCGUAAUGCCAGCGGCCACGAGACAUCUACUAGUAGAUGUGGUUGCGGAUGGUAGUUGCAUGUCGUCUUGAAUCUGUUCUAUUCUAGAACAGUACGUUGCCCCCGUUUGCACUGUGUUUGGAACCAAUGCUUUGCAGUUCAUCUGUACCUUCUCUAUGGUCGGUCCCUGGAAAUUCCUUUUUCGUUUUGCCGAUCCGAUCCAUGGAAGUUGGGAAUCUGGAUAGUGAAUAAUAAUGCUCUCGACUGGGGACGUUUUCUUCUUGUAUUGUCGUCACGUUGUUUGUUAUAGGAUAAUAUAGGAAAACGAUGCACAUCAGUGCUGGACAUGAUGGUGUACAGUUCCUAACUGUUACACGAAAGAUCGCUACUCGAUGUUGUACGCUAACGCUAAUACUCCUGAUUAAAUGACACGUCUUGUCUGCACUUGUGGCGCCUUGACGGUUAAUCAAGUUCGCGCUCGCUCGCUCGUCCGUCCGGCCGGUCACCGGAGCGCUACAGCGGCGAGGCAGGUGAGCACGACGACAGCGCUGGCAGCGGAGCAGCAGAGGUCCACGAGCGCCUCGCGGCGCGCCUUGCUCUCCUUCCUCCCCUUCUUGCGCUUCACGAACUCGAGGUACCGCCUCUUGGCCUCCUCGGGCUCUCUGGCCCCUCCCUUCCGGGGCGCUUCCAUCGCGGCGGCGAGGAGCCGCAGCGCACCCUCGCCGCUGACCGCCGCGCCGUCGGCGUCCUCCACGGCCAGGGUGACCUCGCUGACGACGUGCCCGCCAGCAGCCCCCUCGGAGUCGGAGCAGGCGACGGUGGCCUCGAACUUGCACCCUCCCAGCACCACGGCGAACCGCGCCAGCGUCUCGCCCGUGUACCAGUGCCGGUCCACCGCCACGGGCCGCCGGCUGGAGACGUUCACGGCCCGGCCGCGGGACGGGUCCACGACCACCCAGCUCAGCUCCAGCUCCGCCGGCGAGAAGGGCGCCGCGGCGGCGGCCUCCGGCGCCGGCUUCUUCCGCUCGACGGCCUCCACGCGGAACGGCGAGGCGAGGAACCACGACGACGACGCGGGCGUCUCCACCACGCGGGAGAGCAGGGGCGCGCCCCUGUAGUAGACGUCCACCGCGGAGACCAGCGACAGCUCCCCUGCGGGAACGGGGAGAGGGAGGAGGCCGCACCCGCCGGCGCCGGCGGCGGUCGGGAACGGGUGCGCGUCGGCGAAGAGCCGCUGCGGCGGGAGCGCGGCGAGCUGCUGUGCCGGCGGCAGCGGCAGCGCCAGCGACGGCCACUCGGCGAGGCAGAGCGCGCGCCAGGUGUCCGGGUCCGUGGCCAGCGCCCGGAGCGCGGCCGUGGCGCAGCUGGCCGCGGCCAGCGACCGCCCGUCCAGGCGCCGCAGCGCGCAGCCCAGCACGUCGGCGUGGAGGUCCUCGAUCGUCGUGGUCACCAUCUCCCCCACGACCACUAGUGUGUGAGCCUGUCUCAGUGUCUCUCUUCUAUACUUGGGCGUGGAGGCUCGAGUUUAACUCUGGCUUAUGUUGUGGUGAGACGACGCUUUAGCCCCACGGGAUUUAUAUAUAAGCUGCUGGGACAACUCCGGUCAAAGCGAGGCCGUGCUCUGCCCUCCUCACCCUCAUUUACUGCUCCUGCCGCCUUUUGUUUCCGCAAGGAGUCUUUCCGCGAAAACGACGGGGGUCCAGCCCUAGCACUAGCAGCAAUUUAUCCCGUGUCAGGGUGGCGCUGCCGCGGCGUCGACGGGAACGCGGCACGCCCCGCCUCCGCCUUGCUGUCCCUUAGCGUGGCGGCACCAAGGCUGCGCGGCCGUGCGGUCUGCGGAGCGGGAGGGACGCGUGGUGGUGCCGGCGGGGGAAUCACAUUCACGCGCGCGGGGCUCGCACUCGCACGUUCUGCUUGCCGCGCUCCGGCAUAUGGACAUGGGGGCCGCGCGUGCGCGUUCCUCCUGCUGCCGUUCCGUCCGGUCCUCUCCUCUCCUCUCCUCUCCUCUCACGCGGCCCGGGGCAGGAGCAGGGCGCGUCCGCGUCGGGGCGGGCGGGCGGGCGUGCGACGCGCGUUUUCGCCGUGCGGAGGGCGCAUUUCCCCCCGGGUUUUUCCCACGCUCGCGCCUGUUGUCCUGUGCCAGGGUCCCCGGCGGAAAGGGGAGGAGGAGCACUGGAGUGGUGUGGUGCCGGUGUACGCCCCUGUUGCUGUUGGAUUCCCCUGUCGUCUCCAAUGGAAAUACAAGGGUCCCGGUCCUUUUCACGUGUCGGGCAAAUCCCAUCCGUGGCGCGCCUGCCGCGUACCACGUACUGCGUUACGACACCACACCACACCACACACACAGCAUCUCAUGCUAGUUUGUAGUAGGAGCCAGCCGUGAGCCAUCGGGGGGCGUAAUUGCGCCAGUAGGCCAUCGUUUUCGCGAACGGCGAUUGCCCGCUGCACCGCUGAAAACAAGGUGCGGUCCGUGGAGACUGCAGGGUAGUAGUAUAGCUGUCCUGCGGCCUGCGGGCGGUUUGAGGGGGGUUAUAUCAUGCACGGUCGUUUAGGAGGCCCAAUCUAUUGUGUAGUAUGGUUAUUUUUUUAUUUUUUUUGGCGAGAUUAUACUGUACAGCAGGCUAAAAACUAGCCUGCACGCUACCACGGCUGUGUGGUCGCUGGUUGGUCAGAGAUCUCAUAUCGCCACAAGCCCACAGUCCAUGCAUGGAUGCUUCGUGUCAACGUGCAUGUCCUCCCCGGUCACGUGAAGAAGCUUGUGCUGCCUGGGAGUGGCCUGUGGGGACCUGCGGGUACCACCGUACGGCUCACGUACGAUCCAAUCUCAGAUGGAUUAUGGGUAUCCUACGUUCUGCAAGAUCUGCCGUCUGAACUAUGUCAUGUGAACUUGUGUGCUGAGCUGAGUGCCGCCCAACAGUUCAACCGUCAGCUUAAAACUUGAUUUCGAAGCUGACGUCUAGUAAGUAUUUUGCGUUUUUUUUUUUGGCCUUGUUUAGUUGUAGAAAAUUUUACAAAAUUUUUCAGAUUUCUCGUCACAUCAAAUCUUACGGCACAUGCAUGGAGUAUUAAUUAUAGAUUAAAGAAAUAACUAAUUAUAUAGUUUACAUGUAAUUUACGAGACGAAUCUUUUGAGCCUAGUUAGUAUAUGAUUGGACAAUAUUUGUCAAAUACAAACACUACUACAGGAUUGAUUAACCGCAACGAGACCAUUUCCACCUCCGUGGCGGGCACAGUUUUUGCCCGCCACGGUUAUUCAACCGCACGCGUAUAGACCCGACCACAGGAAAGCCCGCUGCAGUAAACGAUUAACCGCAGCGGGCAUCUUAAAAAGCCCGCUGCGGUUAAUCUUAUUAACAGAAGCGGGCAACAUAAACUGCCCGCUACGGUUAAUGCUUUUACCGUAGCGGGCAUGUUACGUCGCCCGCUUCGGUUAACCGACAUUAACCGUAGCGGGCGGCUUAUGAAGCCUGCUUCGGUAGUUCAUUGGCUGUAUAAAUAGCAGCCAGCCCGACCCCUUCUUCUUCCUCACAGCUGCUCUCUUCCAAAUCGCGGGGAGAGUGGUUUUGCCCUAAAAUUUGACCAAACAAUUGAAUUGUGGUUUAGAACUUUGAUUUGGUGGAGUAGGACAUCAUAAGAGGUACAUAGGAACUCCCUCCCCUCUUUCUCUCACUUUUGAGCAUUCCUUUAUGUCUAUAUAUAGGUAGAUCUAGAUCUAGAUCUAGUUUCAUGGAGGAGAGAGAAAGCUAUGUUUUUUUGUCUAGAUUCUUAAUGGAUGCAUAUGAAACCUUCUUUGUUCGAUGUGUAACGGUUCGCAGGCACGAGAUGGAUAGGUCGGAAUGGAUGUAUGGGAUGAAUCGGGUGCUUGACCCGCGGUACCUUGUCGAAGUGAGGAAGUUUAUUGCCACGAGCUCACCGUGAGAGAUCGAAGCGGACGACAACCAUAUGUCCAUGUUCUCACUGCAAGAACCUCACAGCCUUCACGAAAGACGGUACGGUGCAGUCUCACUUGAUUCGGUUUGGUUUCAUGGAGGGUUACAUAGUCUGGACUCAUCACGAUGAAAGAGUGGACCCCAGUGGCGAUGCAUCUGGUUUGAGCUCGACGUCGACGACCAUGAACCAAGAACCUAUAGCGCCCAUGUCAUCUCCAGCGACUGCAGGGCCAACCUGUGGCAACAAUGACAGUGCUCGUGAUUACACGAUGGAGGAUAUACUCGACGAUGAAAAGUGGGAUACAAGGAAGUUCCACCUGUGGUAUAUGGAAGCGGCAAAAGCCGGGAUGAGAGGUUUCACCAUCAAGAUUCCCUCGGAGUUGUUCCACUUGCCCCGUGCCGAUAUUCAGCUGCCUGUGGACUUCCAGGACAUGUACAAUCUAUUGCGGGAAGAAGACCUUGACAUCGUCCAAAUCACCUUAUUCUCUCUGUAAGUGAUGAUUGCGACCUUCAUAGACCAAUCUCUACAUUUGUAUUGGAGAACUAUAUGAUUUUUAGGACACGAUGACUUGUCCGUGCAGGUUGACGGUCACUAUUAGCAACAAAAGGCACCAUCCUAUCCUAUACCUCUCUCCAAUGCAUAUUGCUGAGAGAGUGAUCAAGGGUUUCCAGAUAACGGACCCAGAGUUGACCGUGCGGCAGAGGGAAAAGAAGUACGAAGAAAACAUGAAAGAGGAGAAGAAGAAAUUGUCAAGGUACAUCUUUGAGGUAAUGAAGAAGCUCAACCCGGAUGGGCCGCAUUGUAUUAUGGCUGCCUACCACUUUGGGUAAGUCGAAAACAUCUAUGUAAAGCAAAAGUGGCUAGGGUCAUGCCUUCUCGUUGACAUAACCUAUACUUGUUUCAAUGGUGUAGAAAUGACCUAGCCGGCGGCCACUGGGUUGCCUUCCUCGUCUAUCCUCAAGAUGGCCGGGCUGUUAUAUUUGACUCGUUACAGGUACCGAACAGAAAGGGGUACAAGGCCUUCGAAGACUGCUUGAAAAAGUAAGCCACCGAGCUUCUUGAUCCUUUACGGUUAUCGUAUUCAAAUUGACGCUAACACUAAUACACUUCGUGCAGCGCUUAUAGUGCAUAUCUCAAGGAUCCGCAAUGCUGGGAUCGGAGAACGGAGAAAUUCAAAAAGAGGCAUAAGAACCACCUCAAAAUCCGACGCGAUUUCCCCGUAAGUAUAUUUUAAAGGUACUUCAAUUAUGCUUUUGGUAUAUAUGUGCUCUAAUGCUUUUGUAUCGAUCCUGCAGUGCGCCAAACAACCCUUGGGAUCAAAGGCAUGUGGCUUGUACACCUGCGAGAACCUAAGGGAAAGCAAGGAGUACACCAUCAGCUGGAAGAAGCUCAAAGAAGCAGUGAAGAAUCGUGGAGAGACAAUGAAGAAUGAACGCCAAGCUUUUAAGCAAAUCAAGGCAGACAUCUGUAAGUUCAUCCUAGAGAAAUGCGUGCUCGAAGGCGAACCAUUCUUUGACAAUGAAGGUGAAUUGGCAGUUCGACCAGAGUUCGAGAAGCUUAGGAGAUGGGACACCAUGCUACGGCCGACCGAUUACACCCACGCAGUAGAAUUGUGAUGUGUAGCGGAUUCGCGGGUUUCAUAUGUGUAUAUGUGGAUGAUGAGAACAACUAAGUGGAUUUAUAUAUUAUGUCGUGUCUUAUGUAUUGAACUUUCAGUCAUAUGUGUGUCUAUAUAUAUAUAUAUAUAUAUAUCUUCUGUUUCUGAAAUGAAAUCUAGAUUCUGGAAUUUGUAAAUUGUUUAAAUUCAUUUGCAGCAAUGGUUCUGCAAUGUGUUUUUUUUAUUUAAAAACACUUAACCGUGGCGGGCAACAUAAAGUGACCGCUACGGUUAAUAGCAGUAUCCGUAGCGGGCAACAUAAAGCGCCCGCUGCGGUUAAUCUAUUAACCGUAGCGGGCGACGUAAAGAGCCCGCUGCGGUAAAUAGGAAUUAACCGUAGCGGGCGCUUUAUGUUGCCGCUACGGUUAAUCGAUUAACCGUAGCGGUCGGCGGCGCCCGCCACGGAAGUGGCCACGAUUUACCGUGGCCUUAUGGCCGUGGCAGACGCGUUUGCCCGCUACGGAAAAAGGAAAAUGCCCGCCACGGUUAUUCUUUCUGCAGUAGUGAAACGAAAAUGUUACAGUAUCUAUUAUGCAAAAAAAAUUAGAAAAACUAAUAUUAGAAUAAAAAUAUUAUCUCUUUCAUUUUUACUGUACACACGUUUCUAUUUCAAAUCAACAUCCAUCACAGCUCAUACUCCUCCCAUUUCACUCUUACUAUACACAUUUUUUUUCUAUUUCAAAUCAAUAUCUCCAUCACACCCCCUCAUUCUCCUCUUAUUUUCACUCUUACUGUGCACACGUUUCUAUUUCAAAAACAAUAUCCCAUCGCAGCUAAUUCUCCUCUCAUUUCACUCUUAGGCCGUAUUUAUAGGGGCUUUUUCUUGGUUUCGGUUCCUCGGCUAUAGAAGUGCUGUAGCGAAGCCAAGAAAAAACUCAAAUACUCGUAUUCUCCGGCUCCUCUCUUUCCUAGUGCAUCUUUAGAUAAGUUGGAGUUGUUUUUGUUUAUGCUACAGUAUGCUACAGCCCCGAACAAUGCUACAUGGUAUUUUGGGGGUUAGAGCCGAAGCAAUCUUAAAGCUCUUCCAACCAGGACCUAAUUACUGUCCACACAUUUCUGUUCCAAAUCAACAUGAAACCAAGUUUUCAACCUAAAUCCAACACAAAAACCUCAAAUAGUGAGUAUCUAGAGUCCAACUCUAAAAGUUAUUAGAAAUCGAUGACUAUUGCUAGAUCUAGAAAGAUAAGGCCGUGUUUAAUUGGUGAAGGAAAAAAUUUCGUGACACUGUAGCACUUUCGUUUGUUUGUGGUAAUUAUUGUCAAACCAUGGACUAAUUAGGCUCAAAAGAUUCAGCUCAUACAUUUCGACCAAACUGUGCAAUUGAUUUUUAUUUUCGUCUAUAUUUAAUAUUCUAUGCAUGCGUUUAAAGAUUUGAUAUGACGGAGAAUCUUGAAAAAUUUUGGAUUUUUGGAUGGAAGUAAACAAGGUCUAAGUUAGGAAGGAUUUUCCCAUUAUAUUCUAUAGAUAUCCCUAGCCCCCUCUUUCCAAUCUUAUAUGGGUAUCAUUUUGUAGGGGUUUAGAAGGGACUCUAUGCUUGAAGUAGAGAUAGCGAGGGCUCAAGCUCAUUCCACUCGGGUGUUACAUCUGCCCUCUAGAUGACAUGAUUGCUAUAUAAAUCUUCAAGUUACAAAUUGUCUAGAUGAUCGCAUAAUAAACUAUACAGUUUGUUACGACGAAUACCUUCUAUUUUCAGGUUUAAUUAAAGCCAAGGUGGUUUACUAAAAAUGUUCGUUUCUAGCCUUCUAUUGAAGGGUAGCUUUUGCUGCAACAGUCGUCGCAAUUGUUACACCUAUGUAGCACUGUGUACAGCUGUAGUGCAGACCUGUGGCUGUUAUUGUUGAACUCAACGUGUCCUCGUUAAGACUUAGAGCACCUCCAGUGUUGGUUAGAAACGCAGACGGAAGAAGAAACCGAACUAGGAACAUUGGAGCAUUGGGACAUUCGGUAUCAAAACCAAAAUUAGAGUUUGCAGAUGAGUCAUACCGAGAGGAAUAAAAAAAACUGUUUUAGAUGUGUCGCCGCCCAGCAUUCCUUUGCUCUCAUUCAAAUAAAGAUGUUCUUUUAAUCCAUAUGGACGCACAAGUCGCUGCACUGGACACACCGAACUCUCCUUUUGUUUAACUGUAUGGUUCGACGAGACAUUGUAGGUUCCUUUAGGAAGGAGUGUCCUUUGUUAGGUUCUUUUUGGCACAUCUCAAAAAGUGCUUUGGCUUCUCUAACAAAACACUAUAGCCUUACUACUUGAUUACUGUAAUGUUGAUGAAGUCGUUUCCAACCAAAUAAACUAGGUAGAUGAUGAAGUCAACAUUUGGAGCUUCAAUCGGCUCCUACUGUAACAGUUACACUAGUCAAACAGUGUUAAAGCUGAAGCCGGUGCAAACCCUACCGAAGAGGUAUUCUCGUCGUCCCAUAAAAAAUGAUUUUCUUACUUUUAAGUAAAACAUUUACAACUUUAACUAAAUAUGUAUAAGAAAAAUAUUAAUAUUUAUAGUAUAUAUAGUUAGUAGAUACUCCCUCUGUCCCACUAAGAUUGACGUUCUAGCAUUGCAGCGUUGUCCCAGUAUUAAUGUCGUUUUAGGUGCAGUAUGCUUAUCCACCCCACUGUCCAGCUAGCUUGUAGCACGCUUAUCCAUGGCUGAGAAGAGAAGCGCAAGAGAUGAGAGAGCACUGCAGAAUAGGGGUACGUUGGUAUUUUUUCUAAUGUCUUGGUAGCUGUGUCCCAACCCAAAACGUCUCUUAUUUUGGGACGGAGGGAGUAGAUCAUUAAAUAUAUUUUUAUAAUAAAUUUAUCGAAAGAGAUAAAUGUUGUCAAUAUUUUCAUAGACUUAAUAAAUUUUAGGCCUUGUUUAGAUCCAGAAAGGUUUUAGAUUUUGACACAUAUUUGACAAUUAUUGUCAAUCAUGAAGUAACUGGCUUUAAAAGAUUCAUCUCGCGAUUUACAAACAAACUGUGCAAUUAAUUUUUGUUUUCAUUUAUAUUUAAUGCUCCACGCAUGUGUCGUAAAAUUUGAUGUGACGAGAAAUUUUGAAAAGUUUUUGAUUUUUGAGGUGAACUAAACACGGCUUUAUUUUACCACCACAAAUUCUAUAUAUAGCGACGUUUUUAUGUAACGGGGGAGUACAAAGUUAGGAAAGAAAGACAAAUUCUAGGCUUCAUCUGUUCCUGUAGGGCAUGGCAGGAACAGUGACUGUCAGAAUUGCCUGAGAAAUUGAAGAUUAUUCAAAAUCCCUAUUGGUUCCAGAUCUGCCUCACAGUUUUAAAAAAUACAAAACCUUCGACUAGUAUCUCUGGGAUGGGUGUUGCGAUACUGUUGCCUGUGCGGUGUCCGGCGCCCUGGCCGACCAUCAUAUGGGCUCGCUAAUCUCGCGUCAGGAUCUGGGGGCCCAAACGCUUCAGGCCUUGUUUAGUUUCAAAAUUUUUAGGGAAAUCGACAUUAUAGUACUUUCGUCUGUAUUUGAUAAAUAUUGUCCAAUCAUAAAUUAACUAGGCUCAAAAGAUUCGUCUCGUCAAUUUCGAUUAAACUGUGCAAUUAGUUUUUAUUUUCGUCUAUAUUUAAUACUCUAUGCAUACGUCUAAAAAUUCGAUGUGAUAGGAAAUCUAAAAAAUUUUAUAAAUUUUUUUUGGAACUAAACAAGGCCUCAUUAUAUUGGAGGUCUGAACUCCGAAGGAUACAUAUGUGGCGUUCUCUUGUUCAUACACGUCUAUAGAUGGUCAUGUAACCCGAGGCACGACGGCCCGGCCCACGGCACGACAUUUUGGCCCGGGUGCUCAGCUCGGUAACUUGCGGGCCCGGACCGGCCCGGCCCAGUGGUGCAGUUCAUGCUUGGGGCGACCUCUAGGCCCGCGGACUGGCCCGGCCUGAGUUUUAGAGGUCGGUCCGGCAACGGCCCGGUGCCACCCUCGCGGGCAUUGCACAAACAACUCAUUUUUACAUCACAUGUUUUUUUUACGUUAUUUCUGAUCUAAGAUUGAAAUUGUGAAUCUGAGAAGUUGACAGUUGUAAAAAAUUGAUUGCAGCAUUAUGCUAGUGAAGUAAUCAUUGUUAUUGUGUGGUUAUUUUGAUUUUUUUUUACAAAACUGGAUUGUGGGCCGACCCGGCCCGUCGGGCUACGCCGGCCACGAAGUCAGCCCGUAGACCCGUGCUUAGGCCAAAGGCCAGACACGCGGGCGACUGAGGCACGAUACGGCAGGUGCCCGGCCCGAUGGCCAUCUGUAUACACGUUUUGGUGUAUGUACGAACAGCAUUUGUUACUGCACAAGCACAACGCACAUUAUUGCUUUGUCAUAUGGUACCUGGAUGCUAGUGAUUUUGACGCUGGUACAGAACCUUUGGAAUUUCAGUUAGAAUCAUUUAAGCCCGAAGAAUCGGCCCUUGUUUAGUUCACCUCAAAACCAAAAACUUUUCAAGAUUCUCCGUCAUAUCGAAUCUUAUGGCACAUAUAUCAAACAUUAAAUAUAGAUAAAAGCAAAAACUAAUUGCAUAGUUUGUCUGUAAAUCGCGACACGAAUCUUUUAAACCUAGUUACUCUAGACAAUGUUUGUCAAAUAAAAAACGAAAAUAUUACAGUAUCAAAAUCCGAAAACUCUUGGCAUCUAAACAAGGCCCAGUGGAUUAUAUGCCCGCAAACGCUGUUUUCCACAGUUCCUUUGUCGGGCACAGGUUUUCUCCUUGAGUGAGCACUCUUAAGAACAACUCGUCGAUCUGUUUUUCAGCACUAUUUUAAGGAUACUUUUCAAGAAAUAACAAUAUUUUUUUUGUUCGCAAUACAUUAGCAUCUUCAGCGAGCCGAACGGGCUGAGCGCGUGGUGCAUGUAUCUACCUGCAGGAAAAGGCCGUCAAGCAUAAGGGCCAUGGACAACCUACGACAGCCUAUACGUGGAAAGCCUCACGCAAGAGCCAGAGAGAAAGAGCCAUCACAGUCCACAAGGUGCCUGCGUCCUGUGGUUUCGUUCAAUGAAUCGCCGUCGGAGUGAGCUGGUGACCGCAAUUCCUGACCAAAGUCUCAACACUUGUUCUCGUUUACCUUCCCGUCACUGUCGUUCCGUUCCUUUUUUUUUUCAAGAUUCAAGAACCGUUCCCCUAUUGCUUUUGCCUUUUGGCACCAGCAACUGAUCGAGGAUCACUCGGGUUCCGCUUCCAUGUACUAAGUGUAACUAUGCAUGCAUUUUAUCAAUCCGUGGGCUGGUUUUGCCUGGAUUUUUCAAGAUCACCGGCCGGCGUGCGUUGUCCUCGUGCGGCGGCUGUGCCUGCACCUGGACGCAUCUGGUUUGAUUGGAAUAAUUGGAUGGAAAUCAGCUACAGGAACACGUCUGCGGCCCUGUUUAAUUGGAGAUAAAAAAUUUUUGGGUGUCACAUCGCAUAUGUCGUAAGGAUAUCGGGAGAGGUUUUUAGGAACUAAUAAAAAAAUAAAUUACAUAGUUCGUCACGAAACUGCAAGACAAAUCUAUUAAGCAUAAUUAAUCUAUCAUUAACACAUGUGAGUUACUGUAGCACUUGAGAAAUUGGUUAUUAUAGGACUCCAAAUAUUGGGUUUCUCUAUAAUAGGACUCUUAACGUUAGUUUCUCCUAAAUAAGACUGCAAAUAAUUAUAAUCAGCUCUAAUGAUAUUUUGUUUCUUUUAUAAUAUCUUUUGUCAUCUAAAAAUACAUGUAUUUUUCGUAUUGACCCUAUUAUCCUUCAGCUAUCAUAUGGUACUAAAUUCCAUCGAUUCAGACGCUCCUCCUCGCAUAGUGGUGUCAAUUAGCUUGGAUUUUCUUAUUUGCGCCCUUUCGCAAGACCUCAAUUUCAGAUCAGAUGGCUUAAAAGGCGAGCAUGACUAAUUUGCAUGCCGCUAAUCUUUGUUGGAAAGCUAAGAAAUAUCGAUGCAGUCCUUUCUCCUUUUUCUAAAACCUGCACUUAUGCAGUAAAAUAAGUGCAGUAAACUGUGGUCGGCCGGGAAUUUGAUGAAAUUGGAGGGCUUGCAGCCUUGCACCAUGAGAUCAUUGGCGCUAGAUUUAUCGGAGAGGGUUCGAGCGAGCCGAGGGCACAUCUGCACAUCCCUGUCACCAAGCAGCCAAAUUCAGCAGUGCCGUGCCGGUGCGGCGGGUGACGGGGGAGCAGAGCAGCCGAGCUGCCGAUGCCGAGAGCAGGGGAAACUGAAAAGAAAGGGAAGCUGCAGGGGAAACUGGAAAGGAAGGGAAGCUGCUCGUCUCGGUGGUGUUCACGUGUGAGGAGGAGCGUCGUGCGGCAUCUCGUGUCUGGUAGAUGAAUUGAUGGAAUUGAGUACCAUAUGAUAGCUGAAGGGUAAUAAGGUUAAUAUGAAAAAUACAUGUAUUUUUAGAUGAAAAAAGACAUUAAAAAAGAAAUAAAAUGUCAUUAAAGCUGAUUGUAAUUAUUUGCAGUCCUAUUUGAGAGAAACAAACGUUAAGAGUCCUAUUAUAGAGAAACCCAAUAUUUGGAGUCCUAUAAUAGCCAAUUUCUCGUAGCACUUAAAGCUAAUCAUGGAGUAAUUAGGCUUAAAAGAUUCGUCUCGCGAUUUUCAACCAAACUGUGUAAUUAGUUUAUUUUUUUAUAUAUAUUUAAUGUUCUAUGCAUGUGUCCAAAGAUUCGAUGGGAUGGAUGAAAAAUUUUUAGAUAGAAAACUAAAUAAGGCCAAAAAAACUAAACUUUUGCCAACUAAACAGGCCUCAGUUUCUCACACUGCAGUCUUUCUUUUGUGUUGCUGUACGUACGGUAGAAGAGACGACGCAGAGUCGGACAUUGCUAGCUGGGCCCUUUUGGACUGGACGUGGACGGGGUUUGACGAAUGACGACGCCCUGUUUGUCCUUGUAAGGCAGGCGACGGCGAAUGUUUGGUGCCACAGAACAGAAGCUCCUCCAGCCGGACACGUCCAUGUCCAGAUAAACUCGAUCCUUCAUCCUUUUGUCCGCCAAACGGGCAUUUCAGAUGGAAAAAAUGUAGCAGCAUUGCCGCAUUGGCCGCGAGCGUCAGUGCACGACAGCUAUCGACGAUCCAUGCGUCCCGCCCGCUUCCCGCACAGCCGCCAAGAACCUGACAGUAGAAUGCAUCCGAGAGCAUAAAGCUUAAGUUCUGGUUAGUUCCGGUAAAAUUUAACUCUUAUCGCAUCGAAUAUUUGGACACAUAUAUAAAGUACUAAAUAUAGACUAUUUACGAAACUAAAAAUAUAAUUAGAGAAUAAUUUACGAGACAAAUCUUUUAAAUUUAAUUAGUCUAUAAUUAUAUAUUAAUUAUAAAAUAAAACAAAAGAUACUAUUAUAUCUAUUAAACUUUAACACCUUCGACCAAAUAUCCACUUAAUUCUAUCACAACUUGUACUGCAUCGUUAUUCGUAUCUAGCUUUGCCGGGGCCGGAGGUGUGAUGGAGACAUUGUGGUUGGGUGUCGGCAGGCAUCCGAGUCCCAGUCGAACUCUUCCACCUCUGUAAAACCAGCAACGCCCCUAUGCCCCUAUCUCCCUGGUUUCUUCUGCUCGUCUGUACUGUACUACUGUAGUACUAGAGAAGAACAUGCUAAACUGAGCAUAGGAGCAGGCUAAAGAGCGGAACGACCAUAGAUGAAAUUCAACAUAUCUAUGAUGGAGACCAAAUCAACAUCAAAGGUCGUUUGUGAAAAACUAAAAUAAUGAAUUCAAAAUUGAAGAACUUAAAACACAUAUUGGGGCCUCUAAACGAUCUUAGAUAAAGAAAAAUUGUCAACUAUGAAGUUACAAAUCUUAAUAGGAAUAUAACUUUGGUAUAGACUAUAUCAAUAUCCGAGUCAUUUGAUUUUUUCUAAAAAAUAAUUUUAAAAUCUAGUAACUUAAAACAAAUAUUUGGCCCUUUUCAAAUAUGUUAAAUAAUAAUGAUAUCAACUACAGAGUUGUAGGUCGUGUAGGGAACUAGGGAUACAACUUUGAUAUAAAUUUGUAUUCAUAUGAUUUCAUAUGAAAGGUAGACAAAUGAUAUGUGGGCUCCAUGGUCAUGUCACAAAAUCACCUAAGAAACACUUUAAAAUUGUCAAGGAGAUAUGUUUCCAAAUUUUAAAAUUAAAGAUGCGUAUGUUAUCCAGUAUUGAAGUUUGAGAGGAUCUUCCAAAUUCAACGACUAGUUUAGGGGGAUUAAUCAGACUUACAUCACAUUGAGCCCUCCACAAUCUGAUACUAAUGAACUAUCAUUGUGAUAUGAUUUUCCUCAUCAUACUUCAAAACUUGACAUCUUACCCUCCAAACUCUCAAACCAUCCAAAUUAUCUCUCUGCCUUGAUUUGUAGUGGUUUUGAAGCCAGAUUCAUAAUCUUUAAUUAAAAAAUAGGGUAAAUACUUAUUACAAUUUUUAAUCAUAGAAAACAUCCAUAAGUUUUAAAAACUAAUAAAAAUCCUAGGUAUGGAUGGAGAUACAAAUAAUCUAAAUAAAAUAUUUAAAGCUUAUGAAAAAAUUUUCUGACAUUUCUAAAAAUAUUUAGAUACAGGAAAAAGAGAAAAUAUCAAGACAAAUGUAAAACGUUCUAAUUGAUGUAUAAACAUGUUUUAAAAAAAUCACAACAAAACAUAAUAUGCAAUAUAGAGGAUAAAUUCAUUCAACUUGCAUUCAUGUUGCUUGAUCAAUAAUUUUUCCAUAGAAAGUUUUUAAAAUAUAUUCAAACAUAGAAUGUUUUUGGAGUUUACUAGUUUUUUAUAUUUAUACCAUUUUGUAGAGCUAAAUUCAAAUUUUUUAAAACUUUUAGAGAUAUUUUCACGAGCUCUAAAAAGUUUAUUUGGGUUCAUAUCCCAAUCCAUCUCUAGCAUUUUUCUCAUAAUAUUUAAAAUCUUAGAGAUAUUUUUGUGGUUAAAAAAUCUUAUCAAGUAUUUAUCAGAUUUUUUAUUAACUGAAAACAAGACGAUGCCACCUUUAAAACCACUUCAAUCUAUAGCAAGAAGGUAACUAGAUUUUUUUGAGAGUUUAGAGUUUAAGAGGUCUGAUUUAAUUUACAGCUCAAUGAGAAAAUUGAGACGAUAAUUUAUAGAGAUAAAAUGGACUUUUUUUUUCAAAUGAAAAUUGCAGCCCAACCCAGUGGUGUCCGUCUGUUGCAAGCAAGCAAAGCAUUGCUUAGCCAAGGCCGUCAGGUGAAUCAGGCCUACACAAAGCAGAGUCCCGAACCCAGCAAACUGAAGUUCUUAACAGCCCAAGCACAUGACCAAGGCCCACGACCAGUUGUCCCACUGUAGAGACUGUUCCCAUGAUGCAACCGCGAGUACAUGCCACAGUGGCGAAGCUAGAGCAAAUUAGAGGAUGAUGCACUUGCCUUGUGGGUGCAUAGACUUGUGCUAUACGUGGUGCAUAUAUGGUGAAAUUUUAGAAAAAAAUAUUGUUUUUCCAAAAUUUGGGUGGUGCAUUUGCACCCACUAGCUUGUAGCUAGCUUCGCCCCUGACAUGCCACGAAUUCAUAGUAACCAUCUAAUGUAUGAGAGAGCUGUAAUUGUUCUUUCCAACUAUCCCUACUUAAUAAUUUAUAUAGUUAUAUCUCAUAAGUUGGAUGAUUAUACAUAGACAAGUGGCAUAAAAGCCAUGACACACACCCACAAUUACAUCCCCACCUUAUUUUUCCACACACGUGGCGUGUACUCCCUUCAUCUCAAAAUAAGUGCAUUCUAGUUAUGAACCUAGAUAAAAUUGUCCAGAUUUCAUAUAGCUAAUAAAAGGUCACUUAUUUGGAAUAGUUUGGUAACCACUUCAGUAUUUCCAGAGUAUAUCAUUCUGUAGUCGUCCUCUGUACAGAAUGGGAAUUCCUUAAAGCCAAUGAAGAGUCGGAACACCGGAUAAUCCAUUUGGUACGGCACAUGACAUGACUAUCAAGCAAGCCACAAUAAUAUAUACCGGGUGUACACAUGUUGCCCCUAGCACAGAAUCACAACAGGAAAAAAAGUUGCAUCCUCCCUGAUCCACACAAUUUGGAGCUUGGGGGUCGUAUCGUAUUGCUUUGAGCGAUCGAGCACACUUCCUGCAAUGCAAUGCAAUGCAACGGCCCCAACUACAACUGCCACGGUGUAGCAGUAGUAGAAUAUAUCUUAUCCAGACAUAUCCAAGUGUAGCGCUCCCAUAGGCGGGGUUGGCCGGCGACGAAUCUAUUCCAUCCACUGCAGGUGAUCCACAUCACAACAAAUCCACGGCGUCUCAUCCCGUCCUCUCGCCGCGCGUCCCUGUCCGCGCCGCGCGCCUUCUCCGCACCACAAAACCAGGGGCAGCGCAGCCACAAAUCCCCAUUGCAGCAGCUGACAGACUCAACCGACCGACAGACAGACAUGGCCGCCUCCACCGUCUCCGGCCUCGCCGGCGCCUCCUCCCUGGCCAGCCGCCCGGCUUUCUCCACCAGUAAGUAACGUCGUCCCUCCCAUUAAUUCCAUCGUCGUCUGCAGAAUAAUGCACCUUCUAUCUUGCAGUUGCAUCACUGACGAAAAAUGCUCCUUCUUGCGUCGUUGCAGGCUUCACGAGGGGCAGCCGGGUGUCGGCGAGGAACCCGCUGAUGACGAGGAACCUGGAGAGGAACGGCAGGAUCACCUGCAUGACGUGAGUAAUUAACUGGACACUUAAAACGAGCUCUCGCUCUCGCUCUCGCUCUCUGUGAAAUACUCGUGGAGGAGCUGAUGAUCGCGGCGAUCGAUUUCUAGGUUUCCCCGGGACUGGCUGCGGAGGGACCUGAGCAUCAUCGGGUAUGGGCUGAUCGGCUGGAUGGGCCCGUCCAGCAUCCCGGCCAUCAACGGCAACAGCCUCACGGGGCUCUUCUUCUCCAGCAUCGGCGAGGAGCUGGCGCACUUCCCCACGCCGCCGCCCGUCACCUCCCAGUUCUGGCUGUGGCUAGUCACGUGGCACCUGGGUCUCUUCAUCGUGCUCACCUUCGGCCAGAUCGGCUUCAAGGGCAGGACAGAGGACUACUUCGAGAAGUGAUCAGCGCGCGGCCACGAUCGAUCAAGCUCCGAUCCAUGCAUCGUCUCUGAUAUGAUGCUGCGUUGCGUUCCGCUGCGUGCGUGCCGCAGCAACCAGCAAUCGAUCGAACCUUUGCUGUAUAAUAGUAUAUGAUGGUUCUGAUUUGGUUCAAAAAUGUGUGAUAUGCUACUUUUGAGCUCAAAAAAUGUAAAUCUAUGCCGCGCGCCCCCUGCACGCUCUGGUUCAAUUUGAUGAAUCUAUAGCAAGCUAGUCUUCUCUCAAAUACUCCCUCUCGCUCCGGUCACAGAAACAUGCAUGCAUGUGUUUGUUUAGUAUAUACAAGAUUUGAUCAAACGUUAAAAUUACAAGCAUCACCACCUUGUCCGCCAUCCCAGUGCACGUCUCCAUCUGCUGCUCCCUCUCUCCCUGGGCCAUUAGGGAGAUCGACAAGCGGCGCAGGGUGUUUGUUUGGGCAGGCACAGACACGGUCUCGGGCGGACGUUGCCGGGUGGCUUGGACGGUGGCCUGUUCACCGCGGGACCUUGGCGGUCUGGGCCUCCCGGACCUGCGCACCCUUGGAUUCGCACUCCGCCUUCGCUGGGAGUGGCAGAGGCGGUCUGACAUUGACGCGCCAUGGGCGCUGCUGCCUUCACGCGCCGAGAAGGCCGUCGCAGCCAUGUUCAGCGCAUCGGUCUCCGUCCAGGUUGGCGACGGCACGCGUACCCUCUUCUGGACCGACUCCUGGCUGCCCGACGGCCCGAUCGAGCGGUCCGCGCCGACUCUCUUCGCCCGUGUUGGCCACCGACGUAGAAGAAGAACGGUGAAGGACGCCCUCACCGCCCACCGAUGGGUACGAGAUAUCGCUGGGGCUCGUACCCAGCCGGUGAUGCUUGCGAUCCUCGACCUCGCGGACAAACUAGCUGGGGUGCACCUCACACCGGGGCUCGACGACAGGUUCAUUUGGAAGUGGACCGCGUCGGGCGACUACUCCAGUGCCUCUGCGUAUCGCGCCUUCUUUGCGGGAACGACCGAGCUACUUGGCGCACGCGAGCUGUGGAAGACACGCCCCCCCCCCCCCAAGGUCAAAUUUUUCUUCUGGCUGGGCCUCCAUGGUCGUCUCUGGACCUCGGAGCGGCGAGCGCGCCACGGACUACAGCAGUCCCCCACCUGUGUUCUUUGCGACCAGCUGGACGAGACGCACGAUCACCUGCUGGCUGCAUGCGUCUACACGCGCGAGGUGUGGCUGCGCAUCCUGUCUACGUUUGCCCUCGGUCACCUGACGCCCACCGCGGAUGACACGCUGCUGGACUGGUGGCUGCGGACGCGUGCGCGGUUCCACGACGUCCUACAGAAGGCGUUCGACGACGACCCAUCCCCUGCGACCACCCUGCUGGAUCGUGUCAAGGAGGAGGCCGAUUCCUGGAUCGCGGCGGGCUUCCGUAGCCUAGCGGCGUUCGCCUCCCUCGUGCCUUAGAUCACGCUCUCUACCCCCCAGCAGACCAUCCUGUUAGAAGUACAACUGUUCCCGCUCCACCGUUCUAGCCGGUGCUUUGUGUAGUGUGUGGGGCGUUCCGGAUAUGGCAUCUCGCCCUUCCCGGACGUUCAUGUAUUUAAGAACUCCUUUUUCCCUUAAAGAAGCACGUGCUUAGCACGCUUUCGAAAAAAAAAUGUAACGUUAAAAUUAUUUAGUUUAAUUUGGAAACAUGUAACAUAACAUACUAUAUAUGUGCAAUUUGUACUGAAAGAUGAUACUUGCAAAAAUUCAUGAAUUUGACGGAUUUUAGAAACGCACUCUAGGUUUUACUCAAUCCAUUCCAGAUUGUAAGUCGUUUGACUUUUUUAAUAUCAAGUUUGACCACUCGUCUUAUUCAAAGUUUUGUACAAAAUAUUACUUUUUUUUGUUGUAUAUUGGUUUAUUAAUAAAAAUUCUUCAAGAAUGAUUUAAAUUUAACUAUAUUUGCACAAAUUUUUUGAAUAAAACGAGUGGUCAAACUUGGGGUAAAAAAAGUCAAACGACUUACAAUUUGGGAUGGAGGGGAUGGAGGGAGUUGCCAAAGAUGUGCAUAAAAGAUCGUGCAAAAUUAAACGUGACAAAUAUUUUCGACGGGUUGUGAGUAACAGGAGUAAGCAACGAAGAACCCUUCCAUUUUUGCAACACAAACGGCACAAGGAAAUGAUCAAAACGAGCUCUAAAAAGCGUGUACAAACCCGAAGACCAUAGCUUACGAUGACAUGUUAAUAGAGAGGCCAAAAGCAUCUAUUUGUGGAUUGUCCAUAACUUCUAAUCAAGCAUUUGAUUUUUUCUAUGAACUUAAAUAAACACAAAAAAUGAUAUCAAAUGUUGAUAUUAAUUUCUAUAAAGUUAUAAACUUAAUUAUAAAGUUAUAAACUUAAUUAAACACCAAAAAACCGACUUACUCAAAUCUAGAAUUGCACUUUUUUGAGACUGACAUAGUAAUAUUCCCUCCAUUCUGUUUUAUAUAUUGUUUUGGCUUUUCUACAUACACAACUUUACAUAAAAAAUUCAAAAUAACCUAUAAUUUAGGAUAUAAGUUGGUAAUUAAACAACUUUGUUUUUGAAUCAAUAUGGCGGACUUUAUUCAUUGAGGAUAGUUAAAUCGUUUAUUACUAGAAAAUCAAGAAUAAAGCUAAGGGGCUUAUCGACCCCAAGUACAAUUUUGCUUAGAGUGCAACAACUGAAUUUGCUAAAAAUCAUCCAUUCUUUAUUGUCUCUACCAUCUCCGUGCAUUUUGAUCAUACGAUAAGCCGACUACACCCUAUACAUAAUUUUUAUUAUGUAUGUGGAUAUAUCAUAUAUCUAGAUGUAUAAUAAAGGCUAUAUACUUGGAAAAGUUAAAACGAUCUACAAUUUGAGACAGAUAGUGGUAACAAAUAAACAACUUGCUUACACGUAAGAAAGCGAGGGAAUGUUUUGUUCCAUGGAUAAAAAAACCCAUAAAUAUCUUUGUAUGUAUUCUUGACCUUCAUUUUUGUGGAAUCAAAUGAUUUUUUAGGGGAGCUUUGACCUUAUUCAAUCACCAGAGUAAGAAUUACAAACUUCACGAGGAAGCUCCAAAAACCACACAUGUCUACCUAUCGAUGAAUUUACAAAACUUCUACCAACUAAAUGCGUCGACAUUUGAUCUUCGCCCUUCGAAAAUGAACUCUGCUCUCAUGAAACUUCAUCUUCUGUCAUUGAUCUCUCAGACUAUGGGUCCAUAUACCGAAUUUAGAGCACGUUCAUGAAGCAUUAAAUAUAGAUAAAAAACAAUUAUAAUUAUAUAAUUUAUCUGUAAUUUAUAAGAUGAAUCUUUUAUAAUUAGGAAAUUGAUACUGUACCUAUUUUAUAUUUUUUUAAACUAGGCAAGGGAAUGAAAUUGUUGUGUGAUUGGGAUUUGUCAAGCACGAGUCGGCCCAAGCGCCCCGAAGCCCGAAGUCCAAAACCAGGAGCAUCGAUUUCAAAAGGCGGAAAGAAGGCAAGGCAAACGCAAAUGCCACAACCCGCCUGCCGACUCGCCGCCGCAGCCGCAUGACAACCGCCGUCGGUCGGCCAUCCCCUGCGGUCGCCACCCUCUUCGGCCGCUGCCGCACAGCCCGCCGCAUCAUCAGCCUCGGCGAUCACAACCAUCAAACCCUCCUACCCCGCUUCGCCGCCGCCUGCAAUGCCCGCGCGUCCCCGUUCCUCUCCGCCGCGGCGGCCGCCGCCGCCAGCCGGCCAUCCCCGGCGGUCGCCACCCUCCUCGGCCGCUGCCGCACCGCGCGCUGCCUCUCCCAGCUCCACGCCCGCAUCAUCCGCCUCGGCCUCCACAGCCACCACGCCCUCCUCGCCCGCUUCGCCGCUGCCUGCGAUGCCCUCGAGUGCCCCUCCGUCGCCGCCUCGUUGGUCGCCGCGCUUCCUGACCCCUACGCCGCCCCGCUCCGCCUCCGCAACGCCGUGCUCGCGUCGCUCGCCCGCCACGCCCCGCUCCACGCCGCGCUCACGGAGUUCAACCUCCUCCGACAGGCCGCGCUCCCGGACUCCUUCUCGUUCCCUUCCCUCCUCCGAGCGUGCGCCCGCGUAUCCUGCCUCCCCGCUGGACAAGCCCUGCACGCCGCCGCUAUCCGCCUCGGCGUGCACGCCGACCUCUUCAUUCGCACGGCGCUCAUCCAGCUCUACGGCAGGUGUGGCGUGGCUGGCUCGGCCCGGGCGCUAUUUGAUCAAAUCGACAUCCCCAGUGAGGUUUCCUGGACCGCCAUUAUCGUUGCCUAUGUCAACAAUGGUGACAUCGUGACAGCCAGAGAGCUGUUUGAAAGAAUGCCUCACCGGAACGCUGUGCACUGGAAUUUGAUGGUUGAUGGUUAUGUGAAGUGUGGGGACUUGGAGGGCGCAAAGAGGCUGUUUGAUGAAAUGCCUGAGAGAACUGCCACAGCAUGUACAUCUUUGAUUGGCGGAUAUGCAAAGACAGGGAACAUGGAAAUUGCGAGGUUGUUGUUUGAUAAGUUAGAGGACCGUGAUCUGUUCUCAUGGUCAGUGAUGAUAUCAGGUUAUGCACAGAAUGGUUACCCUGGGGAGGCUUUGAGGACUUUUGAUGAGUUCCAAGGGCAAGGCAUACACCCAGACGAACUUCUUGUUGUUGGCCUGAUGUCUGCAUGCUCCCAACUAGGUAACAUCAGGUUGGCAAGGUGGAUUGAAGAUUACGUCACAAAGUACUCUAUAGAUAUGAAAAAUGCUCAUGUGUUGGCUGGUCUUGUGAACAUGAAUGCAAAGUGUGGGAACUUGGAGAGGGCUACUGUUUUGUUUGAGUCUAUGCCAGUUCGAGAUGUGUUUUCAUAUUGUUCACUGAUGCAAGGUCACUGCCUCCAUGGUUCAGCUAAUAAGGCUGUUGAACUUUUCUCUCAGAUGCUUUUGGAGGGCCUCUCCCCCGAUAAUGCUGCGUUUACAGUUGUUUUAACAGCUUGCAGUCAUGCUGGUCUAGUAGAAGAAGCGAAGAAGUUCUUUGAUAUGAUGAAGAAUGUGUACUUGAUUGUGCCAUCUGGUGAGCACUAUGGUUGCCUUGUCAGUCUUCUUGGACGUUGUGGUAUGCUAGAAGAUGCAUAUCAGCUUAUCAUGUCAAUGCCUGGGAAACCUCAUCCUGGAGCAUGGGGUGCACUAUUGGGUGGAUGCAAGCUUCACUGUAAUAUUGAGCUUGGAAAAAUUGCAGCAAAGAAACUUUUCGAAAUUGAACCGGAUAAUGCUGGAAAUUAUGUCUCCCUGUCAAAUAUGUAUGCUAACAUUGACAGGUGGGGAGAUGUUUCUGAAGUUAGGGAUGAGAUGACUGGAAAGAGAAUAACCAAAAUAGCAGGCCGUACUGUAGUUCUGCCGUGAAGCAGUGUCGACCAGAAUGGUGUAUUUAUCUUGUAUCAUGUUACUGGCCCCCACUGAAAACUUGACGAGGCUGUGAAUGAAGAAAAAAGACCUCAUGACGGUUAUGAAAUAAACAGAAAACGAGAUAUCAUACUCAAUGCAUAUGGUUGAAGUUCAUCAUAUGAUGAUAUAGACUUGCUGGUGAACAGGCUGAGUUUAUACAUUGGAGAAACUUUUUUCUCCAAUACGCUGGGGAGCUACGUACCAUUGGAUUGAGAAGAACACCAGUGUACAAAAACCAAAAGACCACCACACCAACGCAGCCAUACCAAACACACACACAUACACUCAAACCCAACCUCAUUGGUGGGGGACAUCUGGACUGAGUUAAGAGACUUCUAUUAGCUUAGUGUUCACAUUGUCCGACUCGGAGCUGGAAGGAUGCUUUGAUUUUUUGGUGAGAUCAUUCACUGUUGCCAUUGCUGAUGAAAUGGUUUCUUGUGAGUGCUUCUUCCCACUUAGUCUUUCCUUUAGCUUUUUGUUGUUCAGACUGCAUCAAAUUAUUGCAUUUUAAUCCUAGCGUUUGUUUUUCAUGAUUAUUACUGGUUAACUCUGACUUACAGCAAAUAAACUGCUGUUGUUGAUACAAGGAAAUGGUUGCUGCCCUUGGUUUACUUAUAUAAGAAGUUUGGAUUAGCAUAGUCUGUUAGUUAGCUGAGGCUCUUUUGAAAUACAAAUACAAUUUUUUUCUUGCAACUUGAACUAUUUUAUAAUAGGUGCUUGCAUCCUAAUGUCCUAUGGUCUUGCAUUAGCUGAAUAUCUAUUGUUUUGAGAGCACCCUUUCAUCUUGUUAUAAUAUCAAAAUUUAACUUUGGACCACACUAUGUUAAAUUCUACCAAGUUAAUUUAGCUCUACUUGACCUUUUGUAAAAACUUAUAUCAGCUGUCAAACACCACCUCUCAAGUUAAAGAAAAACUUGUGCUCUUUUCGUCUAGGGGUAUAGGCAAGUGUCGAUACCAUGGUUUCAUUUGGGCCUUGAACUUCCAGUGCCUGGAAUAUUCUUUUGAUGAUUGUAUCGGUAAUUCAUUUCAGGUACUGUGAAAGAUCAGGGUGCUGCUGUACAAAUAUUGAAAUAUGGCCCUGAUUAAGGCGCAAAGUUUUGACAUUUGCUAUUAAGGUACUUCUAAUCUUGAUCCUUAAGAAUCAGAAGAAAAGUUGCAUGCCUAUUGGUAAUACUGUGCAGAACACACUUUCCUUAUGAUUAACUUGUCAAGAACAGGGAACACAAUUUCUCUGCCCUUUUGUCCAAUAUUCUUAGUGCUUCCAUGGUCUGCUGUUUGCUACUGUGAAUAUAUGUUUAAGUUAUACCUAGCAGGUGACACAUCGUUUGAAAAAAAAUAGUAGGUUGCAUUCGUUUUCAAGAGGUCCAAAGUAACUGACCAUAUAUAGAGUAAAUAGGAAGACCAAAUUUGAACCAUAAUGUCACACUGUUGAAUUUGAACAUAAUAUCUUCCUAUGACUCAGAAUGUUUGUGCCAAAAGUAUAAAGUUAUAUACAUUUCCAUUGGGUGUGAAUGUGCAAGCAUACUCGCAUCUAAAAUGUGAUGUGCACUCGAACAUGUUUGUGCCAGUAUGAUAACUGCACGACUGAGAUAUUGAUAGCCUAAGUUUUUUUCUUAAGCAGCUUUUGCCAGCUGCCUAGAGAAGGUUGGAGAAGUGGAGAUGAAACCAUUGUGUUUGGCAACCUGGCUUUUCUAUGGCUUUUUCAUGAAAAAACUCCUUUGGGACCCACAUGCCAUAGCCUGUACCAGAGGCGCCAUCCUGUCCACCGACUUGCCAGAGCAGCAGGGGCAGCAAGCCUGGUUUCUCUUUUUCUUACCGUUCUGCUACCGAUCCUCUCUGACUCAAUCUCCCUGCGCACCGCUGCCAGGCCAAAUCAAUGCCUACCUCAUGCCCUCUCCUGCACGCCCGACCGCGCAUCCGUGACCGCGGCCUCCCCUUCUUUGCCCCCAUGGAGGCAGAGCUUGGGCCGACGGGGCCUGCACCAGUCUAGAGGCUGCUCAGCUCCUGCCGCCACCAUGGAGGGGAUCUCAUCUUAGGAGAGCUGAGGGACACAGAAGGAGCAGUAGGUGGAGGUUGAGUGGGAGUGGAGGGAGGUGCGGCGAAGAAGCUGAGCCAUGGCCGGAAAAAGCUGCAUGCCCUGUGCUUUAGAGGAACACGGUUUGGCAGUAGAAAUUGGAGAAGUGCUGGGCCAUUGUCAAGUUCAUGGGUGAAAAAUUGAAAACUGUUAGUUCCUGUAAUCAUAGUGAGAGCCAAUAUUCAGGUGAAAUUUGUUUGAGUUUCUGUAGCAGUAAUACGCCAAUCCUUUCUGAUUACUGUCACGUUUGAAAAAUCUGAAGGCACACCUUAUAUUGUUAUCUGUCAGGUCUGAGACCAAUGGUGUGGUAGUUUCAGGCUUUCAGUUCUGGAGAAGGGCUUGAAAAUAUGACUUGUUGAUUUAUGGUUCAUAUACAGUUCUGUCAAAAGAUCUCAAUGAGCUCAGUUCAAACUCUUCAUAAGCUGAGCUCAUGCCUAGACCCAAGCUCGUGGGCCUCAUUAUAUUGAACUCGAUUAGUGUGGUUAAGGCUUGACUCAGUCCUUAGUUUCCCCCAAGACAUGAUGUAUCCAUCCCAAAAUUUUGAGCUGAGAAUGAGAUCAUUCUGCUAAAUCUUUGUCCAAGCUUGCAUACAACGCACUAUGUUAAAAUGUAGUUGCCCAGUUUUCAUGAGCUGAGCCUGAGCUUUGGCGAGCUUUCAUAGAAGAAUUUAUAUUGAAACAAGCUUGAGCCUCCAUGAGCUUUGGCCGAGCCUAGGGAGGUUCACUCCAUUAUACUCAUGUGCAGCCCUUGUGCGUGGCUGUUUGGUUGGAGCCCUGGUACCCGGCAACUUGGCCAGGCAUCAAUCUCCACCCCCAGGUCUCCAAAAUCCAACACUUGGGAUUGUUGGCUAGCCCAGGCAAACUUUGCCAGCUCCAAAAAACCAAACAGGAGCCUGUUUGGUGGCGCUCCAGCUCUGCCUGCAGCUCCUGCACUAGAGCAGGAGGAGCUGCACCAAACGGUGACGCGAGGAGAAGCGCUUUUGGAGGAGCCGGAGCCCUUUUUGUGUACGGAGAUGGAGCCAUGAUUUGCAGCUCCAGCUCCGGCAGCAGAGCCCGCGGAUGCAGAGGCGUUCCAAGCACACCCAUAGCUGUGUUCUCGUAACUUGAAAGUCCACCAGGCAGUGUUUUAGUCAUUACACUAACAUGUCAAGCUGCUGCCAUUAAUGCUCACAUGUUAUUUAUGUUCUGGUUUGAGGAAAGAUACUUUCAGAUGCUUCCAUUUGGGAUACCUCUGGUUAUGGCUGGUUGCAGAAUCGGUGCUAGAGUAAGUGAGUAGGCAACAUGCCACCUCUGUUAAAUUAUGCUCUCGUCCUAGUCUUAAAGAAAGUGAUUAGACUGGUUUCUAUAUGGAUUAAGUGGACCACCUUUCACAGUGCUUGCCUUUUUGGCUGCAUACCAGCAUACUCCCUCCGUCCCUGAAAGCUGCAACUUCUAGAGUUGUCUUAAGUCAAACUUUUGAAACUUUGACCAAAUUUAUAGAAAAAACGCUAAGAUUUAUAGUACCAAAUUAAUACCAUUAGAUUUAUCAUUGAAUAUAUUUUUAUAAGAUACUCAUUUUAUGUUAUACAUAUUGAUGCUUUUUCCUAUAAAGUUGGUCAAAGUUAAACAAGUUUGACUGGCACGGAUUCUAGGAAUUGAAGCUUUCAGAGACAGAGGGAGUACAAGAUAACUAAUAUGUGAUUUUGUAGUCUAGUAUUAUAUGUUUGAGAAAUGUCAGAGCUCAUAAUAGUUUUCAGACUUUAUAAGGCCAUGGUAUUAAGAGUAAUAGAUAUGGGGUGGUACAUGUUUGUAAUCAGUAACUAACUGAUUUCCUUGUGAGACACGUUUACUUGUAAAAUGGUAUGGAGCUGAUCUAACUAGAAAACGGGCAACUCAGCAUAUGUUUAGUAAUUAUUAGGCAGACCAUGAAUUGCUUUAUUAUAUUUGCUUUGCUAUGUGACAUUUUCUUUUUCAUUAUUAUGGCAAAAGCAAAAGUACGAUUUUGAGCUGGAGUUGAGCUUGAACAUAUGCAUGAAUGAAAUGUGGUGGGAUCAUAUCCAUGAUGUUCCUCAGCCUUUUCGGAUUAUAAAAGAGAGAUUAGUACAUCCGUAGAUACCAAAUAUCUGUGCAGCUGUUCUUGUAGGUUAGUGCUUACAUGUGCUAUCCUAGGUAUAUAAACCUCACCUAGUGGCUACCCACCUAGCCUGUUGGAGCCUCUUCCAUAGGUGGCGCACGACCUUUUCUUUUUUUGGUGUGUGGAUCUGUUACGGCCCGUUUAUGGCAGACAAACUUAUCUUCAUGUCGAAGGUGCUGCACCAAUACUGCUCUCCUAGGUCAAUGAUCUUGCUGCACUUGGCUUCAAACACUGACUUAUGAUAUUCAUAUUAGUAGUUCCGCAGCAGUAAUAAAAAUAAUUUGGCAGCACAUAAAAAAUAUUUAAACUCUCUGCUUAUCUGGUUGAUCCGUGUUAGAUUCUUAGUGGGAUGUGUGCCUGUGAGCACUGUCUUCUUGUGGGCAUGCACACGAGUGUAUGUGCAUGUCUUGGGCUCGUGGCACAUGUCUACCAUUAUGAUGCACGUACUGAAUCCUGUAAUAUUCCUCUUUGAAGGAGCCUCACUGCUCAGUGCUUGGCGCGAUGAGGAUGGGGUGUUAAAAUUUGUCCUGCUGGAUCUUUGUUAGGUGAUUGAGGUUGAUUGUUUGACUAAAAAAUUUAUGUGCGUAUGAGGCUUCUGAUAUAUUUAGGGGAAAUCUGAUGAAGAAGGGGUAUACGGAUUAUUAUAAUGAUGAGCCUCAUACAAUUCAUUUGUACGAAUGACUAAACCGUAUGAUAUACAUUUUUUGGCAGGUGGCUUGAAACUAUUCAACUUUUGAUUGAUAAAACUCUCUGCUUGGCUUAAUAAUUUCAUCAACUGUCCUGUCGUUUCAAUAAUAUCAUGUCACGUUACAGCAGUGCUUGAGAAUAUCUGCUACAAAAAUAUGCAAACAAAUAUAGAAUGACAAUUGAACUAUUUAGAGCAUAUAAGACAAAUGUAAGAUAGAACAGGACAUGAACCAAAAAAAAUAUUGAACAAGAUCUAGAGUGGUCAUAUGGGUUGACAUUAGGACUAUAGUUUGAACUAAUGACACUUAUGAUGGUAUUAUGGAGGUUCAAUUUUUUUUGUGUUGUUUAUUCAAGUUGGGCUAUGAUGUUCAUGGCAGUAUCUUCAAGCAACCGGGGUUAAUGCUUUGUUCCCUCUAACAACGUCAGUUUCUUGCAGUAGUCUACUCCUGGGUUCGUGCUAGCAUUAAAAGGAAUAUUAAUGUGAUGCCUGCACUCUUAGUCCACUAUCUUCAAACUAAUAGGUUAAACAAGUUCUUAAGCUUAAUGCUUCAUUAUUCUUUUAGUUUUUGAAGGAUGCUUCGGAUGCUUUAAUGCAUCGUUAGUUGGACGCGCUCGUGCGUGUGUGAUAAGAUUAGGUGUUUGACUCGCCCCUGCAACAUUAAUGCGCAGGAUCUUUUUCCUUUGUGAUUAGAAUAUGAUAUUUAGCCUUAACUCGCUUUUGAACCGCGAGUUACAGAGCACUGUGGCACUUAAACCCCACGGUGUCACGAGGCUAAGAUAUUGGUAAGAUGUUCCCUUCGUGGGUGGGAUGAUGUAUUUGUUUAUUCUUCCAACGCAACAAUAGGGGAAGUCAUGGAAAACUAAUGCCAACCGCCAAUAAGAAGAUUGCUCUUUGUUUUUUCUAUAUAUCUUUUCUUUUAUUGACAAAAAUGUUAGCAUCAGGUAAAUUGGAGAUUAAAUUAGUAUCAGGUAAAUUGGGAAUUGAAUUGUGAUUAUAUGAGUUUAGAAGUUCCUAGUACAAUAAUUUGUUAUAUGAUUCAUUUUUCUCCCUCUCUUUUCAGGAUGAGGGGAUUGCAGACAGUAUAUAAUAUGAGAUCUCAGAUUUACAAAUCAGUGUCACAUUUACAUAUCCUGGAUUAUGAUACACCUAAUUUCAAAUUCUUGAGAUCUUGGGGCAGCCACGACACACAUUACUUCAAAUUAUUGAGAUCUUUGGGCAAAUGUUUUACUGAUAAGUUUUUGGUUAAUGUUAUCAGUGUUAUGUGAUUAGCUGACCCAUAUCACCUCAUUGUAUCUAGAACAAUUGAGGAUGAGACAUCAAAGAUGUCCUUGCAAAUGCAGUAUUUAUUCCAUCUUGGUUAUUGGGCACCAGGCUGCUGCUGGCAAGGUAAAUUUUAGACCAAGAGGAUUGCUAGAUGACAUAGAUGCGGUGCUUAUAAGGGAUUAGAAAUGAUAUUUUGUAGAAGCAAGUAGGGUUAACCAUGGAAAUAUUUCAGAAGGCGAGAAAGCUUCAGGAAUGCAUGAUUUGAGAAGUAUCUAGAAAAUUCUAGAAAGUUAAGAAAAAAAACUAGGAUCUAAAAAUUUGUUAGUGGCACAUUUUUAAAUUACUGUAUGGUAAUUUACCAGAGAACCUUUUGUUGCUGUGGAAAAUAAAAUAGCAAAUAAUUACAAACCACAAUUGCAUGACCUAAAACGUGUGUUGCUAACUGGUGUGUUUUAUGCAGAACAGAAAUGUUUUUUUUAUUAUUAUUACCAGAGAACAGAAAUGUUUACGGCACUACGAGAGCAGUCCUCAGCUCGAUCGACUAUCCUAGCCACCUACGAGUCUAUGACUUGAGAAUGGAGUUUAAAUUGCACUCAAAUCACGGAAGGGUAGGUCAUCAACAGUUAACACCAUAUGGGCGUCAUUAUAUACUCAAGAUAAAUUACUACACGCAAAAAUGAAUUCAAAAGAAAAACUUGUUGUCCAUACACAUUUCCAUAAAUUGCUCCGCGAACUUCUCCAUGGACAAAGAAUAGUAUUGCCGGUUGCAACAGACGAACGGACGCACACGGCAUGACUAAAGCAUGGGGCUAAUUUUCGUUAACACCUUAGAUCGCGCCAUGAAUUUAAAGAAGGGCACAUGGGAUUGGUCCCAAAACACCGACUAAUCACAAAUUAUACAUGCAAAAUCAUUUUUAAACUAUAUCCUGUACUAAUACUAACCUAGUGCCACAGUUAUGAGCCCACACCACAUUCAGGUCAACCCCCCAUGUCUCUCCGUAGUUGGGCUGAAGUCGCAUUCAACUCCGAGCCUUCUCCUGCAAUGUUAAACACGUCAGCAUCGAAUCAUGGCGAAUGAUGGCAAAAUAAUAUGCGAUCGGGUAAAGCGAAAUUUCAAUCUUUGAACCCAAGGCGAUUACAAUUUGGCUCUGGAUCCCAAAACCAUUAAUUACUGCUUCUAUUUGCCCCAAAAAAGUGGCAUUAAUGCUGGGAUUAGCUCCAGCAAAGACACAAGAGAAAAGAAAUGGACAGAUGGCCUCUCUCUCUCUCUACCAUGUAGAUUAGCAGGCAGUACCAUUGACCAGACCCAAUGCAACACACAAACCAAAACAACUUUAAGUGAGUUGUGUGUCAUCAUCAUUAACCAAGGUGGGAUAUGGAAGCAAUCUUGGGGGAUUACAUUAGUGGGUUGCUACUAUGAUAUGACUUGAGGAACAAAUUUUCACCCUUUUCUUAAUCGAAAGGCGAUUAAGUCGCAAACCCGGGAUGCAAAUAUCUCCAGAAUACUAACAAGUCAACCAUCGAAUUUAAUAUAUACGCUGUCAGCAUUUAAACACUGCAAGCUGGAAACAAUCAAAAUCCCAGAGCUGCAAUUCAUAGGGUGGGAGGGAGAUGACAUUAGAGGAGGCUGCUCUUAUGUGCAUCAAACAAAGUGGCAUUAAUGAGUUUGCUUAUCUCUUAGCCAUUGUAUCAAGAUGCGCACCAGGCAAUGUAUGGGUGCACAGGACUUGCCUUGCGUCAUUCAAAGACCUAAAUACCUACUCCAUCUAUAUUCAAGAGCCUCAUUUAUUUAAAUAUCUAAACAAGAAAAAUGGCUCAACAUUCAAGCCCAUUUAGUGCUCAUUUAGCAAUACUGUGCAUUUGAAAUACUGUGCCCAAUAAACUCCAUUCAUGGCCACAUCAAGUUGUGAAAUCAAUUGGGAGCCAGUCAAAUUUCAACUGCACAAGCUUUAUAAAUAAUCAAUUGGAAGCCAGUCAAAUUUCAACUGUACAAGCUUUAUAAAUAAUCAAAAGGAAACGAAAUUGGUGGUUUCAACACUCAACUGCACAACAAAUAAUAAUUGUCAUAAUUAUCUGAUUGGCCCAACUAACUUUCCAGUGGCACAUAAGGUAUUUAUUCCUAAAAUCUGUGGGAUGUCAGUCAUUUUCAAAAAAUUGGAACAUGUUUUUAAAUAUAGAUAGUGAGUUUAACCUCUCACCCAAAUGCAAUAAAAAAAAUAAGCCUAAAUCUAGAAAAUGUUGUUGAGCAAGUGCAUUGCUAGCUGGCUAAAAAUACUGAUUAACAAUAAAAAUUUACUUGUUAAGCACCAGGUAAAAGUUUCCCAGGACUGGUUAAAGUUGUGUAAAAAGCAACAAAAACUCAACUGUAGUUAUGUGUCCCAGGUCCUGUUUUCCUCAUUCUGAUUUGUUGAUCUUUUGCAUAUGACCCAACAAGCCACCACAAAACCUCUCACCUAGCACUUCUCUUCCACCCAACGCAUAUUCAAUCCUUCCUUUGCCACUCCCCAACCAUGAAUAUGAUAGGCAAUAAAAUGCGUACAGUUGUACUAUUGCUACUACUAUGAGAUAGUAGAGAGUAAUAAUUAAAUGGGAGCGUAGCUCUUACUGUCACAUUAAAGAAAACCAAUUGACCUCCCAUCCUUCUUCCCCUAUAAAUACCAGCCAUUUCUUCUCCAACAACACCAAAGAAACACCUCUGAGCAUUCUAAAGCUCAUAGUCCUCUCCUUCCGGAGCAUUUCACAUCGCUCUCAUCUCCGGCUGCUUGCAUCCAGCGCCUCGUCACUCUGCAAAACAGUAAGUCCCCUAUCAUCUGUAUCUAGGCCUCUAAUCCUCGUAACAGUAGAGCAUCCAUUCUGAAGUGUAUCUCAAUCAGCUGAUUCAACGUUUGAUGGAUGCAGACAGCACAUACCUCCAAAGGAUGAGCCGCAGCAACAGGAAGAGCUCUAGGGGCCUUGACCUGAAACUGAACCUCUCGCUUCCUGCAACAGGGGGCUCCUCCAGGAGGGCGAUGGCUGAUGAGGAGUCAUCCCCAAGCUCCUGCCUGUCGUCAGAGAACGAGCAUGGCCUUCAGUGGUCCAACAGCCCUGAGGCCACAUCCAUGGUUCUUGCUGCCUGUCCUCGCUGCUUCAUCUACGUCAUGCUCCCACAAGAUGACCCUCGGUGCCCCCAGUGCAAGAGCCCUGUUCUCCUUGACUUCCUGCAGGACAACAACAGCAACAGUAAGAACAACAGUAAUAAUAGCAGCAGGAGGAGCAGGAGGGGAUGAGCAAUAUGGUUCCAUUAGGCCGCACAACAUCAAGAAAAAGAGCUAUAUGAAGUCCUAGGUCCAGUAGUUCUUUUUUGUCCAGUCAUUUCUUCAGUGUAACUGUGAUAUAUCCAUACUAAAAUUGCGAAGCUAGCACCCAUACGCUAGUAUCAAAGUUUUGAUAUAUCACAGAUACACUGACGAGGGCUAUAUCUUUCAUCCUUGUUUCCUUCCUUUGCGGCUCUAAAUGUAAUAGUUUUGUUUAGACAUAGGACCAGACUUCCUAUCUUUUCGUUUCAAGAUAAGAAAAGUUCACCCUGAUAGAGUGAAAUUGAGAAGUAACUUCAUUCUAUCAUACAUAGGAGCUUCAAAUCCAAGAUUUCCUCAUUAUUCUGAGUUGGACAAGGUAUUGACACCCGACAUAGGAAGAAGGGGAAAAAACAGAAAGAACAGUCAACCCCAAAAAUGGGAUGUUAGUAUCACAGGUUAGCUGGAUUGAUCAAUUGGCACUACUGCGUCCACGUUGCAACAAAAAGAUGUGUGCUUCAUGAACUCUAUCACCCAUGAAGACAUCAAGUAUUGAAAUGGUGAUGGAAUUUCAAAUUGGAAAGAGAUAUGUUUAAAAAAGGUUGAAAAAAUGUUGGUGUGACGCCAUGCAAUAAAUACUGAUUAAUUUCAGCAUGCGUCACUCUGUUUCCAUAGUGCAUCCAUCUGAAUAUGAGCAUUAUUACGCAACAACCUUACACAAUGCUGCUUUGGUCAACUAUGUCAAGCCAAUAUAUUUAAGUUCACUUGAUAAAGGCGCCUCAGGUUACUCCAAGUGGAUUUGAAUUAAAUCAAAAGGAGAAAGAUCAAAAGAUCAAAGAACAUGUGCCUAUAUAGGAUGUGCCCAUUAAUUCAUGUUGACUUGAAAUAGCAAGCUUGUCCCUUUCAUUUCAUUCAUUAACGAAAACAACAAAGUUUCAGGCUGUAAUAUGGUAGUUCAGUGACAAGACAACAGAAAAGGAAUGAGCUAUUAACAGGGAAAGGAAGAAAGAAACAUGAACAACAUAAGAAUGAAACAAGAAACAAAGAAAAAUCGAAUGUCAUGCUGAAGUGUAUUACAAUAUAUCUAUAUGACAGUAAAACACAAAAAAGUAGCUAAUUUAACAAUUACCAUGAAUUCAGCUGUUUUGUUUGGUGAACGUAAGGGCCUAUGUGUACUUGCCUUGUCAUAUACAACUAGCGAACACAUGGUCUCAACUCUCAAACAAUCAACCAAGUCAUCGAUUUAUAACACACUUAAAGCAGAAGAAAAUAGGCAAGUGCAAAAACCCGCGCGGAACCGAACCAGGGUAUGAUAGAACUGAUAAUCCAAAGAACAUAAGAACGUGAAACAACAAAUAAAGGAAUAUCGAGACAUUACUUAGUACUCCAUCUGUCCCAAACUGUAUUGUGUUUAUUUUUGUCCGAAGUCAAACUUCUCUAAAUUGAACAAGUUUAUAGAAAAAUGCACCAACAUAUACAACACCAAAUUAGUUUCAUUAAAUCCAUCAUAAACUAUGUCUUGAUAGUGUGUAUAUUUGGUAUUAUAGACGUUAAUAUAUUUUUCAACAAACUUGGUCAACCAAAGGUUAAAAAGUUUGACUUAUGAGGUAGGACAAAAAAAAACACCUUACAUUUUGGAAGCGAGGGACUAUUCAUUAAUGUGUGCUUCCAUUCUCACAAAUCAUAUUAUUUUUCAUAUAAAAAAUAAUUGCAAGAUAAUUUUAAUGAAACAAAGGCAAAACCAGGAGAUUCAGUGAAGAAAGAAAUUAACGAACAAGAGGAAUAAUGGAUCUUCCGAACCAUAGAGAAUAAUGAGCAAAAGGAACUGCACCUAAGGUCAACACCAGUGAAUAUAUCCAUAAGGACACAAUGGUGGAGUGUGUCACAAAAUGAAGCUCCAUGGGAGGCACGGAUAUUUUCAGGCUUUGGCUAAAUGUGUCUUCUAUCUCAUAAGCAUAAACAAUACAGAAUGCAGAAUCUUUUAAUUCCAGAUAUUAAAGAUAAAAUUUAAGAAGUUAAUCAAAUAAGCAAUUCAUUUGAAUUUAUUGUACAUAUAAAAAAGGAAAUAUAACAUUGCAACCUUGCAUGUUUCUUCAAACAUCACGAAAAGUACAGUGCACUAAAAAAGUACAGUGCAAAGUCCUUAAUUUCCAAUUUCCCUGACUGCUUGCAGUCAAUCAAAAGGGAAAAGGAAAUCAGAGAAAUCCUUGGCUGCAAAGUGCACUAAAAAAAUGGCUGAAGCCCUGAACUCCAAUUUCCCUGAAUGGUUGCAGUCGUCAAAAGGGAAAAGGAAAACAGAGAAAUCCUUGGCUGCAACUAUCCUGAUAUGUCCAAGUCCAAUGGGACAUAAGGGGCCUAAGCGCAACAUCUGAAGACGAAAGACAAAAACAUUCACCUAAUGCAGACCCCAUUCAUCCACCAAUUGGUCCCAAAUGCCGACAGGUUUCCGAAGCACGUCGCCGGCUAUGAUCCUGCAGAGAUCACAUCACGUCAUCUCACAUUAAAAUAUCUAAACGGGACUAGUACAAGAUACGGGAGGAGAAAAGCAAUCUCGGCCUGACAUUACAGUCAAACAGCGAUAUUGGAGACAUGCACGAGAGACAUAAAAUUGGAACCAAAGCACGAAUUGUAGCUCAAAACUAGGGUUGUAUGAACCGAAAGAAAUAUAUAUACAUUAGCUAAAAUGCCAAAAUACCCACAGAAAAAUCGACACCUCAACCGCCUCCGAUGCUGAGCAAAAGCGCAAACCGUGGAAACUGGCUCACCUAUAUUUGCGCACCUCGAUUUCAGAACCCCCUCCGCCCGUCCGCCGAGGACAAGGAGAAGCUUCGGCCUCCGGACGGCGUCACGGCGACGCGCCGACGAAAGCCGAGCACUGCCUGCCGCUUCGCGUCGCCUUCCGAAAGCGACGGUCACAACCGGCAACCGCUGGCUGAACAUGGGCUCGUUUGGCGUUGGACCAAGCAAUCUGACUCUGGCCCAACAUGGCCCAGAGGUUCGUCGGCCCGAACACGGAACACCCGUGGCUUGACCAGAGGAGACUGAUUUGGCUGGGCGCCUUUCUUUGUGGGCCAGCCCACAGGCCACAGAAUCACAGGCCCACGCCGCCUGUAUGGAUUAUCGAUCAUCAGAUUUGUAAUAGAAUUCCCUCAAAAAAAAAAUCAAAUGUAAUAGAAGUGCAAAACUAUAUUUCAAAUCCGGAGGUGGCAGAUAAGAUGCACAGUCAAGCUAGUCUGUAAAGCAACAAAAUUGAAAAAAAAACAAGUGAAAAGAAACUACAGAUAAACAACAGAGAAGGAAUCUGGGAGGAGGAUAAGCUAUGUUAGGCAAACGACCAGGUCACCUUGCCCGGUGAAUCUUUGCUGGUCCGACGACAUAGAUAGAAAACACAGCCUACGUGCUCCCUAUCAUUGGCAUGCCACAACAAAACAAAGAGGCUGCCUACCUACUACUACUACUACUACUCCUACUACCAUCAACCUCUCUGAUUUGUUUAGGCCACUCUUGUCGGACGGACCAAAGGCUCAUGUGCAUUUUUUUCACCAUGCCAUUUGCCAUUGCCAUAUAUAUGUAGGUCCUGCUAAUGCAGUUCCCAAUGCUGUAGUGUACACGAUCGGUUCAUCAAGCACUAAGAGUGGAAAACUAUGUGCACGCUUGGUGGUGCUGUUCGUUUCGAUCAUGCAUGGAUGCCAUGCAUGGAGGAGUCAUGGAAAUGGACAAGGAACAGCAGGCUCUCAAUUCCAGCCAGUGUGUCCCUCGAGCAAUUCAACAUGCUCGAAGCUGGUGAUCGGUGGGAAUCCCAGGGGGGGACACUUCUAUACCACAGCUUGAUGUGCUAGAGACAAGGAGCUAGUCAACUUUGCAUGUGCAGAUGACGGAGCAUCAUUAUCCUUGUGAACUCUUUUGCUAUGCGUACGUGUACGUAGUUAUUGACUCCGUUCCAUCAUUUACUCAAUUGGAUUGGAACUUGUUCUAUGAAGAUUUGCUGUGUAGAACGUUGAUGUUGUUAAUUAAUUAAUUCAGAUUGUCAGAGAUGUAGUACGUGUCUUCUUCUUCUCCCAUUCUAAUGGCAUAUAAAUCUGUUUCCCAUAAUUCGGCACUAUCAGAGGAACAGCCUAAUGACCUUCAUAAUUAGUUAACUAACUAACUAACACGAACACGAAGGUGAUUACGUGUGCAAUGAUAAGUUGAAGAGUCAUUUCUUUCAAAAGACGCUGAUCCAAUUAACUGUUGCGAGUCAGAGUUUGUUUGUUCAGACUUCAGUUCAGAGAUAUGCAUGCAUGCACUCUCUGAUCUUCCCGUGAUUUCUCACAUGCUGAUGAUAGUAUACAGACAAAAGCUACUUAUAUAUGAUGAACAAACUGAAUCCAUCUGAAACAGAUCAGCUGCAACACACUAAACAGCCAGCAGAUUAUACGGCUCUUAUUAAAUAAACUGCCAACACACUCAACAUUGUUGCUGUACUGAUCAGCUCGUACUAGUAGUUUUUUUUUUCAUUUAGUUUAAAACGCCUGCAACAACAGACAUAUAUGCGGCUUCUGCUCCACCCACACAACCUGAACAACAACAAAGCUUUCAGCAAGAAGAAACAUCAGCACAAGAGAACAAGAAGGUGGCAUCCAAAAACAUGGAGAAAAGCUCCUCCAAAGCUAAAUGGCCGUGCAUGUUGGCGUUUGUCUGCUUAUAAUUGCCUGUUCUUUUGCCAAGGGAACAGGCCUAGCAGCCAUGGAAAGAGCCAGCACUGCUGCCACGUUGGGUCAACCUUAGCCGUAGGAUCCAUCAGCUUUCUCUGUGGAGUAUAGGAACCAUACCAAUGCAAGUGGCCCGGUUGUAAUAUUCCAUUCCAACCUAGCUUUUCUUGUCCUGAGGAACAGGGAUGGAAAGCCUCUCAGCAGAGACAUCUAAGGGACCAUCUGCAUUACGAGGAUAUUCUUGGCCAUUUGCCCCUCAAAUCAAAUUUUGUACACACUGCAUUAUAUCCAUCUUUUGAAAGCUGCAUCUGCACUUCCAGGAUACAUACACUAGUGGCAGAAACACAAAGAUAUAGUCAAAGACAUGCAGAAAAAACUACUUAAUUAGCCAUGGUGUGCGACAAACACAAACUUAUAAGAUCGAAAACCGGUGGACCGUCGGUUGGUUGAUCCGACGGCGGCGCCGCGUACGUGCAUGCAUAACUCCCACUCGACGUAAAGAACAGCAGAACACUGGUGGCAAACAGUAGUAUACCUUUUAACCAUGCAUGACAAUGACACGAGCAGACAAAGCUCUUUUCCUCCUGAAAAGCAGCAAUGGCGGACCGGACUACGCAUAUAUAGUUAUUAAGCAAACGAUCGGACAUGGCCUUUUUCUCGCCUUGAGAACGACGACACGGACACGCCCGCGCGUGGAGGUGAAGCUCGUCUCGAGGGAGCUGCGUGCAGGCAUGGCCACUGCCCACUGUUGUGGCGUUGGGCCUAACGGCGAGAGCAGGAGUGGUGGCGAGUAUGCCUUGUUUAUAAUCUCUCUUGGAACUGGGAAGAAGAGGCCAAGGGAGAGAUUUUUUUCUAUGGGUAGUUUCAAAUUUUUGUCACAUUGCCCAACCCAACCAACCCUGUGAUUGUCUGUCAGGCAUGGAUCUAUCCAAUCUCCGUCUAUAUAAAACUUUCAGAGAGAUGUCCGAGAUGCUUUCAUCCAUGCAUGAUGCAUCAACAUCAUCACCUGAUGUACCUGAGCAUGGCUUCUUCAGAAGAUCAUCAGAUGGAUGGAUGGAUGUCCUGUUGCAAUGCAAGUUUUUAGGCCCUGUUUAGUUCCCCACCAAAAAAUUUUUCAUCCAUCCCAUCGAAUCUUUGGACACAUACAUAGAACAUUAAAUAUAGAUAAAAAAAUAAACUAAUUACACAGUUUAGCUGAGAAUCGCGAGACGAAUCUUUUAAGCCUAGUUACUCCAUGAUUAGCCUUAAGUGCUACAGUAACCCACAUAUGCUAAUGACAGAUUAAUUAUGCUUAAUAAAUUUGUCUUGCAGUUUCCUGACGAGCUAUGUAAUCUGUUUUUUUAUUAGUUUGUAAAAACCCCUCCCGACAUCCUUCCGACACAUUCGAUGUGACACCCAAAAAAUUUACAUCUCCAAUCUAAACAGGCCCUUACUACGGGACUUGCAGGACCAUAAAAAGUGCGAGAUGUACAGUAACAUCUUACACCUGCCACCUUGCAUUCAUUCAAUUGCUAGCAGAUCGUGCCAGGCAUCCUGUAGAUUUUUGCAUCUGUCUUUUUUUUUUACAAAUACACUAUUCAACAGUAUACUACAGUACUAGCAGUUCAGGAAAAUAUGAAUGUGGGAUUCAGGGAGUGCCAGCAUGCAUGAGGCAGAGAGAUGCACGGUGCACUGUAAAUGCUCUCAGGAGAUGGACAGCAAUCCACAGGUCAAAAUAGGACCAAUGCCCACAAAGACCUGUAGACAGCAUGACAUUAUUUGACCAGCACAGCUUUAGCUGUUUAGAUUUUGUGCUCUCUUCCUCAAAAAUAAAUAAAUACAUAAAUGACUGAAUUUCUUCUUCUUCUAGCAGGAAGCCAGAAAACAGCUGCUAGGCACAAGAAUACUAGUUUAUAAUAAUGCAGCUUGGGACAUAUAGAAAAUGCACUUAAAAAGUGCAAACAAAAGCUGUUGAUCAGAGCCCAGCUACGAACUACAAACAUGAUGAGCACACCCAAUCUUUGCAACAAACAUGUCAAUCUCAGAGAAAAAAAAGUCGAAAAAGUUCAGUAGAACAACACAUAACUUUCUGCCAAGAAUUAACUACUCUCUACUCUGGACCUCUGUCAAUCUGUCACAAAAACAGAAAGCUUCGACUGUUUAAAAAGUUCGCUAACUCCCUCGGUGGAUUAGGCAUUUUAACCCCUCGAUUACCUAGGAUUAGUUUUAUGUUUUUAUCCCUCAACAUCUCUUAAAUUUGCUACUGGUGACGGGUCAUGUGUUUGGGUUACCGACUGUAUAAUAAACCAAUUAGAACUCUAAUUUCUAAUUCAUCACGUAUGACUAGUUUUUAGUAAAAUCAGACAUGGUUGCACUAGCUCAACAGAGGUACAAAAGAACUCAGGAGAAAGUGAAAGACCGAAGGUCCUUCCUCUAUUCUUCUUUAGAUAUCUUCACUUAGGAUAAACGUUUAUAGGGUUUCAUUAUCUAAGCCAUGUCGUCUCAUGUUCAAUCUAUUGCUUAUAAGGUAUACCCUUUGUCUUAAAAAAAAUACCAUUCUAGUCAUAAAUCUGAACAACUAUUUAGAUUUAUAGCUAAUGGUAUAGGGUUUCAUGAUCUAAGUCAUGUCGUCUCACGCUCGAUCUAUUUGCUUAUAAGGUAUACCCUCUAUCAUAAAAAAAUUACCAUUCUAGCUAUGAAUCUAAACAAUUGUUUAGAUUUAUAGCUAAAAUGACAUUCUUUUUAGGACAAAUGGUGUAUACUUAUACAAUAUGUUUUAUUGUAUAUUAUUGCUGCAGUACUAGACGAGAAAGGCUCUUCCACUUCACUCGUUAUAUUCUUCUGGCAAAUAUUUAUAUCCCUCAUCCCGGCACUGGAUGGGCCCAUGUGAUCCAUGUAGAAACACAUGCUCCAUACAAAUUGGAAGUCAUUUUAACUUUUUUUAGAGAGCCAAAGUACCUUAUGUUUAAUUAAAUUUAUACAAUAAUAUAAUAACAUUUAUGAUACCAAAUCAAUAUUAUUAAAUUAUUCAUUAGUUAUAUUUUUAUAGAAUACCUAUUUGAUGUUAUAAAUCUUUGUAAUUUUUUCUAUAACUUUGGUCAAACUUGAGAUGCAUUGACUCUCCCCAAAAAAAUUAGAAUGUCUUAUAGUUUAGAAUUGAGGGAGUAUUAAUGUAGCUAUUUGACUUUUCUAACAUAUCAAAAUCAACUAGGCAUGUAUUUUUUUCACUCAACCUAAAGGCAAGGAUUUGUGAAGAAAAAUACAGAGGCUCAGGUGUAUUUGAGAGAAGACAUGUUAAUCAAAAAGUUAGGUGGUGAAAAAUACUAUUCCGUCUCUUUUUUGCUAAAAGAUUACCAUGUUACCAUAUAAGAAAAUUAGUAUUCGUUUAGUAAAAAAAAGAAAAUAGUGUGAGUUUCACUAACACGUGGACGCGCAUACAGAAAGCACUUUGCUAUCCCACUCCUUUCUCUACCUUAUCUUCUCCACUCAGCACUCCCCCCACUACCCCCACUCCGCCUAGCUCUAGCGGCACCCACAUUGCCUCCACCUCUGCCCCCACUAAAUCCAAGCUAGCACUGACGUGAGCUCUAGUGCCCCCGCCACCGUACCACCCCACCUAGGCAACACCUCCUUCUGUUGCCGUUAUCACUAAAUCGACUUCUUGUCUAGUCAACACCACUGCCACUCCAACUACUUGACUGACCUCUCUUAUCUCAUCGUCAAGCAGUGCCCUCCCCCCGAUCUCGUCGCCACUGUUAUCGCCGGUUCGACAUCCUCUCCCGUGACCCCCUCCUAAAUCAUAGAACUCUCCCCCCCCCCCCCACUCUCUCCUUCUCCGAAACCACAAACCCUAGCAUCAACAAACUUUUCUUCCCUGUUGGCUGAUUUGUUAUGAGAGAAAAACACUGUUGAAUAGUGGCAGAUUCGGCUGAUAAGCUCAAGCGAACAAGCCGGUCCCAUGAAUAUUGGCCGGUCCUGGUAAAGAAUUUCAGAACAAAGGAAAAAAAGAUUUGACGUGGUCUUUGUAUGUUUUACCAGUAGCCAUUCAAUGGGUGUAUUCAUUUUCUCACUGAAACCUCUCCAACCCCAACAGUAAAUGAGCAUGACGAUUGACCAAGACCUCCUCCCUCUCGUCUUCUUCUCCGCCCUUCUAUAAAACAUGGCAACAGAACAGAGCGGCAAGGCCAGCUCCCGCCCGGCCACUCGAGACUCGAGAGCGGCACAAUGCCUCCCUCCCUGCACCCUCCCCACCUCCACUUCCACAAGCUCAAGCGCCGCCGCCACCACCCCGCCGCCAUGGCCAAGAAGAGCCUGGCCGCCAUCCUCUACAAGUUCCGCGACGUGCACGCGCGCCCGCCCUCUGCGGCCUCGCCGCCGGCGCCGUCGACCCCGUCCGCGCACUACGCCCAGCGCUGCUACCCGCCGCCGCCGUCCGCGUGGCCCUGGCCGUCGUGCCGGCACCCGCGCACCAGCUCGUUCCGCGGGCCCAAGGACGACGACGCCGCGGUGUUCCGGACCCUGAACAGCGUCUACGACACGACCUCGGAGCAGUUCCUCCGGCGCUCAUCGUCCAUCGAUGUGGCGGCGUGCGUCGACCGGAGCCCCCUGUCGUUGCUCGGAGAGGCCGUUGCCGUCGCGGAGCAGGUGGACGAGGAGGACAAGGAGACGGAGCUGCGUGAGACGGCCGUCGUGCGCGGCAUGCGUUCGGAGAGGCUGUUCUUCGAGCCGGCCGGCGCAGAGUUCUUGCCCAAGAAGCAGGUAACGCAUUCUGCACGUCUUCUUGUCCCGUCCGUCGUCCGACGAGAAGGCACCAUUCGAGCCGGUCGGUUCUGAUUCUAACUCGACAGAGGUUUCAGGGAGUGACGCCGGCGAGAGGCAAGAACGAGGCGGCCACCGCGGCAGUGGCAGUGGCAGGCGUCAACAGCGAGGAACCAGCGACGACAGACGCGCCGCGCGACAGGGACGAGUCGGCGGCGGAGGCCGUCGCGGCGAAGGGCAGCAGCGCGGUGGUGGUGACAGUGGAGUCCAAGGACCCGUACGGCGACUUCAGGGCGUCCAUGGCGGAGAUGGUGGCGGCGCACGGGCUGCGCGACUGGGAGGCCCUGGAGGAGCUCCUGGCGUGGUACCUCAAGCUCAACGCCAAGGGCGUCCACGCUGCCAUCGUCGGCGCAUUCAUCGACCUUCUCGUGACCAUGCAGCCGCAGGCGUCGUCGCCGCCGUCGCUGCCGUCCCAGUCGCCCUCGUCGUCGUGCAUCACCUUCGAGGAGUACUCCUCGGCAACCUUUGACGAGGAAGACGGCAAGAGCUGAGCUGAGGCCGAGGUGUUCCGUGUUCGCUGUUUUUAAUCUUUUUUUUUCUUGUCUCAUUCAGAGACUGUAGUUUUUUUUUUUUUUGUGAAUUGUUUUGUGCACCUUAUGGAAGAAUGGAAGGUGAGGCCUGAAUGCAGCCAUGGUGGAUGUACAGUUGCUAAAACUAGUUGAUGCUGACCAUCAGAAUAGAUUAAUGCCUAGACAACUAAUUGACCAUAUUUUAUUUUCUCUACAUGUUUUCAAUUUGUCCUUUUGAUGCUUGUCUAUUGCGUGCGAACUAACAUAAUAACUUAUCUACUAACUCUGAAGCAUGUUCGUCUCUGUGCCUGUUGCUGUUAGCAGCUGAUUAGCUGUUUUCUCAACGAUAUCCAUGGCAUUUGAGCAGCUCAUUGUCGAGCCUGUUGUUUGAGCUUAUCUGCCGAAUCUGUCAGUAUUGCCAGUCAUUUAGUAGUAUGUUUCAUGGCUUACAAGCUGAAUAUCAAACAUUAAGCAGUGUUAGUGUUUUCCUCAGUUCUGUAUAAAUGCUUCACUAACAUGUCAUGAUUUUGAGAUUAUUGCAUCCCCUUCAUGUGUUAGGCCUUUUUAGAUACUCAUUUAUUCAUCUUAAUCAUAUGUGUUGGAGAGUAGGGGCGAAGGUAGGUUAUGUACAAGUGGUGCAUUUAAAUUCAAAAAUAGUGAAUUUGAUUAAACUUUUACCAUAUAUGCAUUACCUAUUAGAUUUGUUUAUGCACCUACAAAACAAAACAAGUACACCACUUUCUAAUUUGCUUUAGUUUCGCCACCGUUGGAAAGUUUAAAUUUCACUCCAAACAACUCUACGCACAUUUGGCUUACGCGCCAUUCUUCAAUCAACUUUGUUUAUCAUUCCGUUUCCUGUCUGUGGUCGAUGGUCGGUUCCGUUGGCAUGUUGGUAUUUUAAAUGACGCACUGAAACGGGGAAUGGUAAGAAACUCGUUGGAAAGCAAGACUGUUAAAAUAUACAUACAAAGAAUGGUAAAGAAUAAACUAUUUGGAACUCAAGAUCCUACAUGUACAAAUGAAAAAAAAAGUAGAACUGGAGUGAAGCGUCGUCUACGCAAUCAAAAUCUUACAUAAAUCUAUCGAUGGAAAUUUUUAGAAGGGUUUAAUUGCUACUCCCUCCAUCUCAAAUUAUAAAUCAUUCCAAGAAUUUUGGAGAUUCAAACCAUCUUAAGUUUGACCAAAUUUAUAUGAUAAUAUAAUAACAUUUAUGAUACCAACUAAGUAUCAUUAGGUUCUUCAUUAGUUAUAUUUUUAUAGUAAUAUCUAUUUGAUGUCAUAAAUCUUUCUAAUUUCUUUUAUAAUGUUGGUUAAACUUGAGAUGCUUUGACUCUCCAAGAUUCUUGCAAUGACUUAUAAAUUGGGAUGGAGGGAGUACUUGGAAAGAAUGCAGGAAGUCUAAUACACAAAGGAAAAAAAAAUAAGAUAUUAGACCUCAUGCUUAUUUCCCAAUAAUAUUUUUAUAUAAAAACUCAUUCCAUAAAAAUCUAAAGAAAUUCGUAUGAUUCAAUCACUUGUUUCUAAAGCUCUCAUAGGAAUAAUUCUAAAAAAUAAAAUAUCCAAAAUUCUUAUUUUUUUACCAAUUUUAAAUGGAGUUUAAUGCCUCGUUUAGUCGGGCUCAGGCUCUACAAAGACUCCAUGUUCAUUUAGGGUCUGUUUGGCAGAGUUACUCUAGCUUUAGUUUCUCCAGAGGAGCCUUAUAAAAUGUUUUUUUUGGAGGAGCCGUUUUUGAGUAAACAGAGGAGCCGAAGCUUUUUUGAUGAAGCCACAAUUUGUUCCAAAACGGCUUCGGCUCUUCUAAAGAAGCCUAUCAUGAGGAGUCGUGUCAAACAUCUCCUUAAUUUGAUGAGAGAGAGAAUGACUCUUGUGAAUAGUGUUGUUACAGUCUGAGUUGUAGGUGGAGCCCAAGCCAUAAUAAGCCCAACUAAACACAAACUUAAAUCUUGCUCAAGUGUUCCGAUUCUUCUUUCUAGUAGCGAGCUCCCUUCAAUCUCUCCGUCACAUCUAAAAUUUGUAAGACAUAGUAGAGCUUCGUUUAGUUCCUGAAAAAAUUUACAAUUUUUUUUGAAUUUUCCGUUCAUCGAAUCUUACGGCGGAUGUAUAGAACAUUAAAUACAGGCUAAAAAAUAACUAAUUAUAUAUUUUGUCUGUAAUUUGCGAGACGAUUUUUUUAAGCCUAGUUAAUCUAUUAUUGAACAAUAUUUAUCAAAUACAAAUGAAAGUGUUACGGUGUCUAUUUUGCAAAAAAAAAUCAUCUAAAUAAGACCUAGAUGUAGUCAUUAAACAUUUUCUAGAUAUAUUAAUAAGCCUUACUGAGGAAGUACUACUGCCUUGUCCCCACGUCCGUCACCGGCAGUCGGUCUCGUUUUGAAUGCGCGCAAGCAGGCGUACAGGGUGUCCACGAAUCUAUAGCUGUUCAUCACGAUUUGACAAUCUCACACAGGCAUGGCAGUGACAAUCCGAUUCCAAGCACAGCCGGGCAAUGCAAAAGUCUAAUGUUGACCGGGCUUCAACCCGUGUGAAAAUUUGCAUGGGGCCGUAGUACAAGUCACCGUAGAUGUAGAACAUGUCUUGCUGGCUGCUGCACUACGGUCUUGUUUAGCUUCCAAAGGAAAAAAUUUCGCGACACUGUAACACUUUUGUUUGUUUGUGGUAAUUAUUGUCUAACCAUGGACUAACUAGGCUCAAAAGAUUCGUCUCGUCAAUUCCGACUAAAUUGUGUAAUUAGUUUUUAUUUUUAUCUAUAUUUAAUACUCCAUGUAUGCAUCUAAAGAUUCGACGUAAUGGAGAAUAUUGAAAUUUUUUGGGUUUUUGAGUGAAAGUAAACAAGGCCUAACCUGGACUGCCAAGUUGAGCUGAAAAACGUUGCUUGAUCUGUUUUUAUCACACUACUACUACGGUAUAUUUUGCGGGGUUCAGAGCUCAGCUGGACUGCCAAUUAGAACACGUCUUGCUGGCUGAUGCACUAUUUUGAGAAAAAAAAACAGUAAAUUUUGCGGGGUCCAGAGUUCAAAGUUCUAGAAAAGAAUUCGUUUUUUUUCUUGUAUGAACUUCGGUUGCCAGAGCUAAAGAGACCACUCAAACAAACAAAGCGCGCCUGCGACCUAGGCAAGAGUUUUCUUUCAGUUGAGUUAGGCCUUGUUUAGUUCUCAAAAUAUUUUAGUUUUCAGUACUGUAGCACUUUCAUUUUUAUUUAAUAAUUAUUAUCUAAUUAUAAACUAACUAGGCUCAAAAAAUUUAUCUCACGAUUGACAGGUAACUAUGUAAUUAGGUGCCGCAAGAUUCAAUGUAACGAGAAAUUUUGAAUUUUUUUUUGGUUUUUUAGGUGAAUUAAACAAGGCAAGGGAGCCAAAGAUGUACGUAGAGAUGAAGCGAAACUCAAUGCCAAUUUCGAAGAAAAGCUUAACAUCGUCAAAAGUUCCAUAAGGCGCUCUCUCAUUGGCACUAUCUACAACUCCACACGAAUCUUUCUGAGGACUUGUUUAGUUCCGAAAACUGAAAAGUUUUCGAAACUGUAGCACUUUCGUUUGUUUGUGGUAAAUAUUGUCCAAUCAUAUACUAACUAGGUUCAAAAGAUUCGGCUCGUGAUUUACAGUCAAACUGUGUGAUUAGUUUUUGUUUUUGUCUAUAUUUAAUGCUUCAUGCAUGUGCCGCAAGAUUCGAUGUGACGGGAAAUCUUGAAAACUUUUUGGAUUUCGGGGUGAACUAAACAAGGCCCGAGUCCUGGCGGAGAGCUUUUUUUUUUUUAUUACCGCAUAAUAAACCCUCCUCCUGUGUGGCCCUGAAGAAACACAAGCUUCUAGCUUUUCUAGACUGCUGCAGCUACAGCGAUCGAUGCUUGCACGGUUGGAGCCACGGACUCUUCACAGGCCAAACAGGUGCCUGCACGGCUUGUUCACGCAACCUCUGCAACAGAUCAGAUCGGAACAUGGUCACCGCGGAGCACUGGUCACCUCUGCGCCUUCAUUGCACUGCACUGCACUGGUAGGGCGACGCGGCGGCGGCGGCGGCGGCAACAGCGAUCGCGCCGGCAUGGUUGUAGGACGAGGACCAGCAGCGCGCGUUCCGCCGCGUCGAAGAAAUCGCGCGGGCACCUAACGUAACCAACCAACCGUGUACCGCUCUGCCAGCCAGCCGUGUGCCGUUUGAUGCGUCAUGCGUGUGUGUGCGCGCCAUCGUCACGUACGCAUGGAUUAUGCUGCAGCUGAUCGUUGGGAUAUGAACAGGUACAGCUUGGACCCUGUUGUGGUGGUCGACACGACAAGUAUCAGGCCAGGCGCAAAGUGAAACAGCUGAGGUUUCAGGACAAACAGCAAAAAAAAACAGCUGAGCGUUACGAUAGAUUUAACCCACUGCCUUUUGUUACUUCCAAAAAAAAAAAAACUAAAAUAAUUCAUUCAGACAUUCAGUACCUUCAGAUCCAGCGCGCUGAAAAUGAAACAGUUUUAAACAUCUAGCUUGCGUUACUGAUUGUGAUGCAUUGGUGUUUCUGACCAGAGAAUCUCUGGAAGGCGGGCAUCUAUCAAUCAUCACAGAUGCACCAACCCUAGGACAAACUUGUCAUUUGUCAAAGUAGCUUACUGUUAACAAUUCGUCCGCCUCCCUUUACGGGGACUGUCAAACUUCAAUGCAAUUCGCAAUACUGUACCAUACUGCUGCAACGGACUGCUAUCGCAAAGCAAGGGCAAUAUACAAUUUGAAUCUAAAGUAAUAUAUGCUGUAAGCUCAAAUGUAAUAGUGCUCUUGAAAUAAAUUCGGCUAUGAAUCAGAAUGCAUCUGAACACUUCUCCCAAAGUAAAAGCGUCUCAAGACUUUAUAUGAACAGUUCAUUUCCAAUUGGAUUGGGUAGAGUGGGUCAGGACUACAAAGAGAAGAUACCAUCACUAAUCGACUCUCCUCGUUCCAUCAAUAGUUCUGACCUCACUUUCAGUUUUGGCGAGUUUUAUGUCACAUCACACCAAAUGCCACCAAAUUGUACGCCAAUAUAUAUAUAUAUAUAUAUAUAUAUAUAUAUAUAUAUAUAUAUAUAUAUAUAUAUAUAUAUAUAUAUAUAUUGCUAAACACCUUAGCCUGUUUUUUAAAACACCCCACACGAAUCUUCGUGAUCGAUAGCUUUUUUACCGUCCUCUGUCUCAUUGGAAGUGUCGUUUUUUUUUACUUUUAUAGAGUUCUUUUUUGACAAUUUGUCUCAUUCAAAAAAUUUUAUGUAAAUAAUAAAAUAAAUAAAAUUAUUAUUAAAUUAUCUCUAAUAAUAAAAUAAGUCAUAACAAAAUAAAUAAUAUUUAUAUAAAAAUUUGAAUAAGAUGAACGGUCAAAUAAAAAGUCUAAUAAAAAAUGACACUUUGAAUUGAACAGAGAGAGUACACCAUUUGCAACUGUCCUUCCAGUUACAUGUAAACCCUCCUCCUGUUUGGCCCGGGGGAACUCAGUUUCUGGCUUCUAGACUGCUGCAGCGAUGGUUGCUCGGUUGGAGCAUAUAGACUCACAGGCCAACAUGGCCAACAUAGCCAUAACAGAAAGUAAAUAGCUGAUAGAUUCGGCUGAUAAAAUUAAACCAACAUGCUUGCAACAGCACAACAAAGAGCCCGUCGGGGACACGCCUCCCGAUCAUUGCCGGCCGCAGCCCCAAACAGAACGCAGGACGGGCUAGCAAACUAGCAAGCUGCAGAGCACUCGUCAUGGUCACCUUACCUCCGUCCCACCGGGCUUCUGCGUCCAUUGCAUUUGCAUUGGUAGGGCGACGCGGCGGCGGCAACAGAGAUCGAUCGCGGCGCGCGCCAGCAGUGGAGGACUUGGACGAGGACCAGCGACGGAUAUAUAUGUUGUGCUGCCCUACAGCGACAUCUGAUUGAGAUGAACAAGUACAGGCAAGGCAGGCAGGACCAGAGGUGUGUUGGUCCAGUGCACGCAGCAUCCGUCGCAUGUAUCAGGCCAGCCGACAAGUGAAAGAUCGGGUGAUGAAGAAGUUAUCGAAACGUAGUUCUCACAAAUCUCGUGAAUGCACGUUUUCAAUUUGUUUGGUUACGCUGUCUUUGCACUAAGAAUGCUCAUCUCUCUGCCUCUCUGGGAGCUUUGCUUUCUGACUUGCUUAAAAGAGCACUAAUGAUAAAGGGAGUUAAGGUACAGGGAAGCCGCUAUGGUAGAGCUGGAUCGGAUUCGUCAGGACAAACUGCUAAAGACUCACCUACUGCUUUGUUUGUUUUUCUUCAGCUAGUGCUGCAUUUGUUCCUGGGGAAAAAAAAAUAUUUCAUUCAGUACCUUCAGAUCCACACCGCACUGAAAAAAUAAUAAUUUUAAACAUCUGAAGGUGGGCAUCAGUCAUUCAUCAUCAGAGAAUGCACCAACCUGACGACAAUUUCAGCGCCCAAGGCAGGCAUUACUGUACUUGUCAAAGUAGCUUAUUACUGCUAAUACUCUGUCUGCCUCCCGUUGCGGCGACUGUCAACCUUGCCCAUGCAAUUCGCAAUAUCUGCAACGAACUGCUACCGCAAGGUGUCCCAGCAUCAUCAAUAGUCCAAUAUAGCAAUCCAAACUACGGUACAAACUCAUGGAUAAGGAUUUAGAGGUGCAUAUAAACUUGGACCACAACCCAAACUUCAUGUCGCCUUGUUUAGUUCCAAAAUAUUUUGCAAAAUGGACACUGUAGCUCUUUCGUUUGUAUUUGACAAAUAUUGUCCAAUCAUGGACUAACUAGGCUCAAAAGAUUUGUCUCGUCAAUUCCGACCAAACUGUGCAAUUAGUUUUUAUUUUUGUCUAUAUUUAGUACUUCAUGCAUGUGUCUAAAGAUUCGAUGUGACGGGGAAUCUGAAAAAUUUUGCAAAAUUUUUUGAGAACUAAACAAGGCCGAGUGUAAAUUGUUACAAUAAACAAUUUAAAUUUUUAAUAAUAUAUGCUAUUAGGUCAAACGUAACGCUCUUGAAAUUAAUUCAGCUAUAAAUCAGAAAGCACCUGAACACUUCCUCGCAAAGCAAAACGUCUCAUGACUCCAAUAUGAACAGUUCAUUUCCAAUUGGGUUGGAUAGGGUGGGUCAUGGCUACAAGGAGAAGAUACUGUCACUAUAUAUAAUUGACUCUCCUUGCUCCAUCAAUCAAUAAUUCUGACCUCACUUUUCAGUUUUGGUGGGUUUUACGUCACAUCACACCAAACAGCCCCAAAUUAUGCCUAGAUUAUUCAGCUCCUUUUUUCCAAGUUCCUACUUUCCACACACACCCAAUUCAGCUUUCCCUUUAGUAUAUCCACAAAAUUCUCCCCUGAUCCACAACUCAUCAAAUCAUCAUCAUGUGUCCUUAAAUCCAAAGCCAGAAAAGCCCCCAGCUGAUGCCCCUCAAACCAUGGACCAUCAGGUGCAGCUGCGAGGGGCAAUUCCAUAAUUUCCCCACCACAAGAAGAGAUUCUGCCGGUGCCGGAGCAGCUGAGCUAACCACCUGCCGGGCUCUUGUCUCGUCGUCUGUAACUUGGCUGGUAAGCAAGUCGUCACCCGUCAGCCACCAGCAGCUAGGCUGUUUGCCCACCCGUCCAUCGUUUGCGUGACCAAGAAAUCAAGAACUCAGGCAGGGCUCGCCCUCUUCCUCCUCCUCCUCCUCCUCCUCCCGCCGUGAAUUCCACGCUGGUUCAGGGAUGUCGACCGAGCUCCUGACGAAAUUCCUCACGUAGGUGCCCGCCCCUUCCAUCCCUGUCCAGACCUUUCUUAGCCUGAAAUUUGGUGGGACUUUUACGGGCGAUUGUGUUUGGUCUCUGUUCCUGGAAGAAGGCUGUACGUGCUGGGCUCAUCUGUUGUUUGAUUUGAUUUGAUUGCAGGUUGCUGUUCGGGUAUGCCAUGCCAGCGCUGGAGUGCUUCAAGGCGAUCGAGCAGCGGCCAGGCCGGGCAGAUCAGCUCCGCUUCUGGUGCCAGUAUUGGUAAUGAUUCAGAAGCCUUUUUUUUUCUUUUUCUUUGGGUCAUUGAUGAUACGCUUUAGCUUCAUGCGAUUUUCAUUUCCUCAACUGGGUGUUGUUGGGUGGUGAUCCGAGUUCGAACUCGUACUAAUAGAGAGGGUUGGAUCUGUCGAACAUGGUGCUCGUCCACAAAAGGGGAUCGAUUUCUUCUAUCUAGUAGGUACAGUGUUGUUGCGCUUGAUGUGGAAUUAAGUAGCUAAUUAUUAUAAUUAUUAUUGUUUACCCCCUUCUAUGAAUCAUAGAAUUGUGUAAAACAAAUUCAGUAGCAAACCCCAUUCUCCUUGUAUGAUAUUAUUAAGGAUUAUAUGUAGCGAGUUCGUAGUUGUGAUGAAUAAGCACACCAUCUUCUAGCUCGUUGCUGGGUGUUUCUUUGUUUUUUUUUUUUUUUGGUGGUGGUUGACUUCAGACGAUAAACUGAAACUGAAAGUCUGCAGUGUCAUAACGUUCACUUUUGGGUCUUGGUCUUGCUAAGUUUGACUAGUUUCAGCAAUCCUGCAGGAUCAUCUUGGUCCUCCUUGUCAUGUUCGACGAAAUUGCUGGGGUUCUCAUUUCCAAGUAAUCACCAAAACACAAAUCUGAAACUCAUAUUCCUUCAGAAAAGUGACCGCGGUCUGACGAUUUCCCCUCUCCAUUCCUGUCACAGGAUUCCAAUGUACUACGAGCUCAAGCUAGCCUUCCUCGUCUACUUGUGGUACCCAAAGACAAGGGUAUGCAAUGCACCAAUAAAAAGAUGUAGCUGUGCAUAUACACAGAGGCAAGCUGCUGAUCAAAAUCUCUAAAAAACUGGAUGUUGUUGUGCUCUGAACCAGGGAACGGACAUCGUGUACGAGACCUUCCUCCAGCCGCUGGUGAUGCAGUACCAGCCCAACAUCGAGGCCAGGCUACAGUACCUUCGCGCCAACGCCGGUGACAUCCUCGUCUUCUACCUCAAGAACUUCACCGAGAGGGGCUACGACCUCUUCCUCCGGGUGCUCGACUACGUCCGGUCGCAGGCGUCCAAAGGGUCAAGAACACGGGUAUACACACCAGCUUCACCAAUUUGGCUAUAUAUAUGUUCCUUCUCAUCAGAGGUUAGUGCAAGUGUUGUGAUUGUUGUUUCCCGUGAUGCAGAGAUUCUUCUCGUUCCGAGGGGAACGGGCGGAGAGGCCAAGCUUCGCCGACGACGACUAUGCCACCGGCGGCGACCGGAGGGACGGGGGAAGGCACCGCCGGCCACGUAGUGGCUACUAGCAGACCAAGACACCAAGUAGUCAAUUGAUGUAUAGGAUGUGCACAGAGACAGAAACGAUUACUCGCGUAGGAUUAGGUAGGAUCAAAUCAAGCAAACCAUUGUGAACCAGAUUGAUUUGAACACAGAUGGCUUAUGGACAAAACUUGUAGGAUUCUAUCUUUUCAAAGGGUAGGAAACGUUUGAUUAUUUGAGCAAGUAUGUUUAUCAUCUGACAUUCUGAUCUCAAUGAGCUCACUGAUGGCAAUAAUGGCAUUAAACAAAUCAGAAUAUCUGUUAAUUGUAAUUUGUAACAUGCCAGAUUGAACGGAAGAAACUUUGGAAGUUCUGCACAAAAUUUCAAACACUGCAUCCACAAAGGGACUUGAGGGUACAAGCAAUCGUCAUUAAGGCAUAAGGUGAUGGAUGUACUGAACAGCAGAAUUGGUAAAGGGUCCACUGACGGGGAAUCGAGAUAGAAACCAAAUAUUCCUAGAAAAGUUCACUUUUCGAACUUAGUGAGCCCCAUCAUUGACAAAAGCACAAUUGUAAACAUGCCAACUCACUGAGUUAGGAAACUGUGUUAAUAAUAGCUGAACAUAGUGAAAUGAUAUGUUUCCUAUCUACAGUAAGUAUCCAAAAAAGCAAUAUAUUCCUAGGAACAGAAUGGUGAUCCUUCAAGACGGUCAUGACUGUCAACCACUUAAAAUUGAGCCCACAUCAACACCCUUCUUUGCUAAGAAUUCCUUUGCCUCCACAAUAUCCUGCAUAAUACGUCAAUCUCAGACACAAUUAAAUGAGGUAAAGUCAUACAACCAAAACAAAAAUCAUUUAGCAAUUAGCAUGGAUUUCUUUGUUAUGAUCUGUAUGAAGAUCCAUGAGAUGUACUGCAAAGACAGCUCAAGAAGUUUCCAAGGUUCCUCAGUUUAGUCAUGGAUAGAUCAAGAAAAGAAAUUUAGUACCUAGGACUAAAAUAAAAUAGCUAACCUGUUGCAGUAGUACAGCUUCUUGAGGACAACUUGGGAAGAGCAUAAGUCCAAAUCCAACCAUAAAAAGGCCGUAGCAUCCAAGAGCCACUACCAAGUAGAUGGGAAGCUGAAACAGCAACAAUCAAAUUCAUACACAAACUACUAAUCGUCUUGCACUAUUUUUUUAAAAGAUAUUUACUAGCAAAAAUCAGUGAUACUGACCAGCCAAGUAUAACUUCGAGGAACAGUUGAGGUUUCAAGUAGAGCAAUCCAGAUAGCUGAGAUUGCUAUCAGUAUUGCAGCAAUCUUGAAUAUGUGCUUCAUUUUGGGGUGAGGUGCUUUCCUAUGAUAAAAGGAAAAAAAAUAAAAGGAUGACAAACAAAAUAUACUCCCUCUGUCCUGUAAUACAGUGUGUUCUAAAAAUUUUAAGACAGCUUACGGGAACACUCAAAUGACGUAUGUACCCUAAAUUAUUCCAAUUAUAGAGUUUCUCUUCAAAUCAUGGCUUCCUUUUUAAUAAACCUUGCCAAAUCAAAUCAUAGUCAUUAUGUAGAACGCAUUGUAUCUCAAUAUACAUUUUAGAAGUCACAAUGAACUUUAUUUUAGGACGGAGAGAGUAGCUGAUAUGAUUACUUAUUCCUAACAGACAAGCCGUUAAUAGCUGAAUUAUGGCCUUGUUUAGUUCUAAAAUUUUUGUAGAUACAAUACACGAGUGGUGAUCCUAUGCACCUUUUCUUUGAGCAGCAGCUAAACAUGUGGAUCAUUGUGGAAACCUUCAUAAUUUCAUGAACAGAUCUAUCUAGGUCACUCAGCAGCAUCAACAUAAUAUGGGGGGUUUUGUGCCAUCAAUACUAAGCCAACUUCAUGGGAUCGGACAGAGGCCCAUUUACCAUAAACUCGAUAGACUUUGAAAGGGGUUUGAAUUUUAAUUACCUCGGAGACUCGGACAGUCGGACCUCGCAGCAGACAGCAGACAGCAGACAGCUGGAGCAGGCCGGCUCCUGCGGGAUCUCGCCCAGUGGGCGACGGCCGAACGCGCGGGCCGCGGGCGCGGGGCGGACCGGGGGCAGCGGGCGGCGGGCGGCACCGCGUGGCGCGGCUGAAGGUGUGGCGGCGCGGGCGGGCGGCCUGGCGGGUGGCGGCGGCGCGGAGCGAUUCCGCGUCCCGGCGUCCGUCAGAGACUCAAAGCUCGGAAGCUGCUGGAGGGGGCGAUGUGGGGGAGUGGGGAGUGGAAAGGCCAGAUGGGCUAUUGGGCCGUCCGGGCGGGUGUGGAUUGGGGAGGGGGAAACAUUGUGAACCAGAUUGAUUUGAGCACAGUUGGCUUAUGGAUGGAGUGAUGGACAAAACUUGUAGGAUCCACUGGAAACAUAAAUAGCUUCGUACAAAUUUUCUAUUUAUAUCUUAUUCAUAUUGUCAGCAGCCAUCUCAUCCCAUGCUUACUAAUAACCAUCCAAAUAAUAAUCGCAGUUGUAAAAUUGCUGUACUGUCGACUGUCUCUCAAGUAGUCCAUCUGGUGCUCUCACACACGGGUACUCGUUAGUCUCUGACUAAUAAAAAUUAAAUAUAUGAAAAUGCAUGUUUUUUUUAUCUUUGUUUGCUUUCUAGCACAGGCACAGUAGAUAUUGUAUAGUCUCUAUUCUUUAGCCUCGAUUUACUCCCUCCGUCCCCUUUUUUAACUACCGUUCUCGCUUUCAUUAACAUACUCAACUUUGACCUAAUAUGUACAAAAAAUAUUUAUAUUUAUGAUAUAUAAUUAGUAUUAUUAGAUAGAUCGUUGAAUUUAUUUUUAUAAUAAACUUAUUUAGAGAUACAGAUGUUGCUACCAUAUUCUACCAAUCUAGUCAAACUUAAGGAAGUUUGACCGACAAGAAUACCAUGGCGACACAAAAAAGGGAUAGAGGGAGUAGCUGUUAUAAAUUUAUCAAAUCCCGAUUUAUAUGUUUUUCAUUUGUAUUGAGAGUUGUCGUUGCAUGGUACCUAGUAUUUUCAAUAUACAUUUAGUUGAAAUCCUAGCUUAAGUAUGGUGACUCUUGUUGCAACCUAUAUCUUAUGGCUUAUGAAUAUAAAUUUUGAUGUUUAGAUCUUAAUUUUAUUAAUUGCUACAGUUUUUUAGCCUCAAGUUAUUUUAAAACUCUUGUGCUUAUUUUAUCUUUUAUAAACUCUUUUUUUGCACAUUUCACAAUAAGGAUUUUAGUUGUAGGCAACACUCUUAUUAUGUACUACGAUAGCAUAAAUCAUCAUUUAAAAGCUAUACACAUUGCCCAAAAUCAGUGCUAAAGCUUGAAGCGAGAUCUAGGGUAGAGCAGUGGUGCUAACCUCAAGAAAAAUAUUAAUAUUUAAGCCUAUAAAAUGCCCGUUUACUUAGAUGGAAUCUCAAAGGUUGAGAAGCUACCUUUGGUCUGCACUACCUUGUUCACAAAAUUUUGAAUUUUCUAAUCAAUGAAUUAUACGUGGAUAUUGAUUUUGUAUAAAUAUAAGUAACGUUACAAGAUAUAAACUGUAUGCCAUGAUUAACUAAUAUAAUUUUAAAUACUUUGAUAGUAUAAUUAGAUGUGUCUAAUGAUUCAUUAUGGAAAUAUUUUCCAUGGACGCUAAAACAUAACAUAUGUAUUUAUUGUUCAUGCAUGUAUACUUGAUCUGUAUAAAGACACAGCCUGACAUGUAUACCUACUUUAAUAAAAAAAUUAUAUAGUAGGAUUAAUAGAAUUGGGCAAUGUACAACAUAUAUAUAUGCUUUAUGUUUUGAAAUAAUUCUUUUGUAAUAUAAGAUGUUGAUAAUUUAGAUCUAGAUUUGAUAUAACAUUUUAGUUUUUUAAUAAUAACAGAAGCAAAAAUUUAGAUGUAAAUUUUAAUGAUGAUUUAGAUUAUCUACCAUAGUUGUAUGUGGGUAAUUAGAUGUAAAUUUAGGCCAAAGUGUACUCCAUUCCACGUUUCAAUAUGAUAGAUACAAUGUGUCGUGCAUCUGCUUCUGAAGACUUCAUUUACCAAUAUUCUGUCCCAGUCAGUCACCAUAAAUCAACUCAAUAAAAUGAGACCUUGUUUAAAAUUGUUUGCCUCUUAGGUUAACACCCAUUGGAAUUCCGGGGUUAGGGGUGCAAAGGGGUAAUCUUUAGGUGCACCUCCAAACCUCUUUAGUUCAAAUAUUUGUACUACUUCUUAAUUUUUUUAGAGAAGUAGUAUAAAUAUUUGAACUAAAGAGGUUUAGAGGUGCACCUAAUCAUCACUCAUUUGCACCCCUACCUGGGGUCCUCCAUCCAUAUACCUUGUGGAUUUUGCAUUACAUGAAAAUCUACCCAUAGCAGCCUUUAAGUCACUGGAAACUGUUAGAGCAUCUCCAAAGGCUUUGGCAAAUUGACUUGGCAUUUGUUGUUAUUUGCAAACUCCCAUAACAAAAUGCAAAGGAUAAAAAUAGGUCAUCUCCAAGGGAAUUGGCAUUUGGACUUGGCAAAUGAUAAAAAUGGAAGAUCUCCAGGCGCGCGCGCUUUUCUCGCGCGUGACUUUGCUCGCGUGAUUGGGUUUGCAAAGCCAUCCACAACUUGGCAUUUUUGCCAAGUUUGCUCCCUCAUUUGCCAAGUUGCCCAAAUUGCAAACUUCAAAUGCAAAACCGUUGGAUACCUCUUUUGGAGCUUUUUGGCAAAUUACUCAAAUGCAAACCUCAAAUGCAAAACCUUGCUGAUGCUCUUCGCAAACUCACGUAGCCUGUUCGUCAUGGGCCCUAUUUCCCGUCCGGCCCAUCUGGCUUGAGCACUGCUCUCCUUGGCGCGGCACACGCCUCACCUUGUGUGUCCACUGUUGUAGUGUUGUGCCCAUCAUGCAUGGCCCACAACCUAAUUCCUUCUGAUCCUGUUUUGCUACAAGUUUGGAGGUAUUAGAUACGGUUGUCACUUGUCAGUCUAUAUAUAAACAUGUAAUCUUUACCAAUCAAUAGAAAUGAUUUUUGCAUGAUUAUCUCCACUAUUAGAAACUCAACCAAAUCAUGCACAUUUCACUUUUUCACUGGGCCAUCCAGUGCACUGUGCACCCCAUCCAAGAAAUCCCUACAAAUAGGCAGUACCUCGGUUUAUGAACCCAACAUAGGUUCGACUAUACAAACAUGGAGGUUCCACUAACGUACUACUCAAUGCUAACUGUCUAUUAUCCCAACUUCCCAAGUGUUUUGCCAAGGUAACAGUUGUGUGCAAAUAUUCACUAAAUUCAAGGUGAGCGAUGAUGUGUCUAGGUACCCUUAAUGUUGCAAUUCAGUGGCUGGCUAAUUUCGUUUCAAAAAAAAAACGUUUCAAAAAGUGGCUGGCUAAUGACAUUUCCAGUUCAUUGUAACUUUAUCCUCUCUCCCAAAUCUAGCUUGUUCCUGUUUUGCAUCAGAUGUGAAGCAUUGUGAAUCCAAAUUUUUUUUUCGAGAAAUACAGGCCUUGUUUAGUUUAAUUUUUUUUAACAAAAUAGACACGGUAGUAUUUUCGUUUAUAUUUAACAUAAAUAUUGUCUAAUCAUGACCUAACUAGCAUUAAAAGAUUCGUCUCGUAAUUUUUUAAUUUAUAUUUAAUGCUUUAUGUAUAUGCGUAAGAUUCAAUAUGAUAGAGAAUCUAGAAAAAUUUUGUAAAAUUUUUUUAACUAACCAAGACGUAGAUAAGGACCGGCGUGAUCCUUGUUGGUUGCAGCAUCCAGCCAAAGCCGAACGGCUGAACCCGCACAACAAGGCGCAGUUAUGGUAGCUGGGCUCCCAAAGAUUCCCCCGCACCGCACGGGCCGCACGCCGAGACGCUGCAAAAGCUCCAGUCGAAUCGAUUGUAAAUAGUAGUAGUACGGCACCGCCGUGCGUUCCGGAAGCGAGAAAGCCUCCAUGGCCCCUCCCGCAGUGAGUGAGGCAGGGCCCAGCAGCACAAGAACUGAACUGGUGCCACUGGCGCCUGCACGGCACUAGGCCUUGUUUCGAAAAGUGAAAAGUUUUCGAUACUGUAGUACUUUCGUUUGUUUGUGACAAAUAUUAUCCAAUCAUGGACUAACUAGGAUUAAAAGAUUUGUCUCGUGAUUUACAGCUAAACUGUGUAAUUAGUUUUUGUUUUCGUCUAUAUUUAAUGUUUCAUGCAUAUGCCACAAGAUUCGAUGUGACGGGGAAUCUUGAAAACUUUUUGGUUUUUCAGAGUGCACUAAACAAGGCCCUAGUGUAGCGGGGGGCCAGCAGCACUUUGCACGGUGGGUGCAGCCAGGAGUGCCACGCUGUUGACACGACACGGGCCGCAGGUGAAUUCGAACCACCCUGACGGUAUCGGCGUAUCGCUCUCGCUCCCGGUCCCGGCCUCACGCGCGCGUACAAAUGCCACCGGGGUCCCCGGCUUCCCUCCUCCUCCUACUCCUAGGCCACCGGCCACCCCAGUUGUUCAGUCACGAGACGCGCGCGGCUGCCCGCGGCCAAAACCCUGCUUCGCUGUUCGCCCAGCCCGCCGCCGCCCCGCCUCGCGUCGCGAUUCCCCUGACCUCUCGCAAGUCGUCACGGACUCGCGCGCCUCCGUCUCCAGGCCGUUUUAAUCCGCGGGCCUCUUGCGACCGGAGUUGGUUACAUCCAUCCACAGUCCGUUCCGCUCCAGAAGAUCCAGCAGCAAUGAAGGGCAUGGGCCCGACGAUGGAGAUGGCGCCGACGCCGGGCAAGGCGGCGGCAGCAGGAGCAGCGUCUUCCUCGCACAUGUCGAUGAUGCACAUGUCCUUCUUCUGGGGCGACCGCGCGGUGGUGCUGUUCCCGGGGUGGCCCGGCGCGCGCGGCGCCGGGGCGUACCUGCUCUGCCUCCUCUUCGUGCUCGCGCUCGCCGCGCUCACCGAGGCGCUCGCCGCGGCCUCGCGCUGCGUCGCGCGCCGCGGCGCGGGCGCGGGCGCGGGCGGGCGCGGCGUCCCGGCGUCCUCGGCCGCGCUGCUCACGGCGGCGCACGCGGCCAGGAUGGGCACGGCGUACCUCGUCAUGCUGGCCGUCAUGUCCUUCAACGGCGGCGUGCUCCUCGCCGCCGUGGCCGGCCACGCGCUCGGCUUCCUCCUCGCGCGCAGCAGGGUGCACCCUGGGGGCGGGGGCGCCGCCGCCGCCAGUGGCCACGGGCUCGGUGGCGUGGGCGCUGUCCACCCUCCGGAUGGCUCCAAGGCCUAGACUGCAGGGGCAAAUGCACUUGGGUGGGUUAAACAAAUGACUGUCUCGUCUCGUGUUGUCUCUUGCUGUAGGCAUCUGAAAAUUCAGGAUUAUUACUGUGUCAUCUCCCUGCCUAUCGUGUUAUGGAUUACAAUUACUGUGUGUUGUAAAGAUGGUAUGGAUGUGCUAAAGUUUCCAAGUGAAUUGAUUAUAAACGUUGUAUUUGUACUGAAGAUCAAGAAUUUCUCUUUCUUUUACACUGCAAGCGCAUGAUAGCUCAAUCUGUGGCGGAAAUAAGAGUCUCCUCGAAACAGCCACCGUAGCGGCUUUUUUAACGAUUCGGGAGGCUCCUAUCAUCCUCUUCCUUCCACGAUUCUAGCUCUGGAUAGUGGCCAAGUAUUCCCUACUGUGGUUUUUCGGCACCAAAGAUAAAAAGAUGCUACGUGUUGGUUCUCCAAGAUUUUUUCAUAGUGAGAACACUGAAAAGCAAUUAGAAUCACAAUAAUAUCAAUAAUAUCAUAUUGCUAAAAAAAAUACCUAUGACAUUAUCUUUUAACGAUGGGAUAAAAUAUUAUCCUACCCUCUAUAUCCAAAAACGACACUGCUGAAAAAUGAUAAUGGUGCCCAUUUAUAGCCUGUUCGUUUGAGACACGGCACAUGAUCUUUGAUCUUCCUCUGUUUGCAAGAGUAUCCAAAACAGUGUCCAAUGUGUAGCCCUAAUCAAAUAGCAACUGCAUAAUGGAUCUGCAUUUUGUUUAUCACUAGCAUGUCCAUGUGUUGCAAUGGAAUAUAUAACUAUUACGUGGUCAUCUAUACGAUUUGUGUUGCGGUUUAGAGAUUUAUUAAAUAAUAAUGUAAUAUAUUCUAAUACAUCAUAAAUUAGACUCCAUACUAUUGCUAAAUGUGUGAAGUGUUCAGUUCUAUCUCACAUGAGUUUGGAUUCUUAGUCCGGGUCACAUAUGGGAUAUAAAGAAGUGCUAGGGUAUUGUGGGAAGUAAAAAAAUGAUUAGAAGAAUUCUCUCUCUCUCUCUCUCUCUCUCUAAUAUGUAUAGGUACAUAUACAUAGAUACAUAACAAAAAUAGAUAUAGAUAUAGAUAUACGAACAUGUUGAAAUUCUCAAAGGAUGAUUUAUCCACUAAUUAAACUUACAAGCACAACAAAGUUUGAUGGUAAAAUCCUUAUUUCUAAUAUAAAGCUAUGGUCAUGAGUUCCGUUCACUAUUUUUAUAUUUGAAUUUUCUAUUUUACCUUUAUUAUUCUUAUGUUACAAUAGACCGUAUAAUCAAUCCUUAAAUGCUAUGUCCAUGUGCAAGAAAAGAUUAACUCUACAUGAAAAAAUUAUUGUCUAUUGACUCAGCUUAAAUAGAUAGUUGUUGUGUGUAGCAUAAAUAGAUAGUUGUUGUGUGUAGCUAUUGUAAGAUUGAUAAAUAUAGAAGAUGAUCCAAGUGCUCGUGUGGUUUUGUAGCUUCAAAAGCGAGUAAAGUGGAAGAAUGAGUGACGAAACAUGAGAGGUUGAGAGUGAAGGUGUGACCAAUUAAAGGAGAGAAAUCUUCACUCUUUAAGAUUGAAAAUAUAAAUAUACAAUGUUGUUUCUACUAAGUCAUACUCCCUCCAUACAAAAAAGAAAGUCAUUUAGGACAACGGCGGUCUCCAAAGUCUAACAUUGACUCUUUAUUUUUAUAAAAAUAUUUUAUCAAAAUGUUGUAUAUGCAUAAUUUUAUGAAAGUAUUUUUCAAGACAAAUCUAUUCAUAUGAUUUUCACAUUUUCAAACUCAAUAACCUAAAAGUUAUUCAUGAUUUAUAUUCCUAAUGUUUGACUCAAACCUUGUCCAAAACGACUUUCUUUAUGGGUAUGGAGAGAGUAUUGAGAGCACCGACUUUCACCAAGAUUUAAUGCUUUGUAUUCUAGUCCGCUCAAUAUAACAAAAACAAAAAAUGUGUUGAUUACUAUUAUGUGGGUCACAAACAAAAAAAUACAAAUAAUUAUCAAAGAAACUUAGCACAUUAAUUGAUAGUAAAAAAAUAAAGAUGUUGAAUUGUCAUAUCACGGUUAUAAGGAAACAUCUCUUGCUGCAUGUCAUCUUUUAAUCAACUGCCAAUGGUAAAUAACCACCUACCAAAGAAAAUUCUUUAUUUUUAAAGAAACUACAGUGUCGAACAAAACGAAUGUAGUGAGCCCGCGACAUAAUCAAUUAAAGCACCCCCAAUGCACCACCGUAGCUAAUGGUCUUAAGUGCUAUUGUCCAAAGAAUGGUCAAUAUCGGAGUUUAAUGAACUUUAAAUAAACCAGUAAGGGCACUCACAACGCAGACUCUAUCAUAGAGUCUAAAGUUAUUUAUUACCUCGAACAAUGUGGACUUAGAAUCUAAAUAAGACUUGGAGUCUUAUUUUUUCUACCUCUUUCUUCAAUAAAUAUACUGCCACAUCAGCAAAAUACCAUAAAUAAUAUGUAAUCAAUUGUCUUAGACUCUAUGAUAGAGUCUUGCAUUGUGAGUGCCCUAAGGGCACUCAUAAUGCAAGAUUUUGUUCAGAGUCCAAGACAAUUAAUUAUAUAUUAUUUAUGGUAUUUUAUUGAUGCGACAACAUAUUUAUUGAAGAAAGAGGUAGAAAAAAUAAGACUCCAAGUCUUAUUUAGACUCCAAGUCCACAUUAUUCGAGGUAAUAAAUAAUUUUAGACUCUAUGAUAGAGUCUACAUUGUGAGUGCCCUAAGACAUAGUAUAAACUAAAAGAGAUAAUAAAAACUUUAUAGAAUAAAAUAAUGUUAUGCAUUGUUUUUAAUACAGUAUUGGAAACAGGGGACAUGAAACCACUACUGAGACUAACAUUAGGCUAUACUAGGUUAAUCGGUAAUGCUUUGACUCUGACGUCCGGCCGUUUCCGGACGGAGUGCCUGUUCACUCGGCUUUCUGUUGCUUCGUGUCUAUCCACAUGUGACUCUUCUCAUCCACUUAUUUCUGUCUGCAUGCAGCUCUUCUCAUCCACUCAUCUCAAAAUAUCUACCCCAUGGCUCUUCUUGCCCACUCUCUCUCCUGCUACCUGCUCCCUCAUUCACUUCUCUCUUCUCUCUCUCUCAGAAAUCCACCGCAGCCUUCCAUGGUCCCAACCUGGGAGACCUCAACUCAGUGCGGUGCCUUCCCCCAUCUCCCUCCUCAACCGAAGCUCGAGCACACAAUAGGGGGAUCUGUGGAGGCGGCGUCCUCUACCCAUCUCGAGCCUGAUGUGCGUCCUCCACCCUAGCGUGUCGUCCCCCACCUCGACGUCGGCCAUGGUGGCUUUCCCGUGGUGGAUCCAUGGAGUACUGGCCUUCCCAUGGUGGAUACAUGGAGCACGAUGCAGAUCCAGUAGCGUGGUGGUCUCCUCCACCCAAUAGGCGAUGGUGGCCCAUCCCCCAUCCUAUUUAUGGAGGCGGCUCAAUCUGCACCACGACGGCGCCCCCAACCCAUGUGCCUCUCCUCUUUCCCUUUAUCUCGCGGCUACAGUGGAUUUUGUGGUGUUGCAAUCGUCUAUCUGAGAUGUUUUAGUAGUCUAUUCGAUAUGUUUCAGUAGUAGUUCUUUUGUUGUUGCAAUAAUAUGUUUCUUACUGUUUCAACUUCUUCAUCCCAAUGUUGUUGUAGUAUUGCUUUAUUUGCGAUGUUGCAGUAUAUGUUUCAGUUGCUUCAAUCUCAUGUUGCAGAAGGUGUUUCAUGUUGUUGCAGCAGUUUGUUCGGUGUUGUUGCAAUAACACGUUCAUGGUGUUUCAACUGGUUCAACUUAUUUGUUGAAGCACUUUGUUCAGUGUUAUUGCAUAACACAUUUAUGGUGUUUCAACUGGUUCAACUUAUUUGUUGCAACAAUUUGUUCGGUGUUGUUGCAAUAACAUGUUCAUGUUGUUUCAGUCGUUGUUUCAUCAUAUUGUUAUAGCGCCAAGCAGGGGGGCUAGGGGUGGGCUGUGGGAGUGAGCUAGCGAUGGGUGGAGGUGUUGGGGACCGACGUGGUUGGGGGGGGGGGGGAUCUCGUGGGUGUGGAGAGCGGAGGCGGUUCCUUUCAUCUCCGUGCGGAGGCGGGUGCAGUCGGGUUCCCAUAUCUACUUUUUUUUUUAUUUUUUCCUUUCUCAAUGUGGAGCGGGUGGGGCGUGAUUUGUACAAAGGCUUGGCGUCCGGACGUUAACGCUCAGAUCGGACGUCCGGGCGCUAGCAGUACCGUAGGUUAAUGCCAGUACGUUGUUACGAGUUUUAAAAUUCACAUACUCUAUGUUUCUUCAUUGUUAUUUUAUUUUUUCUGUCUACAUUCUUCCUUUUUUUAUUUCUUUUCAGUUUUCGUUUUUUGAUUUUAUUUUAUUUCCUGUCCUUUCCUUAUUUUUUUCUUGUUUUAAUUUUACCUUUUAUUUUCUUUUUCUUUUGGUUUUAAUUUUAUUGUUCUUCCUUGCUUCUAUUUGUUUUUCUUUUUUCUUUUCAGAUUUUCUAUGUUUCUUCAUUCUUAUUUUAUAUUUAAUUCCUUUUAAUCUUCUUUUUAUCCUUAUUUAAAUUAUCUAUUUAUUUUAUUUGCUCUAUGCACUUUUUAUCAUUUGUUAAUUAUGUUUGUUUUUAUAUUUUUUUCUUAGUAAUUUUAUUUUUUAUUUUUAUUUUCUAUGUAUAUGUGAUAUUUAUGUACUAUAUAUUUAGUGUUCUAUAUUGUGUUAUGUCAUGUUUAGGGUUUAGGGUUUGCUAUAAGAAAUUUAAUGGUGCAAUCAAAAUUUAAUUUAUAUCUUCGGUUUAAGAGUUAUGAUUUUUUUAAUUCGUUAAAACAAUUUUGCAUGCAUGAGUGAGUGGAGCCUGAUGAGUUGAUGGGAUAACCUAUCAUGACAUAGUAAAAAGAGGAGUUGUGGCUUCACCAUAGAUGUGGUAGAUGGGUCCUCUCCAUAAUUUUUAGUUGUAGAUUGGACGUGCUCUUAAAGACAUGUACAGUGAUUGAACUCUUUCAUAUUUUUUGGCAUCAUGCAUCUACAAAUAGUCGUUAUGUAGAGAAAAUAUGCUUAAAUGUUUAUUUCCACAGUAUGAUGUGACAUUAAACAUGGUUUCUAAAUUUUCAAGUGUUAUUUCUACAUUGUAUUCAUUUUUUGGCAUGGUUUUAUUUUUUGGCAUCAUACAUCUAUAAAUAGUCUGAACAAGUUUGAGGCCGGCCAAUAACCUUUACUCUAGUCUCUCUUUUUUUAUGUAUUGUGGGAGUAGAGUUAGGGAUGAGAACCUUUUGUUGGGCUGAUCCGUGGCCAUAUUCAGUUGCUGCCGUGGGCUAGUACUUGGGCCAUAUGGAUAAUGGGCCAAGUUGGCAAUACAUUAGAUUGGAAAUAACACAGAGCUAAAAGGCCUGAACUGGAAUAAGUGGGGGUGAGGCUUCGGUGCACAUGCGCUGAAAACCAACAGCGGCGGCAUCUCCCAAUGCGGUUGUGCAAUUUGGGUGUGGGAGAGAAAGGGAAAAUGUAUGAGUUUCUCUCCUCUUACUUUAAGGGAAGGGCUGGUUUUUCUUCAUUGAAAAAAAAGUUAGGACUCGUUUGAAUCCUUAAAAUUAGAUUUAUUUUAAUAAUUAUAAUAUAGACCCAUAUUUAUUAAGCUAAUAUAUAUUAUGUGCUUUAUUUCUACCAUAGGGGAGUGAGUUAAAGAGCAUGUUAUAACUUGCAAACUAGAAACAUAGCAUAGUGAUCUAUGAAUUAAUAUUUGUCUCUCAUCCUAUGAAUUUGAGAUAAACUCAUAUAUGAACUAUAAAUUAAGUAGACUAGGAGGAUUCUCCGUGCGUUGCCAUGGGUACAAAGAAGAAAUAUAAAUAUGCCCUCGCUAUAGUCUAUCGAGUCAUCUAUAUAUAUAGCUUGAUUAUUAUUAGUCAGUUUUCAAAGAGGAAGAGAGAAAGUCACGUGAGAGAAUAAUGCUAGCAAUAUGUGUGUAUGGUCAUAUGUAGGUAUCUACUACUAAAAUUAUUUAUAAGUGAGCACUUGUAUGUGGGAGCAGGAGAAAUGGAUGAUGACUUGGCUUAAGAAUGUGCUAGAGAAUUAGGUUAGUGGGGUUUAUCUUUAUAGUUGUUAUAGAUUUUAAUUCCAUCACAGGAUCCAAACGACACCUAAAGGAAUUUAGAGCUCAUUUUUUUCUCAUCUAAACUUUAGCACUUUGCACAACGGUCUCCGACGAUAAAAAACAUGACCAAAUAUUUGGUCAUCAUGCAUCGGGUCAUCCACGUCUAACAUCAUAUAUUUGCUCAUGUUUGAACACUUGUCCAUGCUAAAGUUUAGCUUGGUUACAUUUUCAUGCACCAUGCACAUUCAAUAAUUCCUUAAACCAACCAAUGAUGGCAUCCACUGAAAUGGCCGUAUUUAGACAGUGCUUUCUAAAAUUUCCCAAGCCCGCAAAGCGCGGCGGCGCGUGCUGAUCGUGUCUCCGACGUGCCAUGCGCGCGCGGCGCCCAGUAUAAACAUGCCGUGGCGUUCAGACACUGUUCGUUUAGGGAAAUGGCCCGCCGCGACAGCUACCCACCAGCGCACUGAAGCCGGGCGAGCUAGCGCGCCGCUAGUGGACGACGGUGAGCUCCGUGCUGCCACGCCGCUGGACGGUGCGCGCUAGUGCUCGCUCCACCGAUCCUCUCCGGACUCCGGCCAUCAUGAGGUCGGACGCUGCUGCUCGCCACGCUUGCACGCGCUCCACGCCACUAUAUAAGCCGCAGCGCAGCGGCCAUGAAGCCACACACCAGUCACGCCGGAGAAGCAAACAGCACCUGCAUCACACGAGCAGCGAGCGUGUGUUGGAGAUGAGAGGACUCCUGGUGCUCGCCCUGCUGGUCGCGGCCGCCGCGUGCCUCGUGGCGGUGCGCGGCGCGGACGGCGCGGGCGAGUGCGGGGCGACGCCGCCGGACAGGAUGGCGCUGAAGCUGGCGCCGUGCGCGUCGGCGGCGCAGAACCCGAGCUCCGCGCCAUCCAGCUCCUGCUGCAGCGCGGUGCACAGCAUCGGGAAGCAGAGCCCCAAGUGCCUCUGCGCCGUCAUGCUGUCCAAGACCGCCAAGAGCGCCGGGAUCAAGGCCGAGGUCGCCAUCACCAUCCCCAAACGCUGCAACCUCGUCGACCGCCCCAUCGGCUACAAGUGCGGAGGUAAGCCAACAACAAUGUCUGCUCCAAUUGCUUCAUAUAUCAGAGAUUGUUGUCAGUGGUAUAAGCUAGCGGAAUAGAUUGAUUUGUGAGUGUGUGUGAUACUCCUAUUCUUUACAGAUUACACUCUGCCAUGAGCUUUGAGAGCUUACUUGAGCACCAGUGCAUGAUCCGUCGGAGUUAGCACGACGUCUGUGGGAAGUGACGGUGACUGUGUCAGUGUGUGUGUGUGUGUUGCCAGUAAACGAGACUUGUGAUUACCAUACAUGUGGAACUCCAGUAUGAUACGGGUGUCUCAGUCUCACUAGAUACGUGUGUACUUGUACUCUCUUGUAGUCAGAGUCAGGAUGUUCCAGAGAUGCUGUCCUGCAUCCUCCAAAUAAAACUUGUUGUCUUGGACAAAUUUGGUUAAGGGAGCUGCUUGUGUGCACUCAUUGUUUGGUUGAAAAAAAUUGCUGUUCGUCCAUUUAAUAAAUAAAUAAGAAUGAGCACGAAUUGAGUUAUUUUGGUGAAUCCUGCUUUUGAGUCUCCGACUCAAUUUCCACUCACGUUUCUAGUGGUAGUUUCUAGGCGUUUCUAGUGAUAAGGUAAAAAUCCUUCCUUAACUUUACAGAGCUCUUGUGUUUACCGUAUUUUAAGCAUGCUGAUUGCUGAUAGACAAUAAUGACAGGUACGGCAUGAUUGGUGCUUUGGACAAGUUAAUUCACCUAUAAUCCCUUAUAAUUUCGGAUAAACUUUGAGUGCUUCGAUACAUUAUAUUUUAGGAUGGAGGGAGUAGUAGGGAAAUGGUUUCCGUUGAGCCAGUUUUUUUCCACGGCAGUUCAUAACGAAUAGAGACAGGUAAAACUCGAAGUGUGGCCCCUUGCUUUGAACAGCCAGUGAAGAUACAUGUCCCACGGUUUUUCUAAGGUUACCUCCAGUACAAAUACCCAUCCGAGCACUGGAAAUAUAAUGAGAUAAUUUCUUGUGAUGUAUACUUUCUCCAUACCUGUUUUAGUUGAUGUUCUGGUAACUCAAAUGUUUUCAUAAAGUUUGACGUUCUGGUCACGCAGGGUUAGGUGCUGGACCUUUGUCCCUACCUUUUCGUUUCGCAUUCAAUGCAUGCUGCGCUCGCAUGCAAAAGCAAAAAAUGAGUGGUUACCAGGGAUCAAAUCCGAGACCCAAUGCUCUAGCCUCUACGCACUAGCCAAUUGAGCUGAUUUAUUUUCUUAUAUAGAGAGUACUCGUAGCCAUAUUUAUUAGGGGGAGAUAUGGAAAACUAACCCCUAAUUAAUCAUUCAUUGGUUACCACAAUCAUGACCUAAACAUCAACAAUGGGUAUGGAGAGAGUAUUUGUUACGUUGCUAUAAUUGGUUGUGACGACUAUAUAAAUUUGAAAUAUGAUCACAUUUUAAUACUAUAUGAUAGGAACAUUCAAAUUUGUCAAAUAUCUUUACAUCAUGUUAUUUAGCUGCCUCUGGAAGUUAAUUAACAGUAAAUCAUUUACACAUGCAGUUAGUUUAAGUCUGCCGUCGAUGUAAAUCAUUUUACACUAACAAUAAGAUGAAGCCUCCUUUUCUAAAAAAGAUGAAGCCAACCACCGGUAUAAAUUAAUUUGUAUUAACAAAUUGUGGUGGUGUGAGUUGGUGUGUGAGUUUUAGAUACUACAACUUGCAUUUGAAGAGUUGAGGCAUAAAAAAUGUAUUAACAAAUCUCAAACUGAUGCUAGUGAAAAUAAAAAAAAGUGGCGACCAGUAGAAACCUGUACUAGUGAAUUUCUUCACUCUUACUGAAUAAAAAAAUCACUCUUACAUCGCCGUAGCUACUUACCAAGUAACCAUUGAUUGGUGGAUCCUAAGGCACUCCACAACAUCGUAGGGGUGCCCAAAAGUCACCAAAUCUUUGCACCACAAUUGAAGGCUCACAGCGGAAGCAAACUCCAGGCAUCAGGACUCAACCAAAAAAGAAAAAAACCAAAUGCAUAAAAAACAGGCAGCACGGAUCAUAAACAACAUUUAAUGAACUGGCAUCGGUUCCUCUACUUGCUCCGCUCCUUAUUUUCUUAGCAUUAUUGAAAUUGGCAUCACUUGCUACAAUGGAGAGAGUGGUGCCAGAAUCAUCUCUCUUAUUUUGGGCAUCACUUAAGCAAAAUAUUAUGGAGGGCCUAAGAGGGUGUUUGGUUGAGUAAUUUACAAGACGAAUUUUUUAAGCCUAAUUAGUCUAUAAUUGAACAAUAAUUUUCAAAUACGACGAAAAUGCUAUGUUAAACUUUAACAAUCCCAACAAAACACCUCUAAUGUUCGAUCGACCCUACCGUUACAUUAGCAGGACCCCCGCCACCUAGCACGUGCCCAAUGCCACGCCCUCUGUCCACCACAAGUCAGGCCUUGUUUACUUUCAACCAAAAUCUCAAAAAUUUUCAAGAUUUCCCGUCACAUCCAAUCUUUAAACGUAUGUAUGGAGUAUUAAAUAUAGACAAAAAUAAAAACUAACUACACAUUUUGGUUGAAAUUUACAAAUGAAUCUUUUAAGCCUAGUUAGACCAUGAUUGGAAAAUAAUUACCAUAAACAAACGAAAAUGCUAUAGUGUCGCGAAAUCUUUUUGUCCACGAACUAAACACGGCCUCAGGCGUCAUGCCAUGUGUUGCUCCGUAGCGUUUUUUUCAUAUAAAGCAUUUUAAAAAUUUGUAGAAAUGAUUGGAUCCUGAUAAAAUCUUUUGAAAAUACAUAAUUAUUUCAUUUUGAACUCUAAACUUAUGAAACAUGUAUUGAAUGUUUUACUAAAAGUUGACCUUUGUAUCCAAAAAAUUAUUUUUCUAGUUCUUUUGUAUUUCUGGUGCUUCAAUACAUCAAUAUAUUCUUCUUCCCUUGUGUUAGAAACCUAUAUGAGCUCUCAGAGGAGGACCCUACUGAUCCAAUGUAUGUAGAAGACUUCGACAACUUGUAUAAGGUGUCAUAUCCCACCCACAUAUGUAGAAUCAUACUCUCUCCGUUCCAAUCUAUAAGACAUUUUAAUUUCUUUUAGAUUCAUUGCUUUUGCUAUGUAUCUACACAUGUAUAUCUAAGUAAAUAACAAAAACUAUAUAAACUAUGUACUUAUAAAAAAACCCAAAACGUCUUGUAAUGUGAAAUGAAGGAAGUAUGUAGGAUGCAAACUUAUGUGCUAGGGCUAGCUAUUUCUGUCUGAUGAUCUGAAACGUAUGCAAAAUGGUCCAAUAAGCGUAUAUACAUACUAGUAUUUUCUUCUUAUUUCUGAAUCAUUGUGUGUACAUCUGUACAGCUUGUCCCACCCUGCACUGCCCCUGGCACCACCGACACUUCAAGCACAGGCAGCUGAACAAACAACUGCAACUGCCCUUCUAUUUUUUUCUUUGCUAGAAUGAGCGCAGCCGCCGCACUUCGAGAGGCAACAUCAAAAAGUGGCGUCCACUGAAAAGAAUGCCCGCGCACGCCGAUCAGGUUACGCCGGCGGGCACGCCAUGGCGUUCAGCCGUUCACACCCUGUUCCUUCGGGCCCAAAGCUGCCUCACCACAUCGAACCACCGGGCCGCACUGAGCCGGCUGAGAUGUGUGUGGCCGAGCUUGCACGACGCCAAUGGCGGAGGCACGGCGUGCUGCCACGCGCCCACGCCGCGUGACGGUGCGCGGCUAGUGCUCGCCGCACCAAUCGUCGCCGGCCAUCAGCCCAUCACGAGGUCGGUUCAUGGUGGUCGCCACACCUACACGCUCGACGCCACUAUAUAAGAAGGGGGCCUUGGCAGCCAUGAAGGCGCCGGCUUACACAGCUACGCACAACUCACUAGGAGAAGCAAGAAAGGGGUGAGGUGACGAUGAGGAGUCUCUUUGUGGUCGCUCUGAUGAUCGUGGCCGCGGCCUGCAUCGCCGCGCCGCGGGGUGCCGACGGCGCGGGCGAGUGCGGGGCGACGCCGCCGGACAUGAUGGCGCUGAAGCUGGCGCCGUGCGCGUCGGCGGCGGAGGACCCCAGCUCCGCGCCGUCUAGCUCCUGCUGCGGCGCGGUGCACAGCAUCGGGAAGCAGAGCCCCAAGUGCCUCUGCGCCGUCAUGCUGUCCAACACUGCCAAGAGCGCCGGGAUCAAGGCUGAGGUCGCCAUCACCAUCCCCAAACGCUGCAACCUCGUCGACCGCCCCGUCGGCUACAAGUGCGGAGGUAAUUAAGGAAGCAACAAACUGAUGUGUGAUAUUAUUCUUCACUGUUUGCUCCGGUCGUUUAUUCUGUGAUUACCAUGUAUGCAUCAGCAGUAUCAGCAAGAUGCAGUAACACUGAAUGAGUGUCUGUCUGAGAUUCUUCUUUUAAUUCUUUAUUACAGAUUACACUCUGCCAUGAGCGGUGAGGAUUAUUCCAGGGAUUUGCUGCAUGACGUGCAUGUUCGAGUAUCACCAAAGCGCGAGCUCUUGUGGCGUGUGUUCGUGUGUGUCAGUCUCUGUGUGUUGCCCAUAAUAAACAAGACAUGCGAGUACCACACAUGUGGAACUCUAGUAGUAUGAUGAUGUGUGUAUCACUAGAUACGUGUACUUAGUUGUGUUCAGUGUCCACAGAUGUAGUCUUGCAUUGUCGAAUCAAUAAAUCCUGUCUUUCUGAUAAGAUCGAUUGAGAGAUAGUAGAUGUUGUGCAAUAUAAUUUAUGUCUCCACCGUUUGUCAACUGAAAAGCUUGAUGCUCGACUACAUAAGAUUUAUUAUUUUAGAUGAUGAUAAAUAAGAACAUGUGUAAUACGGACCUUGCAAAAGAAAAUCAAGGCAAGUACGUACUGUGUCUUGUUUUGAGCACGGUUGUUUUAGAGUGACGACUAAGAUGAGUUGUUGAUUUAGGCUUGAUGUAAUUUGCAUUUAUGAUAGAAAGUGAUUUGGGUAAUUCUCAAUACAUUACUGUGAUUAAUUGUCAUAUAUAUAUAUAUAUAUAUAUAUAUAUAUAUAGAGGCUAGUGGAUACAUAUUAGCCGGAUUACAUUCCAACACUCUCCCGCAGUCUAAACUGGGAGCACCGCGAACAUUGAGACUGGAUCUAAACUCCGUGAAGACGGAUGUCGGCAGACCUUUGGUGAAGAUAUUGGCGUACUGAGACGUAGUGGGAACGUGCAGGACGCGGACUUCACCGAGGGCGACUCGCUCUCCGACGAAGUGCAAAUCGAUCUCAAUAUGCUUGGUUCGCUGAUGCUGAACUGGGUUGGUGGAGAGAUAAACGGCACUGACAUUAUCACAAUAGACCACUGUAGCGCGACGAAGAGGGCAGCGAAGCUCUAUGAGGAGCUGGCGCAACCAGCAUGCUUCGGCGACUCCGUUCGCAACAGCUCGAUAUUCCGCCUCUGCACUGGACCGUGACACUGUAGGCUGACGCUUGGACGACCAAGAGAUGAGAUUAUCACCGAGAAACACCGCAUAACCCGAGGUGGAUUUGCGUGUGUCAGGACAACCCGCCUAAUCUGCAUCGGUGUAGACAGUGAGAUCAGCCGGAGAGGUUCGGUGAAGGUGCAAGCCAAGAUCCAAUGUACCCUGAAGGUACCGGAGAAUCCUCUUCAAAGCACUAAGAUGAGGCUCCCGGGGAUCAUGCAUAUAUAAGCAGAUCUGCUGAACAGCAUAUGCAAUAUCUGGUCUGGUAAAAGUGAGGUACUGAAGAGCUCCAGCAAGGCUACGGUACUGACUAGGAUCUGCAACGGAGGCGCCAUCUGCAGCAAGCUUAGAGUGAGUGUCCACAGGAGUACUGCAUGGCUUGCAGUGACUCAUACCAGCUCGCUCCAGAAUAUCCAACACUUACCGCCGCUGAGAGAGAAAUAAGGUGUCACCUUGGCGUUGAACACUGACACCCAAAAAAUGAUGAAGAGGCCCCAUGUCUGUCAUCGAAAAUUCCCGGCGAAGUGCAGCAAUGAUCCAAUGAAGAAAGCUCAUGGAGGAUGCGGUCCAAACAAUAUCAUCAACGUACAGUAAGAGAAAAGCCAUAUCAGCACCUCUGCAGUAGAUGAACAGCGACGUGUCGGAUCUAGCCUUAACAAACCCAAGGGAGGUGAUGUGGGAGGCAAACCGACUGUGCCAUGCACGGGGAGCUUGCUUCAGACCAUAGAGAGACUUGUUCAGACGACAGACAUGGUUGGACUUGGAGGGAUCGACAAACCCAGUCGGCUGGACGCAGUAGACUGUCUCGCUCAAAGUGCCAUGGAGAAACGCAUUCUUCACAUCGAGCUGAUGAAUCCGCCAGGAACAAGAUAGUGCCAGAGUGAGAACCAUCCUGAUGGUAGCUGGCUUGACAACUGGACUGAAAGUCUCAUCAUAGUCAAUGCCCGGUCGCUGGGUAAAACUGCGAAGUACCCAACGAGCCUUGUAGCGGUCAAGAGAGCCAUCGGACUUGAACUUAUGACGAAAAACCCACUUGCCGGUGACGAGGUUGAUGCCAGGGGGGCGAGGCACCAAUGUCCAGGUGUCGUUGCUCAGCAAAGCGUCGAACUCGGCCUGCAUGGCGAGGCGCCAGGCCGGGUCCAAGAGAGCAGCCCGGACAGACGUCGGCACUGGAGAGGUGACUGCAGACAUCAUGUGGAGAUUGAGGCGAUCCACAGGUUGCCGAAAACCAUCCUUGCCACGGGUGCGCAUGCCGUGCGCAUUGGUGACAGGGAUGAUCACCUCUGGAGCUGUAGCGGUGGUGCGGCCAAUGGUCCGUCCGACGCCGCUAGCAACAGCCUGGGGCACGUGGUCUGCAGGGGCAGCAGCACCGUCAGGACGGGGUGAUGGAGAGCCGCUAUUGUGGCCAUCGUGGCUAGCAGCAGGAGUGCCGCCCAGGCUGGUCUGGUCGUGGCCGGCUGCAUGGCCGGGGCCAAUGGCCGAAGCACAAGGGGGAGCAACUGGUGUCCCCGGGGCAGCGUCCAUGCCACCUGGAAGACGGGUACCUACAGUCACAGCUCUUGGCCAUAUAGGCGAAGAGGAAUCAUCAGCAACAUCCAAAAACGCGAGUGUGUUAGGGUCCGAUGGAGUGGAUGACAUCUCAGAGAAGGGAAACAACGUCUCAUCAAAUACGACAUGACGAGAGACGACGAUCCAAUUGGAGUGGAGGUCGAGACAUCGAUACCCCUUGUGAUCAGCCAAGUACCCUAAGAAGACACACAGGGUGGAGCGAGGUGAUAAUUUGUUGGGAGCUGUGGAGGUAAGGUUAGGGUAACAGGCACAACCGAAGACUCGAAGAUGGUCAUAAGAGGGUUGGGUGCCGUGGAGGGAAAAGAAGGGGGUGCGGCCGUCUAGAGUUUUAGUUGGGUGACGAUUAAGGAGAUAGGUGGCAGUGUGAAGUGAGUCAGCCCAAUAAACAGGAGGAAGACUGGCCUAGAACAGAAGAGACCGCACGAUGUUGUUCACAGUGCGAAGGGUGCGUUCAACGCCUCCAUUCUGUUGUGAGGUGUAUGGACACGACAUCCAAAAGACGACGCCAUGAGUGAGGAAGAACGUGCGGGCCGAGGAGUGAUCAAACUCGCGGCCGUUGUCGCACUGAACUGCCUUGAUGGUGGAGUUGAACUACGUGCGCACAUAGGAAAAAAAGUUAGAUAUGACGCCAAAGGUUUCAGAUUUCAGGCGUAAUGGAAACGUCCAUAUGUAGUGAGUGCAAUCAUCAAGAAUGACUAAAUAGUAUUUAUAGCCAGACACACUAACAACUGGGGACGUCCAAAGAUCACAAUGUAUUAAAUCAAAUGGAUGAGUAGCACGCGAGUAUGACACACUAAAGGGUAGGCGCACAUGGCGACCUAGCUGACAGGCAUGACAAACAUGAUCGAUAUUGUGCUUAUUAUUACAGGAAAUAGCAUUUGAACUAAUAAGCUUGGAUAAAGCCGUGUGUCCGAGAUGACCAAGGCGACGAUGCCAAAGGGAGGUGGACGACGUGGCAGUGGUGAGGGUGGCAGUGGUGCUGGAUGGUGCAGGGAAGAACGGGUAGAGGUCACCCGUGCUAUUGCACCUAGCGAUCACGCUCCGUGUCUGAAGGUCCUUCACAGAAAGUCCAAAUGGGUCAAACUCAAUAGAACAAUUAUUAUCAGUAGUGAAGCGACGGACUGAAAUCAAGUUCUUAAUAAUGUUAGGCGACACUAAAACAUUAGAAAGAACAAAAGGCCGAUGUGUGGUGUAAAAAGAGUGCGACCCAAUAGAUGUAACGGGAAGCGAAGCUUCGUUACCCACAAUGAUAGAUGAAGGACUGGAUGAUGAUGGAGGGUGAAGGCUAGAAAGUAUACCAGCGUUGUUGACCAUGUGAGCACCGGCACCAGAGUCAGCAUACCAUUCGCCCGAGGGCGGUCGGAUCCGAGGACAUACCCUGCAUGGGCAUGGACGGUUGCUGUUGCUGUUGUGGUGGCGGCGGUCCUCCGUGGCCGAAACCUGGAGGAGGCCCAAGGGUGUACGGCUGCUGCACGUACUGCUGCUGGACAGUGGUGUAUGGCUGCGGCACGUACUGCUGCUGGGCGGUGAAGGCCGACCGUGGAGGACGGAACGGUGUCCCGGAGGCGUUCGGUGGGCACUACCAGAACUGAACGUAGCCUGCCCACGGAUUGUAGUACUGCGCCUACGCCUGGGGUUGCGAGCCGACGUUGGUGUUGCCGGCCGACUGCUGCUGGUUGCGGCCGCGUCCGCCACGUCGGCGGCCGGUCCGCUGCUGGCCCUGGCCGCCCUGUCCGCCCUGGCCGGGCUGACCAUAGCCAGUUGUUCGGCCUUGGCCGUGGCCGCCCUGGCUGCCUUGCCCAUGGCCGCCGUAAGGCAGUCCGGCUGGGGGACGAGGUGCGGCAACGAGAGCGGUCGAUGCGGAGGAGGCCAGUGGAUCAGAGGCCCCAGCGGCCUCGCUGGCAGCGAUGUCAUCGAUGUCGAUCUCCUCAAGCAAGAGAAGCGUGCGAGCCUCCUCGAAGGUGGGGAAGGGUUGCCGCAUCUUGAGGUUGGAGACCAUGGGUCGGAACUUGCCGCUGAGGCCGCGGAGGAGGGUGAGGACCAGAGUGUGGUCCCCAGUCAGAUCGCUGUAGUCACCGAGGGUCGCCGCCAUGGUCUCGAGACGGCGGUAGAAGUCGGUGAUCGAGGACGAGCCCUGUUUCGCCGUGCGAAACUCCGCAGAGAGCAACAGGGCGCGCGAUUCGCGCUGGCCGAGAAACUCAUUCUCGAGGUAUGUCCAGGCGCAGCGAGCUUUGGGCUUGUUGUUCAUCGUCGACUGUUGGAGAUCAGCAUGGAUGGUGCAGUAGAUCCAAGUGAGCACGGUGCAGUUCAUCUGCACCCACGCCGGACGAUCGGCGUUUACGACGUCGGAGAGGACGUGAUCCGUGAGGGCAUAUUUGCCCAAGACUGUCAGGAACAUAGUGCGCCACCAGUUGUAGUUGUCUGCGGCGUGAUCCAAGACCAAGGGCACGAGGACGGCGAUGGCGGUGGCAUGGACAGCGGCGUACUUGGCUUCGUACGCGUCGAGGGCCGCGGCACGAUCGGCCUCCACCUGGCGGCGGCGCCCCUCCUCGGCGUCGCGUGCUCGACGUCGGUUUCAGCCAUCGGAGGACGCGACCCCGAGGGCAGCCGGACUGGAGCAGUAGACGAUCAGGCGACGCAAGGCAGUAGAGGAUGUGACCCGUGACGUAGUUGUACAGGAAGCAGCAACGUAGAUGUACGAGUGGAUGCUGAUCACGUGGUGUAGACGUACGUGACCUGAUCUGGCCUAGAGUCUGAUCCGUCACGGCCAUCGCGAUGGAGAAGUCAUGGUCUCGCCCGUCACGGAGUAGCGGACGUAAGUCGCGGACAUUGCGACGAGGGGCGCGUCACGCAGGCGCCGUGGGCGCGCGCGUUCGCGAGAUGAGGCCGGCGAUCGAGAUCGCAGCAGCGGCGGCGUGGCGCUCGUGAAGAGCAGCGGCGCGACGCUAAUUGCGGAAGCGAGAGGAACGGAGAUCGUUACCGUCUCGUGAUACCAUGAUAGAAUGAUAGAAAGUGAUUUGGGUAAUUCUCAACACAUUACUGUGAUUAAUUGUCAUACACAUAUAUAUAGGCUAGUGGACAUGCACACUUGCCAUAUUAGCCAGAUUACAUUCCAACAAUUUAAGACAAAAUGCAAUUCUAAAUCCUCCCUCGUGAAUGGUCUUUUUUUAAGAGUUUGUGAAUAAUGUUCAACAUUCUUUUGUGGGGUCUCUAGUUGCACAUUUGGUUGUGCAUUAAUUACUUAGUAGCCAUGGAUACACUUGCAAGAAUUAUGGACCGGUGACGCCUCAUUGAGAAGGUUGAACAAAGCUAGGACUUUCUUUUUUAAGAAGGGGUGGCAAAAGCUUUGCCACACACCACUUGGUCACACUGAGCCAACUUGGUCAAAAAAACGACAUAACUAGCAACUCCAUAGUGUAGGAUCUCUGGUAGUCUAGGAUGGCUUAGAGAGGGUGGGGGUGAAUAGGCCUGUCAACUUAAAAACUUUAACUUUAUCAGUUUCACCAGACAGGGUGGCACUGGGAGCAACAAAGAUAUAUUCAAAAAGUACUUUGGGAAAUUUGGAUCAGGUUAAGUUCUCAACUCUUUGCAAGUUAGUAUUCAUCAGAACAACCACUACAACCUGCAUAAGUAACACCACGAGGUAGAUCAGGCUCAAACCCUAAAACAACUCAACAACACAAAUAAGCAAAGAGUAUAUCAACACACAAGGAUUUAUCCCGUGGUUCAACGGUCGCCACACAAGGCUGCACUUACUUCACGUUGUUGAGGUGCCCACACUAGGACCGACUUGCCACGAAGUCUUGUCCUUCCCUCAUUCCAACAAGAGUGUUAUCUCUUGAGGGAGGGGUGAUUUCUUAGCUGCAAGAUGAACUUACAAACUUCCCUUGGCUACCACACAAGUUGGCAAGCUUUAGGGCGAUGCCUAGCCGGCUAGGAGCAAGCUCCAAGAGUAACAAACCCUAGGGCUAUCGGUUAAACAUGAACCAAAUGCUCUUAGACUUUGGGAAUUAGCGGAUCUACUCUCCAAUUGAAGUUUGCUGCCUUUUCUCUCAAGAAAUGAUGGUGGAAGUCAAGGAUUUGCUUGAGAGCUUGAGGAGCAACAAUGGAGGAGAAAGAGAGGUGAGCUUUGAUGUUGUAUAACGGUUGGGACGAAGGAAGAUGACGUGAGUGGCUCAGAUGACCGUUGUGGUCAAGUGGAAAGGGUAUUUAUACCCUGGUCUUCCAACGGCCGUAUCAAGGGCAGCACUGCCGCCCUAGCCAGAACUAGCCAAGGGUAACUAGAGAGAAACAUGCUGGUUUGGCUGAGGGUUAAGGAUAUAGAAGUACAUUUGAGAAUCUGGUUCAACAUUUGAUCAAUAGACCUAGAGUCCCUCUUAAUAGUACGGCUUUUCCUAUACUCGAAGUCAAACAAGAGCGAAAGUAAACCUUCAAGAACCUUUAGGAAAGCCUUCCUUUUACAUUGGGAACCCUCUGACCUGUUCAACAUCCUCCUUUCUUAAUUCCCUGCUUGUUAUCUCAUUAAAAAUCAUUAGUCCUCUAAUUCGGUGGUCAUCAACAUCAAAACCCACAAUGGGCUUGAUUGAACUUACAAUCUCCCCCUUUUUGGUGAUUGAUGACAACCUAAUUAGAGCUUACAAGAGAUAUAAAUAAAGCUGAGAUAACAUUAGCCGUGCACAUAGGAGCUCCCCCUAAAUGUAUGAAGAGAGUUUUGAAUACUCAUCUUGGUUUGAAAACCAAGUCUCAUCCUUUAGCUUUGUGCUGGGACCUCUCCCUAUGUUCAUGGCUACUAUGGAUGCAGCAAACUGUGUCACAGAGAUAUAUGUCAAUGCAUAUGAUAAAUUAUACAAAAUAGGGUUUGACUGCUGGAGCAGAGGGCGGCACUGCCGACCUUGCUUCGCCAGCCAGACAGAAACUAAGAACAACACUCAUCACAACUUACUUAACAACAGCUCACAAGCAAUCUAGUAUAGGGAAUGACAAGCUAAAGUCACACAACGAGUACAUAUUCAUAUCCAAAGCAAAUAAAGACGAAUAGGUACCAACUAUUACAAAAAAUAGAGUUUUGAGCGACUCUCAAAUUCUCAAGCUCACAAACUAAUAGCUAACAGCUACUCUCAACUCUUAAUGGAUCUGAACAUGAAGAACACCUUGAUCUUGAGAAUUGACUCCUCUAAUUUCUCUAAUUUUCUCCCCCUUUGGCAUCAAGUACCAAAAAGAGAAAAGAAGAGAGAAAGAGAGAGAGAGAGAGAGAGAUCAACUCACUCCUCAUCGUCAUCGGACUCUAUAACAACACGUCCUCCACGGUGAGUAGUAGGAGUGAAGCGAGUAGCACGAGUGGAACGACAUGGAGCAGCCUCAAAAGUACUAGCUCUCUGCUGCCUAGCCUCAUCUCUGUACUACUUGUAGAAGCUGCCAAGUAUCUCCUAAAGAUCUAGAUCAUCAUCAUAGGCCUGCUACCUCUCAUGGCUGCCUUCUUCCUCUUCAUCACUCUCGACGUCUGAAAGGAGAUGAAGAUUUGGUAACUAUGGAGGUGGAUCAAAAGGUGCAAGAGGAGGUAAACCCUGAACCUCCCUUGCUACAUUGAUUGCAUGCCUACUCUUCAUCCUAUCAUCAUACUGAUUCUGUGCCAUGUAUGAACAAGUGCCAAAAAUAGCUUUUAUCCAUUCUGCUAAUUUUUGGAAGCACUUCUUCUUCGUUCCACCUCUCCUCAAUGGCUCAUCGGCACCCUCCUGACUGUGAUAUGAGCCCUCUACUGUAGGAGGUGGGGCUGUUUUAUCACCUUUGGUUUUUUUGAUGUUGCAUACUAUGUGGUAGCAGUUCUUUGGCUAUCUAACACUUGUCACCCUCUCAAUCACAAACAUCAGGUAAGGAGCAUAGGGAAGUGCUCUCCUCCCAUCAUCCAUAGCAUAGGCCAGCUCUACCCACAUGAACCUUGGCACAUUGAACCUAUCACCAUCUGGAAAUCUGGAUAGUACAUUGGUGAUAUUCCCAUUGAGAUCAGUGGCAUUGUCCUUUGGGUUGAGUGUCAUCCUAAUGAGAUUGUUCAUGAUGUAAUAAAAGCUCUUCGACCCAGUCCUUCUAUUAUUUACUUAGGUUGGAUCCUCCCACAUGAAAGUCACUUCAUGGGGCUCAAACCUCCUCUCAUUGUGGAUGUGAGAGUAAGUCUUGUGAACAUGCUCAAAGACAAGUAUCCUGCAAAAGGUGACAAAAUCAAUCCUAUAGUGUGUGUCUGAAAGCCCUAGUUUGGUUUUGGAUAAUUGAUGAAACCCUAGUACUAACCUCUAUACUAAGUGUGUGUAGACUUAAUGAGGUUGGUACAUGCCAAGUGAUGGAGCAAAUGAUGAUCAUGGUGAUGGUGAUGACCACAAGGUGAUCAAGUGCUCAACUUGGAAAAGAAGAAAGAGAAAAACAAAACCCUAUGGAGUUCAAGGCAAAGGUAUUGCUUAGGGUUUUGAUUUUGGUGAUCAAGACACCAUAGAGGGUGUGAUCACAUUUAGGAUAGAUAGCCGUACUAUAAAGAGGGGAAUUCUUUGGCUAAGUGGUUAUCAAGUGCCACUAGGUGUCAUUGUUCAUGUGCAUGCAUUUAGAACCUAGUGAGCUAACUUAACUCCUUCGAAGAAAAUGAUUGUGAAAAUGCUAACACACGUGCACAUGUUGGUUUACACAUUGUGGUGUUGGCACACUUUGAGAAGGAGGUGGAGUUUGAAGAGUAGAGAGAGGAUGGGUUCCUCUCUCCCUUCCGCCGAGCUUGCGAGGCGGGUUUCGACGCUUUUUGAGAAAAUGAAGUGCAUAUUCUCUAUUGCGCCGGUGGGAAAUUUGGAGAAGUCGCGGGAGAAACACUCACCGGACGCUGGCUUCUGGAGCACCGGACGCUGAGUCUGAGCGUCCGGUGCAGACAGUGCCUGGCCCAGCUAGGGUAAGGCACCAGACGACAGGCACCGGACGCAGGCCUGUGCGUCCGGUGGUCCGUGUCCGGUGUGAGGUCCGUUUGCAGAGCUCUCUGAGUUUAAGUCCGGUGAGCACCAGACGCUUAGGGUGCGUCCGGUGGCUCGCGCCUGGUGACCCUGCGAGUUUGCGGAGCUCUCUGCGCACGGGUCCGUUGUGCACCGGACGCGUCCGGUGCCAACUUGCUCAGCGUCCGGUGCACUGCAGGUGACCGUUAGACUCUGACACAAGCGUUUCAAAAGGCGACAUGUGGCUGUUGUUGGAGCACCGGACGCAGGCGUUGAGCGUCCAGUGCCCCUUUGAGAGCGUCCGGUGACCUCGCAGUUUGCCCAGUGAAAGAGCUAACGGCUCUAUUUGUUUGAGGGGCUUAUAAAUAGUUGUUGGCCGGCUUAGGGCUCACUCUCUUGGCAUUCUAACAUACUUGACAUCCUUGUGAGCCUAAGCAAACUCCUCCCACUCAUCUCCUUCAUAGAUUAUUCAUCUUUGUGAGAUUGGGAGUGAUUCCAAGUGCAUUUGCUUGAGUGAUUGCAUCUAGUGGCACUUGGGGAUCGAUUUGGCUGUGGUUUUCUUGUUACUCUUGGUGGUUGCCGCCACCUAGACGGCUUGGAGCAGCGGAGGAGCAUUGGCACGAGUUGGUGAUUGUUUGUGGCCAUCUCCCGUGAUUGUGAGGGGUCUUGUACCUUCCCCGGCGGAGAGCUGAAAGGUAACUCUAGUGUAUUGCUCGUGUCAUUGAGCUACCUCACUUGUGGGUAGGUUCUUGUGGUGUCCUAGUGAGGACGAGGUUCGUGCUACACCUCUUAGCCACCGAACCACCAAGUGUUGGUCAACACAAUGGGGACGUAGCGUGCCGGCAAGCACGUGAACCUCGGGAGAAAAAUUGGUGUCUCCAUUGUGUUUGAUUGGCAUUCUCCCUAUGCUUGAUUGUUUAUAUUGGUGAUUGGUUCAUCCCCUACUUGGUGGUAUAAAUAUCUCAUCCUCUCUUUUACAUUCUCGCAAACUAGAGUAGCUUACUUACUUGUAUAGAAACUUUAGUUAGCUUUCUAGUGUAAGUAGUGACAUAGCUCUUGUGUGUCUAGUGAUUAUAUCAACUAGAAUUGUGGGAUAGGUGGCUUGCAAACACCCCUUUAGAGCUAGAGCAAAAAGCUUCGCUUUGUUUUUUACUAACCUUUUGCUCUAGUGUGUUUGUAGAAUUCACCCCCCUCUAGCCAUAUUAGGACCUUUCAGUGUCAUCUGUCAUCCAAUGCACCUCAUCAUUAUCUCUAUUCUAGAAAUAUGUAGCCUGAAACUGAGCAAGAAUAUCUCUAUUCCAGUUAUACUGAAAGGUCAUAAUACUAGAGAGCUCAAAUUUGUCACACACUUUGAUUGCCACAUCAAAAUCAGGUUCUUCUUUUGCUUGCAUAGCAUCAAAAUCAAUGAAGUGCAUCUCACAUAUCUUUCCUUUCCUAGCUGGUAGAAUAGCAGUGGCAUAGAGAUUUGAAUGAAAAACAUUCCAAAAGCGAUAAUCAACACCACUUAUCUUGCUGUGAGCGUAGGGAUCCAUCUCUCUUGCUUCCUCUACAGCUUUCCAGCUAGUUGCAUAAUUAACCAUUAGAUGGUCCAUAGUAUCAUGCGGGGCUUUUAGUUCGAACUCAUCAGUGUUGUCCCUCAUAUAACUAUCAUCAAACUCAACAAUAUGCAGAGGGGUGGUAGGACAACCUCUAGGAUGAAUGGUAUACCCAGCCUGCUGCAGCAUCUCCUCUUGCUGUAUGUACUGUUGUCUCGCUGCACGAUCAUUUCCAAAGAAAACUACUUCCAUUAUUUGGGUCUGACCCUCCCUAACUUACUACCACUUUCACUGAGAAACACUCACCAGACGCAGUGCGCAGAGGCACCGGACGCUGACAUUUAGGGUCCGGUGUGCUGUCAGUGCUUGGCCCUGUUAGGGUUGAGCACCGGACGCAGAGUGUUCCUUGUUCAUGCGUCCGGUGUGGACUGUCUUCAGUAGGGGGUUUCUGACUGAGAGCAACGGACGCUCAAGGUGCGUCCGGUGGUGUGAGUCCGGUGUGCAGGCGGUUUGCAACCCUCUCUGCGCAUGGGUCCGGUGAGCACUCUGAGUCCGGUGAGGUCGUGUGUUUGCAGAACUCUCUGCGCACGUGACCGGUGAGCCGGACGCGUCCGGUGCUCACUUGGUCACGUCCGAUGGUCUGCAGGUGACCGUUAGAGUUUGACGCGUGAGAUUUGAAGGUGGACACGUGGCUAACUCCAGAGCACCAGACGCAGGGGGUCGAGCGUCCGGUGGCUCUCUGCUAAGCGUCUGGUGCCCCCAAUUUCAGCCCAGUGACAGAGCCAACGACUCUAUCUCUUUGAGGGGCUUAUAAAUCGGAGGUGGCCGGCUUUAGGAGGUUGGCUCUUGUACAUUUGAUUACUUGAGACAUACAUUGAGCUAGAGAACACUCCCUCCACUCAUCUCCUUGCUUGAUUGCUAAUCCUAGUGAGAUUGAGUGAGAUUCAAGUGCAUUGCUUUGAGAGUUGCAUCUAGUGGAACUUGAUCUUUGAGUUUGCUGUGGAUUUCUUGUUACUCUUGGGUGUUUCUCGAUGCCCUAGACGGCUUGGAGCAGCGGUGGUGUUGAGCUCGUGAUUGGAGAUUGUUUCGAGCCUCACCAAAUAAUUUGUGAGGGGUUCUUGAGCCUUCCCAGCGGGAGAUCGCAAAUUGGUUACUCUAGUGGAUUGCUCGUGGCUUGGAGGAUUCCCAUCUUGUGAGUGGAUGUGCGGCACCCGCUGAGGGUUUGGCUUUAGAUUGCCAAUUAGCUCGUGAUCCAUCAAGUGGGUGUAUCACCACAACGUGGAGUAGCUUGCCGGGAAGCAAGUGAACCUCGGUAAAAAAUCUUGUGUCAUCUCUUGCCGAGGUCUCUCUUGUGAUUGUGUAUGUGAUUGAUUGGAUAUAUCUCUUUUCUACAACGUCGGUAUAACAAUCACUCUCUUCUCUUUACAUACUUGCCUACCUUGUUAGUUGUUUAGCUUGUGUAGCUUAGUCCUUGUUUAGAGUAGAGUUGUUGUGUAGCCUUCUCUAGUUGUUGUGGUUUAGUGUUUAGCCUUCUUGUUAGACUUGUGUAGGUGGCUUGCAUAAAUUAGUUGUGCUAGUGCUAAUAGCUUCGUCACUUAUUUUACUAACUCCCUUGUUUAGUAAAAUUUGUAGAAAAUUUAAAUAGGCUAUUCACCCCCUCCUCCUCCUCUUUAGCCAUUUGGACCUUUCAAGUAUGAUGUUGUUUUUCUAGAAGCUGUUGUUUUCACGUAGCACAAUUUUUACACAGUAUCUUAAAAAACCUAUUUUUUGGCUUUUAAUACAAUGAAACGCAAGUUUUUUACGUAGUUUUUCAAGAGAAAAAAAAAGAAGAUAUAUUGCUAGAAAGUUGUGCGCUAGAAAGUUGUGUUUGAUGUUCGAGAGCUUCCAGUUUUUCCAAGGACAAAGGAGCUCAUCCUUGUAUUGUACUAGAACAUCAGGCGCCCUUCGGGCACCCUACAAUGAUAUUAAAACAGAAGCUAUUAUCCAUGUCCAAUGACUAUUGCUUUUAUAAUUAGAUGGUAACACUAAAAUUCAAAUACAAUCAUUUUAUAUAUACAAUCAUUGCCAUCGGCAUCUAAUUAAGAUUUGGCAUAUGGAACCAAUCAAAGCAGAGUACAAAUUAUGAAGCAAUCACAUAUCUUCAAUGUACUGAUAGUGCAAAUAGCAUGGUUUGUAUGUCCAUAUCAGUCGCCCAUAUGUUUCUAUUUAGCCACACCAUUGAUUAAGAAUGCAACCGUCCUCUAUUGAUUUGGUAUCUUUGCCUGCUCUAUAAAUGGAAAAGGGUGUUAGAGACACACUCAAACACGAAGUGGAUCAGAGUACAACAUAACAAGGAAACUAUGACAUUCCCAUUUUAUUCAACCAUGUUAACCUUAGUUAAUUUAUCAGCUAAAGAUGCAUGGUAAAACAUCAACAAUGGACACAAAAGGACUUCAAGUCAUCAACCACAGCUAACUCAAUAUUGGUGCAGAAACAUCAAACUAAAAUCAACCAAUCAGAACUUUAUAUCAAAGUUGUGCAACUAAAUGGAGGUCAAUGCUAAUGUUUGUAACCAUACCUAUAUCCCAGCCAUUUUGCAACUUUUAAAGAAAAGGUGCUGCCAAAAAUAUACUCAAUAUCUAUUCCUUGAAAAACAAUACUAAUAUCAGUAUUCUUAAAACCUUGAUAAUAAUUAAGACAAAAUCAAAUAUAUUAGUUACAUUCACACACUGUUACUUUCAUGGAGACACUUACUCAAGACCAUCACUACUUGCUUUACUCUAAAUUUGGGAGUCCCUUGCAACUGGCAAGAAUUACCACUACCACCACCAUGGUGAUGGGUAAAAGUAAAACAUCGUGAAUUGGUAUUAACCUACUCUGAAUAUUCGAAUUUCUGAUAUAGCUGUAAAGAGUCUGUUUUAAAAUUACAUAACUCAACAGCUAAAGUAUCAGUGGGAAUUUACUGAAAGGACAUCAUGAGUGUGUUUGGUUUGUAGCCCCAGGUAGCCUGGAUAGCCCAAUGUAGCCAGGCCAGCCCUAACCUGCCCCCAGGUAGCCAGGACGGGGUUGUUUGGUUGCUAGGCUCUCACUGGCCUGGUUUGUAUGUUGAAGUGUUUGGUUUGAUGUAAUUCUACUUGGCUAGCCUAGUGUAGCCGACUUAUGGGUGUUUGGUUGCUGGCGAUCUUGUUUGGUGGCUUCACCCAAAGAGUGAACCGGUAGCCUUACCCCUUCCCUUGCUUCGCUGUAAUAAAAAGUCGACAUCACAAUAUUUAAGCUUGGAUCAGACUAAUCUGCGGAAUGCAGAUUUCCGAUAAACAAACACAAUGCAUUCAACUGGAUGGAUAUAAAUCUUCAUCAUGAAGACUCGUGAAAGCAAGCCUGUUCUCAAAGUUCUCUUUUCAGCGAACUGAAUAAUCUUCAGUCAUAUGCAGAUGGAAACCUUCCGGUGUUGAAAGCUUGAAGAGCACAAUGGGGGCAUAAAAUUAGAUACUCAUCGAUUGUUAACAGAGCUUAUUGAAGCUUAGUUCAGACUAGUCUGUGGACCGCAGAAUUCUAGCAAUCAAAUGCAGUGAAUUCAAAUGGAAUACAUCUUCCAUCAUAUACAGAUAUCAGAUGGAAACCUUCCAGUGUAAAUUCCAGUGUAAAUGCAGUAAAUUCAAAUGGAAUACGUCUUCCAUCAUAUCCUAUACUCCUGUCAAGUUUAUCACUCAUUAUAACUAAUUUGAUUAAAGUAGAGGAAGAAGGAAAGUGACAUGUAAAUUCCUACACUUGUUUCAUAGAGCUAUAUUAUGUGGAGCAACAUCACAAAGUGGCGAUAGCUACUUCAUGGAGCAAGUGCAUUAUGGACAUUGGUCCCAAAUCAUGGAGCAAGUUCAAGGACUAAAGAAUAAACUUACAUCAGCCAAUAAAAAAUAAAGCAAGUUUAGAAUGAGGGGGACAAAUGCGGCGUAACAAAUUUGUUUAACAAAACACACCAACAUUUGCUAGCCUAGGCAGAGGCAGCUAGCCUAGUGUGCAUGUCUCUGCAUUAUCAUGCACUUUGCCCUUUUAAUUCCACAAAGUAGCUUGGCAAAGGAAGGGUUGUCCUUAACUAUACUCCAGUUAGCAGCAGCACUCAUGGUUAGCGCCAUGCUAAGCCUGACACCCAAAAAAGUGCAGGAUAAAAAUAUGUUUCAUGUUAUAUUUACCUAUAGUAAUUUUUAUGUCACAAAUAUUAGUAUUUUUCCUAUAAAGUCCUCAAAAAAGUAUAGCAUAAAUAUAUUUCAUGUUAUAUCUAACUAUGUUAAUUGUGUCAUACAUAUUACUCUUUUUCCCCCUGUAUAGAACUUAAAAGAAAACUUAGUCUUUUUUCCCUGAAUAGAACUUAAAAGAAAACUUAGGGCAGCCGAUGGAGGGAGUCAUAGGAUAAAUACAUAUUUAGGCUUCACAGUCCACACACUAUCAACAUAAAUGAGAACUCCAGAUCUAAAUUAAUACUUUUACCAGCUGGAACAGGAGGCUGGACGGAGAGGCGGAGAGUUGGCGAACUAACCCAUGGCCUCCACCUGGAUUCCCAAACAAAACAAAAUUAGCGCUCGGAACACAGAAGUUAGAUCCCAACAGAAGCAGAUGACAUUACCAGCACGAUGGGCCCGUUCCACUGCACGAGUAGCUAGAUCUACAACAGACAUGGUUGGAUCUCCUGGAUCUGACUGCAGAGCGGUUGGGUCUGCUUUGAUCCAGUGAGGCGUGCAUCGUGGAAGAUACAACAUGUUGGAGCAGCCAUGGCCACCAUGCUCGCCUUGGAGGUGGAGGGGCCUGGAGUUCCUGGCCGCCGCCGCCGCUGCUCCCAACAUGGAGGCCUCAUGCGCUGCACCGCUGACUCCUAGUGACAUAGUGGAUGGAGGAGCCCACCGACCCCUCCCCUUGGAGCACUUUUCCAUGAGAUGAUGGGCUCCUUUCCUAGAAAUGGUGGCAGCUUGAGGGAGCGGUGACGAAAGGUGGAGACCUCGGAGGCAAGCUAGCGGACGACGAAUCUCGCACUUGCGUCGCCACUCGCCACCAAAGCACCGCUCGCCGCGUCAUGUGGGUGAACCAUUAUGGUGAGCACGGAAGUGCGGCGGAGGUGGGAGGAAGAGAGAGAGAGAGAGAGAGAGAGAGAGAGAGAGAGAGAGAGAGGAUUGGGGAGGGGCUUGGCGGCUGUGAGAAGAGAGAGGAAUGAGGGAGAGGGAUAGGGUUCAGGCCUUCAGGGCGAGUAGAGGGGGCUCUCUGUAAAGUGCCUUGAGGGGGUCGUUCGACAAAAAAGCCCCAAAUGUAGAUACUGCUUUGGUCUGAGGAAGUUGAGUGCGGGUUGGUUCUAAAGAAUUUGGAGGUUCUUUCUGCAAUAUGAGUUGAGACAGAUGUCGAGCCAAGAAGAGGACACCAAGGCUUCGAUUCAUCUGGUGCGAGCAAAAGGCAGCAGUCUUUAAUUAACCCCGAUUAUCCCUUCGGGGGGGGCCGUUUAUGCUGGUCCUCCCUACUCCAUGGCACAGCGGCAGGCAACUUGUCCCCUUGCUCCACCUCACGUUGCCACUCCUGGGCUUCUCACACAACAAGCCUCCAGGCCCGGAGACGCGGAGGCCCAGAAGCAUUUCAGCCGCCCAUCACAAGCACAACUCCACAGCAAGUCCGCUCUGCUGCUCCUCCUUUCUCCCCCUAUCUUGUCCGCUACCCCAGCGGUUGGGUCGUGCCGUGCGUGUCCCCACCUCGCCACCAUCGUUUCUGCUCCACCUUCAGCCAAUCCCAGCCGCGCCCAACCAUGGCGGCAACGGCUCUGCUCCUUCCCAGCCUCGCCGCGGCGGCGCCCACGCCCACGCAGCAGCUCCGGCUCCGGCUCCGGCGCGGCUCCCUCGCCUGUUGCUCUCGGUCCGUCCGGCCUCCGCGGCGGCGGCUCGCGGUGUCGGCCGUGCAAGAGACGAAGGACGGGGAGGCGAAGACGGCCGAGGAGAUCACCGAGAAGUACGGGCUCGAGUUCGGCCUCUGGAAAGUAAGCGGGGGACAGUACCGACGCAGGCGGCACUCACCCACCCCUUUCAUCAGGUUUCAUCCUCACCAGCCACAUGUGAGCUGAGCGAGCUGCGUCGUGUCGCGCUCUCUCCAUGGCUGCACUGCAGGUGUUCAGCUCCAAGGACGACGAGGAAGGAGGCGGCGAGCGGAAGAAGUCGCGGACGGACCAGGCCAAGGAGCUCCUGGCAAAGUACGGCGGCGCGUACCUGGCCACCUCCAUCUCCCUCUCCAUCGUCUCCUUCACCCUCUGCUACCUCCUCAUCAGCGCCGGCGUCGACGUGCAGGACCUGCUCGCCAAGGUGAGAGAGAGCUGCUUUGAUACCUCAAGCCACCACCCGAACUGUGCAAUCGCCUCGCCAGCGGUGUGUGCCCUCCGGCUGGCCAUGGAUGGUCAUUUGUGCGUUGCAUUGCAGGUCGGGAUCGUGACAGGGGAGACGGGAGGGAAGGUCGGGACCUUCGCGUUGGCCUACGCCGCGCACAAGGCCGCGUCGCCGAUCAGGUUCCCGCCGACGGUGGCGCUGACGCCGGUGGUGGCCAGCUGGAUUGGCAAGAUCAGGAAGGGCGGCGACUGAGCGAUGCGCACGCACCACCACUCAAAAGUACAGCUCUCACUGAUGAAUCAAUCAUGUAGUCUAUGCAAAUAGCUAUACAUAUAGGUGUUCUACUACUAGUAGGCGAUGCCAGUGAAUCUAUCUGGUGCUGCUUUUGCAAAAGCUGUUCAAUAACGAUUUUGAACUAGCAGUAAUAAUGAAUGACGAAUGGAGAGUUUUUAAACUAGAAGCUGACAAUGCACUUGCUUCAGAGUUUAGCGAUGAGGUUUACAGUUUUCAGCAUGGGAUUUGCUGAAGAUGCUUGACAUUACUUACUUGCUACACAUCUAGGCAGCCUAGGCAUAGUAUGUACACAAAAAUUGUGGCGCCGUCCAAAGGCAGAAUCAGGUGGGCAUAACACAUAAGCCUGACCCCCUACAAGUUGGAGGCAUGCACCUCUGUAACCAGCGGUUCAGUUUAUACGCCUGAUUGCCGCAUUGUUCUGCAUCCAUGCCACUGAUACACAUUUGCUGUAUAAGCCACCAAAUGUGUGACAGCAACCACAGCAAAAGGCCUAUCUCACCAGGCAUAGCUCAACGGCUGUAUCCUGCCUUCCACACGGAGAAAGGACGUGUGACGUGGUAGAAACCACCCCUCCCAGGAGUCUCAAAAGGAGCAUUGCCAUCCAAAAUGAGCUCAGUUCGUUCCAAAACAUCCAGCGUAGUAAUACCUUGGUUAGAGCCCACAGCUGUACGUACACCAAUUGCAGCUGGCUACUGCUCGAGUGUCUCUGGUGAGCUCACCACUUCAGCUAAGAAAUCAUUGGGGUCUAUCUCAUCCAACUGCAUUUCUGUUAUUUACCAUGUUAAGUAAUACUUCAAUUCAGGAACUGCAAGUACCUAUGGAUUUAUUGUAGAUGACAUUUAAACAAGACCUCAUUAAUACUAGUAUUAAAAAAAAAGGAUACCCUCUGUUCUCCACAUAUCAGUGAUGCUAACAUCAUAGUCUGUAAGCAGCAAGUAGUCUGCUCCACUCUGCAAAAGUGUAGUAGGAUCAUGAAUAGCUAAGUAUACUAUUUGCUUUGAUCUUUUCAAGCAGAAAAGAUACAGCAAGUAGGGGCAAACCCAAUGUAUUUUCACAAGUAAAAAAUGAUGCAAUUACAGGGAUAAAAAGAAAUCAAGAUGCAACUUACGAGUAAGUAUGCAAUGUACUAAUGUAGAACUGGAGUUCAGAAUUGUGUAAUUCUUCUAUAAGUCAUAAGGCUCGAUGUUCUUAGUUAACUGAUAUGAUUAUGGAAUGCAUCACCUUCACCUUGUAUAAAUAUUAUAUAUAGUAUAAAAAAGGGUAGACUUCAUAAGUUCAGAUCUAACUUACGUCAACAUCUGAAGGAUUAAUCCUCCUCAGCACUCCUUCAGAAUGACAUGGGGGAUUUAGAUCUGGAGUUUUCUGAGUCUUCUGAGCCUUAAGCGCCACCUCCUCCUUUCUACUCCUUUCCCAAGCUCUUUUUGCACUGGGGCGUUCUAUGGAGCCAUGCUUCGCCACAUCUGUGUGCCCUGCUGGUUCUGCAGCAUCACCCAGCUUUCCCUCCAUUUUUUCUUCAGUUUUACUAACAAUAUAGUAAGGAUGUAUGUCAGAUAACUUACUUUUUCAGGCACCAGCUUCAAGAGAAGAUUCAAGCAUUACCUAACCAAGUAAAGAUCAAUUGGACCCAUUGUACUCCGUAUUACUAGUCUAUAUCUCCUUUGAAGGCUAUCGCCAAUCAUCUUAUGAAAUAAAUGAGAUAAAGUUAUGAAACAGUUAAUGAUAACUAGACAUGCAGCACAUUGUAUAUGGAGUUAUGGACUGGUUAUUGUUUUCCUGGUUACUUACCACAUCAGGAUUGGGCACUUCCAAAGAAGACCCUUGAGGUGCUUUUAUUGCAAUUAGUGUUUGGUUCUGCAGAAUGAAAAAGGAUAUAUGAGUUCACAGCAGAAUUAACUAUGCUUAGUUAUGCUUGGUAUUAAGGAAUAAGGAUAGCCUGAAUAGUCAAACAUAAGAUGAAAUUUACUCUGAAUAGUCAGAAAUAACAAAUAAUAUGAAACAUUUCUUUUGAAAGGGAAUAAAUUAAUAUCCCAGCUUCUGCAUCGACUAAUGCAUAUGGCCGUUCAUUAUUACAAGCAAGCGUAAAAAAGCCCAGGGAAUCUCAAGAACAAAGUUUUGAGCCAUAAAGACAAUAAAGACGACAAAGUUUUCAGAAGGAAAAACUAAAGAGCGAUUCUGUUGCUAAAUCUCCAGACGUGUAAGGCAAUAACUCGGAAUUCUUUAAACAUGUAAGCGAACCUGAAAGCAGCGCACCCCCAUGAUGUCAUCUUCAGUAUGAAAUAGCCACCUAAACAGGAAUAAUAGACAUGAUUAAAAAGUAAAUCAGUGACUGUGGUAUGCAAGCAUCUUGACACAAAUUAAUAUGAUUACCCCUUGUUGCUUUCAUCUUCAGUUAAGUCCUUCAGCUUUUCCUGUAUUUUACUGCAAGGAGAAAUACUUUUAGACUGUAUCACCAUUCUCAUAUUGAGAACUGAGUCAAUAGUUUUGCAACCUCCAGCGGUUACCAACCUUAUAUGUUCAUCUAAUGCUUGCUCCUGUAGAUUAAGAUUUCCAAAAUCUGUCUGCAAGGAGAUUACAGCAAGUGGAACUUAGACUUGGCGUAUCAUGUCUAGGUACAGGGACAUUUACCAUGAGUUUGAUAAUAUGGACAUGAUUACAUGAAACAGAAAGAGCAAAAAUAAGUACCUUCAGAACUGAAAGAUCAUCAUCCAAGUUAGGUCCCAAUUUAUCCAAACCCCUGUAAAAUCAUAAGGUUAGCAUGUUGCACCAUAUAACCAUAACUUGUAAGCAUAGAAUACAAUGCUCACUUCCAACAGAUUCUGUUCUUCAACUUCUUUUCUAUCAGACCACUUCCUUCAAGGACAUUUGUAAUGUCAUAAAUGCGCCUCUUUUUAACCUGAGUUUUCAUAGUCACGCAGAAGCUUGCAUCAAGACUCAAGAGAAACAAAGAGAAAUGCCAGCUUAAAUGAGGAAAAGUUCCAUACACCUAACGUCUUUGCUGUGCUGUUCAAAUCUAAAAUUCCAUCUUCAGCCUCCUUGAGCAGAUUGAUGAACUUUUUUGUCAACAGUGCUGGAUAAAUAUCACAUGUUCACAUAAAUAGGUGUCAGCAAAAGAAUUUAUAUGAAACAAGACAAUAGUAAAAAUAAUUCAUAUGAAGCAAUGUAACCAGAAUGGAAUAUCUAAUGAACACCGUAUGGAGUAUUGUAAAAGUCAAUUUAUCAUAUGAGAGUGCUAAAAAUCACCUAAUGAACUGUCAUAGCGACAAGUACCAGCAGGAGUAGGUGGGUUGCCAGGUGAACCUGCUACAACACAAAGGUACUAUGCAUUUAACUAUCAGACAGACAGAACAAAUACAUAAGAGGAAGUUGAAAGAACAAACUAUGUUGAUGUAACCAGAACCAGAUCAACGAAUUUAUACUUGCCAGCAUUUAAUGUGGGUGUCUGAGGUCCAGCUUUGGUGUAUUCAGACUUUGAUGACUUGUAUUUCCUAGCAGUAUUUCCAGAAAUUGGGGUCAUUCGUGGACUGCCAACUCCUUGAAUGAACCCAGAACUGGCCAUACUCAAUCCGGUUGACUCAGCAGUAUCACAUUCUCCAUAGGGAGCUUUUCUUUUUAUCUGGACAUAAAAGGAGGAAAUGUAUUAGUGGCGACUUACAGUUGAUAUAUCCACAAGUGGUAGACUGCAGCAUGUGCUAAACCCUGAAAAAACUGCAAUAAAUGUAGAAGUGCCAUGACACAUAUUUGAGAUGCUAAUUAGAGGCUACAGAGAUCUUUUGUCUCAACCAUAAAGAUCUAUUAGAAAAUAAAAAUGCGGUACACAAUAUCACAAUAGAGUAUUCUGUAAUAAAAUUACAGUGCAGUCCCUGAUCCUAACGAAACUUUGCGUAAGUUAUAUCAGCAUCAGGAAUACAUGCUUAGAUUAUACAGACAGUAUCCUGACAGUGGCUACCCGCUGAUCCUAAGGUACAGAUCCUUCUCAGAAAUUUCAGAAUAUGUAUAAAUGCUAACAUGACUAUAUUUGUGGAGUUUCAACAUAAAAGUUCUGCUAAUCAUCCAAGAGCUGCACGUUCUACAUCAAUUCGGUACUAAAACCUUUAAUUAGAAACACGCAAAUGCUCCAAGGUGGCCUGCUCUGUUGCAUCAAAUAAAACUGGUGACACUACAAACCAGCAUCCAGGAUGUUUUUAGAUAAGAGAAUAAAUCAUAUAUUCAACUCUCUAAGUCUAAGAUGCACAUGAACAUAACCCAGUAUUCGAGAUGACAAGCUGAAGCUUUAGUUUGUCGAAUCCAGCACAAGGCAAUGCAGCUUGUAGAAACAAAAUAAGUGGAUAAACAGGAUAACAAAAUAGAAGCGGCUGAAUUGAGACCUUUCUUCCUGCGUCAUGCUUGCAACUAAGCUAAACAACAGUGAGCACAUAUCUGAAAUUAGCACGAAACGCAGUAAUCUAAACUGGUCCGACAGGCACCCAAUCCUGCUCUCAAAGCAGCUCUGAAGCAACUUGCAAUCAACCAUGUAGGAUUUGGUAACAUAGCGUGUAGUAUUAGCCAUGAAAACCAAAAAAACCCGAAACCUCAAAACUCACAGCAGACCAGGAAACCACAUUUUCUCACUGGCACCGGAUACCAGACGGCCGAUAGGCCAAGUGCUUCCCAUGCGUGAAAGCUUCACAGCCGCUGUAAUUCCAUUUGUUUUUCAACUUCUCACAAAUUGUUGGGCUACAAGCAGCGCACAAUUGGAUGCAUUUCCGGUAAAUAAAGGUCAAUCCCCCCGCAAAACCCCAAAAAAAUCCGGAACCAAGCCCCGAAAAAACAGCAAGCAAAUACGUACACUGAAGACUAAGCACCAACUCACCGGCGUCCUGAUGACGAUACCCUCAUCAAAUUCUUCGCGACCGCCGGGGGUCGCUGCCGCUGCCGCUGCAGCAGCAGGUGACGGCGACGGCCGGGGGAACUGGUGAUAGUCGCCGAGAGCAGCGCCGAAGGGCGGACGCUCCAGAGAGAGCCGUCCGCAUCGCUGUAGCGACUUCACGAUCUGCCGCGCGGCGGCCGCCGGCCGGGCGCCUUCCGACAUGGUCUCCUCCGGGCUCCGGCGGAGGGAGCGGCGGCGCGUGCAAAGGUACCGUGAAUACGUGACCACCUUGCGCGGAGAUGCGCCGGGUCACGAUCGUCCCGCCGGGGAUCGCCGGGAAAGCGUACGCCUGGCUUGAGGUAGGGUUCCGGCGAGGCGGCGGUGGAGGUGGGCAGUUCGGGGUGGGGAUGUGGGGUUGGCGGCGAAUGGAGAAGGGCGAGGGGUUAAUUAAAGGAGUGGGGGAAAAGCGCGAGGAGAGAAGACGGCGACGGAAAUUAACAGGGCCGUUUGCGUUUUCGCGGCUUCGGAUGGCGCGCAGGGGAUGGUUAGCGACGCUUUAAUUUGACUGAGGCGUCAUUAGAUGCGAAAGUCCCGGAAUUUUUUUUCAUUUUUAAUCUUUUAUUCAAUGUUUUCAUAAUAAUCGCUUCUGAAAAUAAUUUACAGAUCUAACCUUUUUGUCGCGUCAGUGACAUGACCAAAUAAUGUUGUCGAGCCACAGGUAUUGGCGAGGUAAUACAGUGUAUUAGACGACGUUUUCGAUGUAUAUUGUUCUUAUCGUUGUAUAUUGUUCUUAUCACGUCACCGAAAACACAAAACCUUUAAAAAUCAUAAAUUUUGAUAUGACGUUGAAUGAAUAUGAAAUUUAUAUAAAAUUAUAGCUCUUGAUGAGACAUCAACAUAUAACUCUGGAAUACCCUAUAUAUAUUGAUAAACUGAUUUUCAUACUCAUACUGUAGAUAGCUCUAAAUCUCAAAACCAAACUUGUAUGAUGUUUUGUAUGGAUGACCGCAUAAGUAAACACUCAGCAAAAGACCUAGGAAUGAUGCCCAACGAACAACGGCCAACAUUCAUGCAGACGAGUUGAGAAAAUUCUUCUUUUUGUGUCUUCCUUUUUCUUUCUGCCACAAAAAGUGAUGUGAAACUUAUUCUUCUCAGUCCUUCAUCAUAGUCAUAUUUAACCACAACAAAAUAGAUAAGAGAUAUGAGAAAAUUAUUCCAUGACAACAACAUCAUCUUCGCCUUGAUGUCACCGUCCGAAAGAAAAGUCUUCAUGUUACCAUAUCGGUGAAGUUGGUUACCCUAUAGUUACCGUCCUCGUCUUCAAAAGCAGCCACCACAGAGAUUAUGGAUAUGGAAACAUUCAUCGAGCAUGGAUGGUUGUAGUUAAAAAGGCUUAGCAUUUAAUCAAUUAUCCCUUUGUUUUGUUUCGCUUUUUUUAGAGCUAUAAAACAGCAAGAGGCUAGAACUAUAGUAGGAAUUGGUUUAUAAUGCAAAACUCUCACAGAGACCCAAAGAAAAUUAUGUUUAAGUUUCUAAGGAUUCAGAUCCGCACCUAUAUCUAACAAAGUUAUGGUAAAUCAUGACGUCCAGAUCAAAAUUCAUCUGUGUCUCAUCCAUUUCAACCUAUCUACCUGGUCAAAUCAUGGAUUCUACGCUGAGCUUCACGAAGAGAAGGGGCAUGUUUAGUUGCUAGCCUGGUAUCCAAAUGCUUACAAGGUAAUGAAUUCUGACUAUUGACACUCAAACCUUAGAUUGCUGCCUGACCAGAUCAACCAGCCUAGGCAAGCGACCAAAUAAGCCCUGGAUACAGGCAUGGGCUCUUGCAACCUUAUCCACAUUGGGCAGAUGAAAGCUCUGGCUAGCUUAGGACCAGGCCUAUCUCAAGCUAGUAACUGAAUGAGAAGUUCCUCAUGAGGAAAUUUUUUCUGACCUCCCUCAACUAUUUAUGGUCCAAUUUACCUCAUUGAACUAAGAAAGCCGGAUGUUUUGGCUCUCUCAACUAUUGACAAUUGUUGUUUUUUUCUCUUGGAUAGUUUUUAAGGCAGUUUAGUUUGAUAUGACACCACGUCACACAUCCUAUGUGACACCACAUCAACGACAAAGGAGGUACACCUGACUAUAUCGAUAGUUUAAGGGUGUCAAAUAGAAUUUUAAAGAAGUUGCAAAAAAUAAUCUUCAAUAUAAGGCAUUUAAAAUCCUAAAUUUUGAUUUAAUCUUAUAAAGUUCACAGAAAUUUAUUUUAGCUUAGAAAAAUAUGAAACUAUUUUUUUAGACAUUUUCUAAAACUAUGCUCUAUAUUAUGGUGCAUGGAUUAAAAUUAUUUGGAUCUUAUAUAGUCUUUUUUUAUUUAUAUGGGUGCGUUUAGUUUGAGAGUGAAGUUAGAUGGGAUAUGACGAUCCAUGGAUAUUGAAAUAAGGAUAUCCAUGAUGCAUAUUUGGUUGGAUGACCCGUUUUUCUGUUUGGUUGGAUUGAUGAAAGUGAAUGAGAUGAGAAUAUAUUAAUUGGCACCACUAAUAACCUACACAAAAUAUACACUAGUCAACUAUUAGCACUUAUCAAAACUAAUCAUACCAUGAUAAUUACUAAGUAAUAAUAUAACAUACUAAUAAUCAUUAAUCUAUACCUAAUGACAAAGAUUAGAACUCAUGGAUAUAAACUGGUUCACGAGAUUUUUAUUUACGAAUUCGGAAAUCCAACAUCUUGUGGUAUAUUCCCGAUCCAGGGAUUUCCUUAUCCCAAUGAUCCACCAAACUAAGCACUUCUAUUGAUAUCCAACCAACCAAACGCACCUAGGUUUAUAUCAGUGUAUUGUAGCGGAAAGAAAUAAGAUCAUGAUAAUUUAAGUUUGCACCCAUAAAAGGUUAUGAGUAAGAUUUUCGUAACAGUCUAUCCACAGGGAUCGAGUUUUAUUUGUAGCCAAUUAAUAUUUUCUACCUGGUUAAUUGAUUGGUUUGGGUAAAGCCCAAUUAGGUUCCCCCGUGGGCUGGUAGAGCCUGAUUAGGCACCCUUGCGUCCUUGGCCUUUCUACCCUUCUUUUUUUUCACGUUUUCUUUUUUUAAAAAAUCUCUAGACUCAUUAACUAGCAUUGUUACAACAUUUUCAUUACUUAGCAUUAUUUCUUACUGCUAUACAGGGUCGUUUGGUGUGGCAGAAGCAUUUUUUAUCACCUUCGAAAAAGCUCAGUGUAGUACUGACCUGUAACACCCUAGGUGUUAAGCAAGCACUUAGUCUCAUCAAAGUCAUGCAUAAGCACUCUCAUCAAUCAUAAGCAUCAUGAGCAUGUCAUUCUUCUAAGAAUAUGAUUUCAUGUGCGUCAUUUCAUAAGUUUUAAAUAUGUUAAAAAUGUGGUGCUUGCUUCAAAAAUUGUGAAAUAUUCAAACUAGGUUGGUUUAUGUGUAAGAAGAAUUAAGAACAUUUUUGUGCAAUUUUUGGAGCUAUGGAAAUUGAGAAAUGGAAUUUAUACAAAAUAUCCAAAAUAACUUCAUUUAAAAACCUAGAACUAAGUUUUAAUUUGUAAUUCAAAUUCUAUUUAGAAUUUGGUCUUACCUAUUAAAGCAAAGUUGUAGAGUUUUUAUUUUGGAACAACUUUGUUUUUGGGAGCAAGAGGUGAAAAUGCUUUUUGGCUGGUCCAAAUAAUUUUAGAAAGGAAUUUGGAAAAAAGAAUUUCAAAAAAAAAAAGAAAGGGGGAGCUGUUCACUGGUGGGCCGGCGCCAACCAACCGGCCCAGCCAGCGAAGCCAGCCCAGGCCGACCGCGCCGCGUCCGCCCCCUCCCCGCGCGCGCUCGGACACGGCCGCGCCGCGCGCGCCCGACCGCGUCAGGCCGACGGCGCCGCGUGGACGGCAUGCGCUGCUCGCCGGCGCCACGACCCCCCCCCCCUCCGCUGCGGACAGCGCCACCUCCCUCGCCAUUCUCUCCUCGACCCGGUGCGCGCCCCCUCGCUCUCUCUCGCGCUCUCCUGCCUCCUCUCCGCGCGCACCGUGCCGCCGCUCGCCAUUGGAGCUUCCCGAGCUCUGCUCGCCGUGUCCCCGGCACUCCGUCGCCUCUCAGCGCCUCCUUCCACCUCUCCGAGCUCCGCAUUCGUCUCCGCGUGCUCGGACGUAGUUUCUUCGCGCAGGUAAGCGGUUCUAGCGAGCCGAAUCGCUCGCCGGAGAGUCCGCGGCCUCGCCGGAGCUCUCCGCGGCGUCGGCAUCGCUGGUUUUCCCCCUCCCGAACCUCUCUUGCCUCGCUAGCGCGCGCAUUAUGGUCGUCGUGGCUCCCUGAGUCGCGAGAAGCCGCACUCGAGCGCUCUACCGGAGCAUGGUGGCCGGCACCGCUGCGGCAGCGCCGCCGGUCCGCCAUUGCCGGUGGCCAACUCGCUGUGCGGGGUUUCAGGGCGAGUAAAGGGGUGGGAUCGAGUCGCAAGAGGGAGGCGAACGUGUUGGUGCCGUUGGUUCCGGCCGAGAGGCAUCACCGGCGGCGAGCCGUCGUCGGGGAUCCUCUCCCCUCUCGGUGUCCUGGCCAGCGGGCCCGGCUGGCAGGCGGGUCCGCUCGUCAGCGGCCGCGGGUGCACUGGACCGGGUGCACCUAGCAGGUCUCGGGGUGGAUUUGUUUUGUUUUCAGAAAAAUAAUUUCCAGGAAAUGUUUUAAAUGUUCAAAAAUCCAUAUCUUGAUGAAUAUAGCUCCAAAAAUGGUGAAAUAAAUUUUGGUGUGUUCCUUACUUCCAGAUCUAUAGCCUAGUAUGAUUGCAUGUCAUGUUUGGAUAACUUUCCUGUAAGAAUAUAAUUAAUCCAUGUUUUUCCUAAACUUGGAAAAUGCAUAAUAAAUAAAAUAGGGUUCAGAAAAAUGUAAAACUUGUUUUGCUGGCUCUGCAUGUGUGUUUAAUCACUGAGAAAAUAUUGUUACAUAUUAUUUGGUGUAUAAAUGAAUUUAUGGUAAUUUAAAUGCUUGCAUGGCAGUGCUUUAUGAUUUUUAAUAAUUAAAUGGGUCAUGCAAUAAAUCUGGAAAAUUUUGUGGGUAUUUCUUAUGAUAUUAGAUAAAUUUUAAAAAUAUGAAAUCUGUUGUUUGACACCUAUGUCACAGUAGGGUGAUUAUACUUGCCUUAUCCAUUAAUAUUGUGAUUUUUAUGGCCCAAAAUGAGUAACCAAAAAUUAUGAAAAAUUUACAGUAGACUUUAUGAUUAACUAGUAGUCUCCUGUAAUUUUUUUCUGGAAUUUAUUGAUGAACAGAAUUGCAUGUGAUUUUUAAUGGGCUUAGAAAUGAAUAAAGAAAACUAUGAAUGGUUGUAUAUAUAGGUUGAAUGGAAUAAGUUGGGUUUGGUGUACCUUUGAAGCAUCAUGGAGGUUGCUGGUUGCAUUUGAAAAAUAAUUAUAGAAGAGAAUGUAAUAGAUGUUUGAUUCAAUUGUUUAUUCUUGGAUGAUGUUGACUACCUUGUAAUAAGCAUGACCAAGUGCAUUACCUAUGCAUCAUAACAUGACUCCUUUGGUACUCUCUCAUAUAAGCAUCCACUCGGGCAUCUCGCACUCCACUCAUGAGCAUAUAUGCAUCAUACAGGCUCGCAGGAGAACGAGGUGGGAACAGAGGAACCCGAGGAGCUUCAGGAGCAGGAACCUCCGGAAGCACAGGAACCCGGAGAGGAACUGCAGGAGUGUCCGGAUCACCGACCCAGCACGUUUGAGAAAGGCAAGCCCCGGAGCAUUCUAAGUCUCCCUAUUCUCGCUAACUUAUGUGAUGCACUAUACUUGUUCUACUACUGCAUUUAAGUGGUAGGAGUUGCCUGAUACCGUUGCUGCAUAUGUACUCCUUGUUAUCCCUACUCGUUUAUCUACCUUGUCCUAUGUAGAUAGGCGCGGAGUCUAUGCUUAGCUUGCUUAGUCCGGUAGAAGUCGGGUGAUGUCCUGUCACCUGCGAGAUAUAGGUGGAUACCUGCUUGAUUAAGCAGUGGUUGCUUGGGGAAAGAAAUAACCAAGUGUGGAAUGUAAUUGGAGACCGGGCAGGGUCUUAUGGUGGGUUGCCCAUAGUGCCCCUGCCUAUGUCGAUUAAGGACCGAUCGUUGACGGCCCUCUUGUCAUGUUGAACGCAUGCCCCACACUUAGCUGGAAGGAUAAGUCGUUCCGACCGCGAAGCCUGAACACUAUCCGGGCCGGGAAUCGAGCCGCCAUGCGCUGUAUUGGUGGUGGUUGAGGAGAACGACGAGGGCGCGGCGCGCAACCUUGGUAUACCUUGGAUACCUCGGUCGCCGGAACGGUCCUCGGGUACUGGCGGUGCCUGCCGAACCCGCGAAUUGGUCCUGGAUAGUGUAAUACGGUGAUCUGUAGCUCACUUGAUCAGUGAGUGUGGUUUGUGUGGGGAAUACCUCGCCAGCUGGUUAGAAAUCGAUUCGAAUCGCCAUCGCUCCUGGAUAGUGAGCACUUGACAUGAGCCCUGUCCUCGUAGUAAGGACUAUGGAACACUUGGGUUAUAAUGAAACGGGUUUAUGACUGCUAUGAUGAGGUACUAUCAUAGUCUCAUACUUGCUUGUAAUAGCACAGGAGCAAACCUAGAUAAUAGAUAAUGAUACUUUCAACUUGAGCAGAUUAAAAGAAGAAAAGAUUUAUGUAGGUUAGGGUAAUAAAACCUUGCGGUCUUUGCAAAAUGGUUGUCAGCUACCCCACUAAAUAGCCUUCAUGAUCCUUGAUGAGUCUUUAUUUUAAGUUUAUGACGGGUAAGUCUAGCUGAGUACCUUCUCGUACUCAGGGUUCUAUUCCCAUGUUGUUUUGCAGAUGGUCAAAUGUACUAUGGUUAUUGCAUCCUCUGUCUGUACCCAGCUAUGGGUGAUGACUAGACCAAGGGCGAUGGUCACUCCGUCUCUUCUUUUGCUUUUGUGGGAAUGACCGAACUAUGGCACUGUAUCAGACUUAUCGUGUGUGUUGUAAUUUCAAACUAUGAAGCUUCCGCUACUUGAAGAACUUGGUUUGUAAUAACUUUAAGCACUCCGAUGUAUUUUAUGAAUGUUGAAAUCUGGAUGUACUUGUGGAUGGCGACCGCUAAACUUAUUACGAUCUUGGCUGUUAUGCGAUGUGUGGUUUGAAAUCCUUCGAGAUUUCACGGACUACCGGGAUUAUAUGGGCUUAAGCGUGAUGGUUCGACUAUGCAAAUGGUCACUAUUAGGCUUAAUCUCUUAUAAUUUGGUCGGUUCUGUUACAGCUGGUAUCGGAGCAAGGUUUAGCGAGUUACUGUUCAUAAGUACGUUCUAAACAAAAGUCUAAACCAGUUUAAUGAAAGAUUUUAGUAAUUAAUAAAGAUCAAGGUGUUAAACUAAGUUUUGGAAAACUAUCUAGUGUGCCAUGGUCAUAUCCUUUAUGCCCAGUUAAGGACUCUAAGGUGGCUAGCUAAGUACUGACUUGGGGGUUAAUGCAUCAUAUUUUUAUUUCGUCGCUCAUACGGCGUGCAAUAGUAUGAGUGCCAUUCAUUUGAGUGGUAAUGUAUGGAUCAAUUCUUCCUCUACGCCAUGGUAAGUGGGAGUUGUGAGAGCAUGAUCGGAUACACUGCCGGUCUAGGGAAGUGUUGUCAGGUGCUGUGUCAUGCACACAUGUUGGUGUGUCUUGGGAACAGUACCGCAUGCUGGGAAUUCCGUCCUGAGAGGCGAUGCCGUCAAUAGGGCGAUGAUGUGAGUAGUGGCACGUCACAUGCAUGGACGGGUGUCUGUGUAUGUGAAGUGCAUGGUUUUAAAUUCUUGCUCUGCAUGAUCAUAUUGUGGGUGGGCUGAAAUGAGUUUUCUGCAGGUACACUAACCACGUUCUCGCUUAGAACGCUAGUUACGUUAUGAGAGAACGUUGUGUGCCACCGCAUAUACCGCUUAGUGUUAACCUUUGUUUCUAAGUUUGUGAGAUCGUAAGUUCGUGCAUGCAUCAUGUUCAUUUCAUAUCAUUGCUUACUUUCCCCCUUAAUUUAAUCUGUCCCAAUUCUAAAUAAAAUAAUUAAAGGUAAUCCUCGCUCUUACCCACGGUAUUCCAUUUGCAGCAGAUGGCACGCACUAGGCUCACCGCUCGCAAGUCCACUGGUAGGCGGGCCCCUCGCCAUCCGUUGGCAGCUAGGAGCUCGCGACAUAAGAGCAAGUUCCUAGAGGAGUUUGGGAUGCCCACUUUGCUUUGGAGGGUGCUCAGUUCGAUGGGGUAUCCCGAAGGAAGGGAGCCUCGCUACUAUUGGGAUAAGGAGCCGCUUGGUGACGAGACCCUGGUGGGGAUCGAGGCAGUUGUCCCUACCAGUGGUGGAGACCCUGCUUGGGGCGGCUGGGUGUACGAGUCCCGAGGUGUCACACCUUUCCACGGUGCUAGCAGGGCAGCUUUCGCAGUUCUGAGGGACCUUAUGGAGAGGUUUCCACAGGAGCUGGCCCACGCCUUCGCUGGGGUGUUUCCCCGGGGUGACCCUUACACUUCGGUGUGGGAUCAGUCCGAGGUGAAUGCUCUAGAGAGGAGUGCGGAUGAGGACCAGCACAGUGACAGUGCAGCUAUGAGUGCCAUGUACGCGUUGAUGAAGACCUAUGGAGGCCUGGAGCGUUGUUUGGGUCGCUUGUCCGUGUCUCUUCUCACCGUCCAGGAUGAGAAGCGUCAGUUGCAGCGUGAGUUUGACUCUGAGGUUGAGAGGCUACAGGCAGAGUUGGCUCGUGUGACCAGAGAGAGAGACCAGGCAAUCCAGAAGAAUAGUGAGCUGAGUCAGGACCUGCUUGCAGUGCGGGAGCAGAAGGACAGGGUGACUACUGCUCACAGGAACUGCGAGCGCAUGCUAGUCCAUAUGCUUGGACAGAGGAAUGAAGCCUGGCACGAGGAGGACACUUUGAGGGCCCGACAGCUAGAGCUAGAGCAGCAGCUAGCUAAUGCUGAGGAGUACAAUGAGAACUUGCAUGAGGAGAUCCACCAGCUGCAUAACCAGCUCCACCCUCACCACCUGCCUGGAGCAGCUGAGCUAGACUCUGAGGACGAGAUGGACGCGGAUCCCGAGAUAGGAGCAGCUGCUAGUGAGGAUGAGGAUGGCUCCGGCAUGGACAGUGACCAUAGCGAGUAGAUGCUAGGGUUCUAGAGCUAGUCCUUCUUCUUAUGUUGUUGUAUGUUGCAUGGCAUGUCGUGUACUUUUGGAUCUGGGCUGUGUAAGACUUUAUGAGUUGGUGCUGAAAGUCCAGUGUAUGUAUGCUGGCAAGUUGGAUGUACGCGAACCUUGUUGCGUGAAUGUUAAGUAAUCUGUUAGUGAUGUUGUGCGUGGAUGAUGAGUUGUUGUGCCUUUGUUUAUUGUGUGAAUUUAUUCCCUCAGUAAAUUCAGUAUGGCACGAUUUUACACAUUUUCUACCGGUUGAUGGCAACUCCUAACGAUUGCUUAUCAUUGGCGUAUGCAGAUGGUACAAACACGUGGCGGGGGUAACGGCAACCCGGGUCUUGGAACAGGUACAUCCGGAAAUGGGGCUCAACGGAAUGAGGACCGAGCGCCAACACCACCACCACCUCCCCCGUACACUGCGGAUGUGUUUUUCGCGCAGUUUCUGGGAAGCCAACGCAACAUGGAGCAGAUGCAGCGCAACAUGGAAGAAGCUUUGCGCAACAUAGCUGACAAUACCCGUCGGGGGGAUAAUCAGGGUGGCCGGGAGGUCAACCAGUACAGUUCGUUCAAGGACUUCAUGGAUACCAAGCCACCAAUCUUUAAGGAGGCCUUGGAACCGCUCGAAGCAGAUGAGUGGAUCAACACCAUGGAGCAGAAGUUUCGUCUUCUCCGAAUGACAGAAGAACUCAAGGCUGAAUAUGCGGCACAUCAGUUACAAGGACCCGCUGGGAUUUGGUGGUCCCAUCACCGUACCAGCUACCCAGAAGGGACCCCAAUCACUUGGAACCGCUUCACCACCGCUUUCCGGGGAAAUUACAUUCCUCCUGGUGUGGUUGAAAUGAAGGUUGGGGAGUUCAUGAGGCUGUCCCAAGGGACGAAGUCUGUGAAGGAGUAUCUACACGCUUUCAACAAUCUCGCUCGCUAUGCCCCUGAGUUUGUAAACACGGAGGCUAAGAAGAUUGCUAGUUUCCAGAGAGGUUUGAAUCCAAAGAUGCUGAAGACCAUGGGUACAGGGGCCAGGGCUACUUUCAAUGCCUAUAUCAGUGACUGUUUGACCCAAGAGAACAAUAACAACAACUACAGUGCGUCCAAGUCACGUAAAAGGGCUUUUGAAGCAGGAUCAUCCCAGUCCAGGGCACCAGUGGCAGGGCGACAGCAGUAUCGUCCUCCUGCCCUGGGUGCUAGGUUCCGACCACCGCAGAGAAGGAACACCGGGCAUCCAACGCCGCAGAAGCCGUACAAGGUGGCGAUAGCUCCUGCCAAGCCAAAGGCAAUUCAAGCCGCAGCACCUGCCGCCAACAAUGUGCCCAAGGGUCCGUGCUAUAACUGCCACAAGAUGGGGCACUUUGCUAAGGAAUGUCCCUACCCCAAAAGGCAGCAGCCAACCUAUCCAGCUCGUGUGCAUCAUACCUCGAUUGAGGAAAUUCCGGAAGGAGAACCGGUGACAGCGGGUAUGUUUUCUGUCAACCAACAUCUUGCAGUUGUUUUGUUUGAUUCUGGAUCGUCGCAUUCAUUCAUGAGCCAAGCAUUUGCACAAAAGCAUAAUCAACCAGUUACAGAUCUAGGCUAUGGCUACCGCAUCAGCUCAGCAGGGGCAGAUGUGUUGACCAAUAGAGUGGUCCGAGGGGCAACCCUGGAUGUAAGUGGCCGAGUUUUUCGGGUAAAUCUAGUGGUCAUGCCUGGGUUAGUUUUGGAUGUUAUCAUGGGCAUGAACUGGAUGAGAGAAUGGGAUGCUGUCAUAGAUACUGGAAAGAGGAUGUUAUCUCUCAGAGAACCACAGGACAGUAACUCUUUUCAAGUACCUCUGCCCCGUCGUCUUGACUUUGCUAGCAUCUCCUGUGCUACGCACGUGGUUCCUUUACCACAGAUCCCAGUCGUCUGUGAGUUCCCUGAUGUUUUUCCCGAGGAAUUGCCAGGACUUCCCCCAGAUAGGGAGGUAGAGUUUGCAAUCGAGUUGAUACCAGGUACAGCACCAAUAUCUAGAAGGCCGUACCGGAUGCCACCAAACGAACUCGCAGAGCUGAAGAAGCAACUGAAGGAGUUACUAGAAAAAGGGUUCAUCCGGCCAAGCUCGUCGGAAUGGGGUUGUCCAGCGUUGUUUGUGAAAAAGAAGGAUCAGUCGUUGCGCAUGUGCGUGGACUAUCGUCCACUCAAUGCAGUGACAAUCAAAAAUAAGUAUCCCUUGCCAAGGAUUGAUAUCCUGUUUGAUCAGUUAUCCAAGGCAAGAGUGUUUUCUAAGAUAGAUUUGAGAUCUGGGUAUCACCAAAUCAAGAUUCGUCCGCAAGAUAUCCUGAAGACUGCUUUUUCCACCCGAUAUGGGUUGUACGAGUAUCUUGUCAUGUCCUUUGGGUUGACAAAUGCUCCUGCAUACUUUAUGUAUCUGAUGAAUUCAGUCUUUAUGCCGGAAUUGGAUAAGUUUGUUGUGGUGUUUAUCGAUGAUAUCCUGGUGUAUUCAGAAAAUGAGCAAGAUCACGCCGAACAUC